Molecule: long non-coding RNA, 145480 nt
Filed under: Eucalyptus grandis
Lineage: Eukaryota; Viridiplantae; Streptophyta; Magnoliopsida; Myrtales; Myrtaceae
Description: long non-coding RNA (EGRA_LNC005149)
Source: RNAcentral
CGAUAUCUUGCAGACAGGUACCCGUUAAAAAUGUCAAGAACUAGUUUUCAGAGAUGCGGUCUCAUUCAAAGUGCAGAACCUCAACCGGGUUAGCCAAGCUCUCUGCCUAAAUUGCACAGAACAUUUGGUAAAAUUACAUUUUGCACCCAAGUUUUCGGGAUAGUGGCAAAUUAUCCCUGUCGUUUCGAUAUUUGCAAUUUGUUAACUGACUUUUCGGAAUUUGGAGGCCAUGUGCCCUCAAACGUUGACUUGGGCAAUUUUUUUUUUUUUCACAUAUCUGUCAACGUGACUUGCUAUGGAAGAUUAAUUGGACAUUUAUCAUUUAUGUAUGUGAAAAAAAUAAAUUAUAGGGACUACCCAAAGAUAUAUUUGAGAACUAUAUACCAAUAUGCAUUUGGUGUUGAUUCCGGUCAAAUUAUUGCCGGAGCUUUGGUCACAUGCUCUCACAUGUAAUAUGUUUUUGAAUUUGAUAUUCUAUAUUUUCAUAUCUGUUUACUUAUAUGAUGAAUUUUCCUUUCGUAAUCAGUCCCGUGCUAUCGCGUGCUCACAGCUCCAAGCAAAAUUUCACUAGAGUCAACACAAGGGGACACAUUGAUACGGACUUCUACCUUUCGGGGGCUAGAUUGCAAAAAUUGAAACGCCAUUUGGCAAUAUGCAACAAACUCAAAAGUUAGAAAAUACGUAGUUUGCCCCCAGAGUUUUUGGACAAAACCGGGUAUUGCCAGCCUGAACUCAUUAUUAAUCUCACGCGGUUCGUUCUAAGCAUCUGAAAAGCUCAUUUGGCAGUGCUGUAUCUUUUCAAUGCAGUUUCGAAUGCAUGAAAAACUCAGCAUUUACCACAACUCAAUGGACAUAAAAUCCUCCAGCACCAAAGCAAAAGCAGAUUCAUCCUAGUCUGGGAAUAGUUAACGUCAAGCUGAGAAUGUGCCUUGAAAAUCUAAAACUGGAGGAAAACAAAAAGUAUAGCACUCGCAUCCAAUAUCGAUCAUAAAACUAUGUCCAGCAGCCACAGCGAUCAAGCAUCAAAACCCUUCGUAAAGAAAACACGAGUCGAGCAAUCUUGAACCGACUGAUACCCAUUUUCGUACCUGUGCUGCCUUUAAAGCGAAUGAGGCGCGAGCCGGUGUUGCAGUGAAGGUGGCCAUUCCGAGCUCCGAUUCAACAGAAGGUGAAGGAAAUGAAUGAGAGAGAAAGAGAGAGAGAGAGAGAGAGAGAGAGAGAGAGAGAGAGAGAGGGAGAUCACAGAAGGAGAACGCGAGAAGUUUGUGAGAGAGAGAGGCGAUGUAUAUAUUGUUGGUAAUUUGUUUAUAAAACAAAUGAAGAGGUGCAUUGUCCCACAUCGAAAAGAUGUGAGUGCGCAUAUGGACGGAAUUUGGCACUAACCAACGAUCAUUAUGUUUAUUUAUUGAAAAUUUGGAUUUAUUUCUAUAAAAAAUUAAUUAUAAAGUCUUGUUGAAACAGAGCGACUGUUCACGAAAAGUUACAAUUAUUUUUUAUUUAUUUAAUUCUGAAUUUCUUAUGUCUUUUCAACGUAAUCUUUGAGACAUACUUGUUCAUUUUACAACCUUUCCCGAAAGGUUGUCUUUGUUCUUUUGCAAUAUUUUGAAGAGUUGCAUUUAUUCGAAAGACAUAUAUAAGUACAUUUGUUUUGAGAUCAAAUAUAUAUCUUCUUCCAUUUUUUCGUUUUCUUUAGAGAGAAACUGCAGCCAUUAUUUCUAAUUGUUUCCCAUGAGAGACUCUGGAGAAAUACUAGAAUUGCUAUCUAGUAUUCUUACUUGAGACUUUGUUGUAUCCUGGAGGAAAUUUGCCGGUGACCAUUAGCAACGUAGUGGGGCAAAUAAAUCCUUAAAGAAAGUGAUAUCACGCCUCAAAGUCCGACUCGAGUACUCUAACGAUCCGACUUCAUUGUUCUACCCAAUUUGAAGCCAUAUUUUUCCAACAAUUUUAAGGAUUUAUUUGCAUAACAAUGAAGUCAGAGUCGGAGGAAGUACCAGCCUAUGGUGGCUCACCAUCAGCGGUCCGAAAGAUGUCGUCCAUGAAUCCCGAAUCUUCCUCUUCUUUUGCCCAUCUCAACAUGCCUCUCAGAAAUUGGAAAUGCGAUGGAUGGCGUGCAGAAUAUUAUUAUUUGCUUGUUCAUCUCCACCGCCUCUAUCAACAAUGAAGUUAAAGUCAAUCACCAGAAGUCGAAAAGUUCCUUCAGAGGCUUCGGGUCGUGAUAUUUGUGGCCUGGCUGUGUAUCUCACUCACUUGCGAGGCAUGCUAGACGAAUGAUUUAUCGCCAGUGGAGUGAGCAUUGGACGAUUAUCUGGUUCUCUUCGAGUCGGCCUCGGUCUAGUCUGCAGAGAUUGUGGGCUUGUGCGAGGAGUGAUGGAAGGGCGAUCAGCCCGAGAAACAGAGGAAAGGAGACAGAAGAGAGAAAUCGUGAGAGGUUGGCCACGAUAAAAAGAGAAAUACAAUCCAAGAGCAGAGGCGAUUAAAAAAAAUAAAAUAAAAAUGAAUGAGAUAAGUUCAUCCAGGGAGAAGUUGAGAAAACGCCAAAGCAGAAUUAGGCAUGUUCUUUCCUUUGGAGUUUACGUUCUCUACGGCCCUUCUCCAAGCCGAAAUCCGAUGACCUGAAAGUUUCAAAUGAGUUGGUCCUUAAACUUCCGGUUGCCGAACAUACGAAGCACUUCAUCUUUGCUAUGAGGGAACCCGAGUUGCUGUCCGUGAUUUACAUGCUCGCCAUGCAGAAUUUGUCCGGGAUUCCUGCCCGGAACGUCGAGUGUUUGAUUAGAGAGAGAAGGGGGCAGCGACUGUGUUCUGGGCUUUGUUGAUUUAAGGCUAUUGCUGAAAUGUUAUACGCGAUUGUUGUUUCGGCAUUGCAAAUAUGAUCCUUGUCAAACGAAUGAGAGAGACGCUCUGUACCAAUCUCUCCUUUUACAGGAUGUCUCAUUCUUUGAUGGGGAAACAUUGAUUCAUCGAGGAAUGGGGCAUUUACCAGCCCGAAUUGGAAGAAACUGUCGAGUAAAGAAGCGUGCAGUUGUUCUUGAUGAAUUUUUUUUUUAGGGGCAAUGCUUCGAAAGGAUUUCUCGCCCAAUGGAGUAAUUUAGGAAUAAGGUAUGGCAUGUGGGCAACUAAAAUGUGCUAAAUUGCUCAUCGGCUUAUACACUAAGGUCUGUGAUGUUUUUAUUUCCAUGUUUACAUUAUUUGUCAUUGAUGGUCUCAUACAGGCUCUUGGUCUUGAGUCAUCUUUCGGCAAGUGCNNNNNNNNNNNNNNNNNNNNNNNNNNNNNNNNNNNNNNNNNNNNNNNNNNNNNNNNNNNNNNNNNNNNNNNNNNNNNNNNNNNNNNNNNNNNNNNNNNNNAAAGAAGUUGGAUAAGAUGAUAUCCGAUGCCGGUGUGAAACUUCCCGAGAAGAAUCGGGCGCUUGAUGUCGAAGCGUCUUUGCCGAGUGAAUUGAGCGGUGCCCCAGUUUGCGAAGAUAAUGGGGAUCGAGUCGAUGGUGAAGGCGAUGGCCACGCCGAUUCAUCGACUGAUUCCUGCGAGUAUGGCGAGGAUGGAGGUUCGGGUUCGGAGUCUGAGGCAAAGGUAAUACCCCCGGCUCCGCAAUUGCCACCGUCCUCUGGAUCCAUAGGCAUUGCGGAGGAGUACGUCUCGCAUCUGCUCUCUGUAUAUGGCUUCUCGAGGUCGUUUAGCGUCGCGCUAUAUUUGUCCCUUUGGAUUGGAUGACUUUGUCGGGGCACUUAAUUCUUUGCUUCCAAAUUCGUUAUUGGAUGCCAUCCACGUCGUCUUGAUGCGUUCAUUAAGGCUUCAUCUGGAAACCGUCUCUUCCGAGGGUUCAGAGCUUGCUUCGAAAUGUCUAAGAUGCAUUGAUUGGGACUUGCUGGAUACUUUGACGUGGCCCAUUUACGUGCUCCAUUAUUUAACUAUGAUGGGUCAUGUUAGAGGGCAGGAGUGGAAAGAUUUCUCUGAGGAUGUUUUGUACAGGGAGUAUUACUCCUUAUCUGUAGGUAAGAAGUUGUUGGUUCUUCAAAUUCUGUGUGACCAUGCAUUAGAGUGUGCAGAUAUGAGAGCUUCCAGAAUUUUAAUAUCAUGAAGAAAUGAGGUAUGGCUCUGAUUAUACCUUUUAGGUUUCGGAUUAUAUGAUGUUGAUUCCAUUCCUAGAAUUGCCGGUAUCUUCUUUUCGCUUCUCUCAAUUCCAGUUUAUGCACUUUUGAUACCUCCAUACUCGAUUUGCUCGCGUUUAUUGGAUUGUUAGAGAAUGUCAUUACAUGCAUGGGCUAAUAUGUAGUGCUCUAUUUAUGGAGGCGAUAUAGAGAUAUUAAAUAGGUUUUCAGGUGUCCCUUGUUUGGUUCUAAUGUGUUUUAUUUGCUGUCCUUGCCCCUCAUAGAUUUGAUUCUAUGGAAUAGCAUAAAUGAGCCAAGAGAGUAGAAUUGCAUUGAUUUACUAUUUUGAUGUAUGUAUUUCAUCGAGGAUGAAAAUUUGAUGAUGCAUAAUUUCGAUUAAUUACCUAUUGGAAUAUUCUUGAAGUGGGGCUAUGUCCGAAGGGGACUUUAGAACUAAUAUGAUUGGAAUCAUUGAGAUUAAGAAGUAUCUGACUUUCAUUUUCAAAAUGAAAGAUUUGGGUGAAACAGAUACUAUUUUAAGUGUUAAAUUAAAAAAUAGUGGGGGUUAUCCUUUGAGCCAAAGUGAUUACAUGGAGAAGAUGUUGUAUAGAUUUAAACAUCUUAUUUUCAAAUAUAUAAGUACUCUAUUUGAUUCCUGGUGGAGAGUUUUUAAUGUGAGUGCUAUGGGCCUUUAAUGUAUGCGAUACAUUAUACUAGACUUGAUAUUACUUUUUAUAUAUGCAAGUUGAGUAGAUAUGCUAGUAAUCCAAUUAUAGAACAUUGAAAGGCUAUUAUUAGAAUUUUUGGUUAUUUUAAGAGAACCUAAAAUUUAUGAUUGUUCUAUAAUAAUUAUUCGGUUGUAUUAUAAAGAUACACUGAUACUAGUUGGAUUACAAGUAUGGGAGAUGAAAUUUCUGGAUGAAUUUUCAUAUUACAUGAAUGUGUUGUUUCUUGGGUGAGCAAGAAACAAAAGUGCAUAAUUCACUCAACUUUGGAAUUUGAAUUGUUGCUUUAGCAAAAUUUGGGAAAGAGGCUAAAUGGGCUAUGAAUUUGUUGUUGAAUAUCAAUUCAUGGCUUAGUCUUAUGGCUCUUAUUUCUAUCCCUUGUGAUAGUUAGGCUACUUUGGUAAGAGCCUAUAGUAGAACCUAUUAUAGUAGAACCUAUAAUGGUAAGUUUAGACAUAUUAGUCUAAGACAUGAAUAUGUGAGACAAUUGACUAAAGAUGGUACCAUAACAAUUGUUUACGUGAGGUCAAGUAAUAAUCUUACCGAUCCUUUGAUGAAUGCUUUACCAAGACAUAUGAUAAUAAUGACCUCAUAAGAAACGGGGCUAAAACCCUUUAAUUGAAAUCACCAAUAAUGGUGACCCGACCUUUUUCUAGAACAUCACUAGUUACAAGGUUUAAUGGGUAAGAACAAGUUAUUGAAUGUUUUCUUGCCUUUACCAAAAAAAAAAACAAGUUAUUGAAUGUAAUUGUUUGAUACUGAUGCAGCCCUGAUAUGAGAAGUCAGUAUCGUCUGUUACGUUUUGUAGGCUGAAUUAAAUUCUUAAUGAAGUAUGAUACAAAUUUGUAAUGUGUUCUUUACCAAAAAAAAAAAAAAAAAAUUUGUAAUGUGUUGAUAGUAACAGAAACACAUGGUAGAUACUUCACCUAUAUGAGCUUAGAAGUGGUGCCGCUUCUUACGAAAGUUAGGGUUGCUUUCUAGAGAGCUCAUGAAACAGGAUCAAGCACAAGGCCAUAAUAGUGCGGAGUAAUAUAGAACUUCUCGCUGAAACAAGAGGUUAGUGUAUGUGUGGUAUGUCCGGUUCUAUUAUAUAAAAGUACAAGUUUAAAGCCGAGCUACUUGUCACUUUGAUAGGGCUUUGAGAUACUUGCACUAAGUAAAUGUUUAACUCGAAAGAGACCUUUAUGUAUGUAUAUUAAUCUCACGGAAAUUUUGGCUGUAUAUUUCUAACGUUUUAUUUUUUGUUUUUGUUUUAUAAACAAAAGUGGGGGAUUGUUGGUAAUUUGUUUAUAAAACAAAUGAAGAGGUGCAUUGUCCCACAUCGAAAAGAUGUGAGUGCGCAUAUGGACGGAAUUUGGCACUAACCAACGAUCAUUAUGUUUAUUUAUUGAAAAUUUGGAUUUAUUUCUAUAAAAAAUUAAUUAUAAAGUCUUGUUGAAACAGUGCGACUGUUCACGAAAAGUUACAAUUAUUUUUUAUUUAUUUAAUUCUGAAUUUCUUAUGUCUUUUCAACGUAAUCUUUGAGACAUACUUGUUCAUUUUACAACCUUUCCCGAAAGGUUGUCUUUGUUCUUUUGCAAUAUUUUGAAGAGUUGCAUUUAUUCGAAAGACAUAUAUAAGUACAUUUGUUUUGAGAUCAAAUAUAUAUCUUCUUCCAUUUUUUCGUUUUCUUUAGAGAGAAACUGCAGCCAUUAUUUCUAAUUGUUUCCCAUGAGAGACCCUGGAGAAAUACUAGAAUUGCUAUCUAGUAUUCUUACUUGAGACUUUGUUGUAUCCUGGAGGAAAUUUGCCGGUGACCAUUAGCAACGUAGUGGGGCAAAUAAAUUCUUAAAGAAAGUGAUAUCACGCCUCAAAGUCCGACUCGAGUACUCUAACGAUCCGACUUCAUUGUUCUACCCAAUUUGAAACCAUAUUUUUCCAACAUAUAUAGGGGAGAGGGAGGGAGCGGAAGCUUGUAGGACGGUGUUCGUUUCAAGUUAUCUGAAAAGCAAACAUUUUAAAUGAGCACUUUGCCAACGUUACAAAAAAGAAAUUCAAAGGGGAGCAAAAGAACAUGAGAGAAAUUGGCAAUUUGCCACUUUAAGGACGGUUAAGGAAUUUAGGUAAGUGCACUUUUAAUGGAAAGGCCUAGUUAACUUCUUCCUCAAAUUUCACCAUUUUAUCCUGGUUUUUUCUUUUGCCAAUUUUAUAUUUUUCUCUCUCUUUAAAGCUAAAUUGUAGUACAGUAUUAACAUAACAUGUAGAUGAGCGCCAAAAUGAGAAAUUUAAAAGGCGAGAUAAAAUGGUGUUUUGGCUUUUACAUAUAUAGAUAGAAAAGCUGGUUUCUUUCUUCUUCUUCUUCUUCUUCUUUUUUUCAGUGAUCUAUAAUAAUCAAAACUAGAAGUGACGGUGUAUUUCAUACUGAUGUGGCUACACUGUGAUGUAUUGAAAUACAUGUGUACGUGUUUGGCAAUGCAUCUUUGAAAGUUGCUGUGCUAUAGACAGCUAUGAUGACUAAUAUGUUUGAUCGCUGUAGUUAUUAGAAUGAAGAAAAGACCUUUUAAUAUUGCCGCAGAGCUUUUACCAACGUUUAUAUCCGUGUUAUUGGAACUUUUGCAGGAUACCUUUUUCACCAUAUGAUGAUGAUGAUGAUGAUGAUAGUUGAAUCCGGAAUAGACAUUUUGAGAGGACUUCAUUUCCACCCGAAAUACCAAAGUAAUCCAUGUUUAUACAUGAAAUUGCAGAAGAAAAUAUGAGGCAGUACAACGCCGAACACCUUGAAAUGCACAAUCUACUACAGCCCAAUGAGGCUGCAACCAUAUGUAUCCAAUUGNNNNNNNNNNNNNNNNNNNNNNNNNNNNNNNNNNNNNNNNNNNNNNNNNNNNNNNNNNNNNNNNNNNNNNNNNNNNNNNNNNNNNNNNNNNNNNNNNNNNNNNNNNNNNNNNNNNNNNNNNNNNNNNNNNNNNNNNNNNNNNNNNNNNNNNNNNNNNNNNNNNNNNNNNNNNNNNNNNNNNNNNNNNNNNNNNNNNNNNNNNNNNNNNNNNNNNNNNNNNNNNNNNNNNNNNNNNNNNNNNNNNNNNNNNNNNNNNNNNNNNNNNNNNNNNNNNNNNNNNNNNNNNNNNNNNNNNNNNNNNNNNNNNNNNNNNNNNNNNNNNNNNNNNNNNNNNNNNNNNNNNNNNNNNNNNNNNNNNNNNNNNNNNNNNNNNNNNNNNNNNNNNNNNNNNNNNNNNNNNNNNNNNNNNNNNNNNNNNNNNNNNNNNNNNNNNNNNNNNNNNNNNNNNNNNNNNNNNNNNNNNNNNNNNNNNNNNNNNNNNNNNNNNNNNNNNNNNNNNNNNNNNNNNNNNNNNNNNNNNNNNNNNNNNNNNNNNNNNNNNNNNNNNNNNNNNNNNNNNNNNNNNNNNNNNNNNNNNNNNNNNNNNNNNNNNNNNNNNNNNNNNNNNNNNNNNNNNNNNNNNNNNNNNNNNNNNNNNNNNNNNNNNNNNNNNNNNNNNNNNNNNNNNNNNNNNNNNNNNNNNNNNNNNNNNNNNNNNNNNNNNNNNNNNNNNNNNNNNNNNNNNNNNNNNNNNNNNNNNNNNNNNNNNNNNNNNNNNNNNNNNNNNNNNNNNNNNNNNNNNNNNNNNNNNNNNNNNNNNNNNNNNNNNNNNNNNNNNNNNNNNNNNNNNNNNNNNNNNNNNNNNNNNNNNNNNNNNNNNNNNNNNNNNNNNNNNNNNNNNNNNNNNNNNNNNNNNNNNNNNNNNNNNNNNNNNNNNNNNNNNNNNNNNNNNNNNNNNNNNNNNNNNNNNNNNNNNNNNNNNNNNNNNNNNNNNNNNNNNNNNNNNNNNNNNNNNNNNNNNNNNNNNNNNNNNNNNNNNNNNNNNNNNNNNNNNNNNNNNNNNNNNNNNNNNNNNNNNNNNNNNNNNNNNNNNNNNNNNNNNNNNNNNNNNNNNNNNNNNNNNNNNNNNNNNNNNNNNNNNNNNUUGCUCUCCCCACCUGUCUUCCUCAACAUCAUAUCAUGUUGAACACAGAAGCAAUCAGAUUUUGAAAGGAUGUAUUCUGCACCAUGUCUUGGAGAUACAGCAAGAUUGGCAUGAUGCCAGGUGAUGAGGGUAAAGAUAAAAAGUUCAUACUACUCGCCAUGCAGGUGAUGGGGGUAAAGAUAAGCGUAUCUCUCUCUCUCUCUCUCUCUCUCUCUCUCUCUCUCUCUCAAUUGUGCAAACUUCUCUCCUCUGUUAAUUUACUACUGAUGUUGAGUUCUGCCUGCAAAGUUCUGGCAAGUUUUUUGCCAUUAUCUUCUUUGAAAAAUCAAAAAGAAGAGUGGGGUUCAGAGGUGGAAAGAAGAACAGCUUGAAGAGAAACGGAAAAGUGCAGACUUGCAACAGAAGGCGCGGAAAGCUGUUUGCUUUAAGAUGCAUGACAACCAUGCAGAUGGCCAAUGUGGUCUUCUCCACCCAAAAACAAUCGUUUCUCGUGGUCCGAAUGGAAUUUUAUAUGAUUUGCAUCCGAAUAGAAAAAUAAUAUCGUAAUCUAAUAUCAUCUACCGCCUGCAAAGUUGCCAUUAUCUUCGUUGAAAAUUCAAAAGAAGGGGAGAGGCAGAAAGAAAAACAACAUAUGAAGAGAAACGGAAAGUGCAAACUCUCCAUAGAAGGCACAGGAAAGCAGUUCGCUUUAAGAUGCUUGAUAAACUACUAAGAAACGAUUUCAUGUGGUCUUUAAUGAAAUGUUAUAAGAUUCUACAUCAAUGAUAAUCGUACUUUGCGCUCCACUACUGCCUGCAAAGUUGCUAUUAUCUUCUUUGAAAACUCAAAAGAAGGGGCAACGUAGAAAGAAAAACCGCAUCGAAGAGAAACGAACAUCAUUAACUCUCAACAGAGAGCACGACAAAGCUGCUUGCUUUAAGAUGCAUGAUGAACUACUAAUGAACAAUCAUUUCACGUGGUCUCUGAUGAUAUUUUAUAAGAUUUACAUCCGAAUACCGGAUCGAUAUCGUGCUUUAUGCUCCACUACUGCCUGAAAAGUUGCUGUAAUCCUCCUUGAAAACUUCAAAGAAGGUGGGAGAGGCAGAAAGAAAAACAACAUUGAAGAGAAACGAACAUCACCAACCCUCAACAGAAGGCACAAGAAAGCUGCCUGCUUUAAGAUGCAUGAUAAACUUCUAAUAAACAAUCAUUUCACGUGGUCUCUGGUGAAAUUUUAUAAGAUUUACAUCCAAAUACAGCAUCAAUAUCGUACUUUAUGCUCCACUAUUCCCUUGAAAGUUGCUAUCAUCUUCUUUGAACGCUCAAAAGAAGGGGAGAGGCAGAAAGGAAAACAACAUUGAAGGGAAACGAACAUCGCAAACUCUCAACAGAAGGCACGAGAAAGCUGUUUGCUUUAAGAUGCGUGACAACCAUGCAUAUGGUCAUUGUUGAAUUCCUACUCAAAACCAAUUAUUUCUCUUAGCCUCUGAUGAGAAUUUACAACCAUUACAGCCAAAUGGAGGAAUAAUAUUUUACUUUAUGCUUCAUUACUAUAAUAUAUGUACAUAUCUAUUCAACGCAACCAAAAGAAUCAUGUUUCUCACACAUAAAUAGGACAAGUUUUUUGAGUGUCUGAAAUUUUUACAUUCAAAAUGUUAUUGUUUUGGACGGAAACAUUGUGACUCGACGCUGGAGAAUUGAAAUUCAAUUGUAAACCUAUCGUAUGAAUUCAAAUUCAAUCUCAAACAUUUUAAUUCAAGCAAUGUUGUUUUAAACCUUUGAGUGAAAAUGUAAUCAAGUCCUCCUGGUCAAGUCUCGCCUAAAUAGCAAUCCAAUCAUUUGUCGUUGUACGUGUCUUGACUAGUGAUUUGAUGUGGACAAAUAUUCUCGAAACAGACGCCAUCGUUGCUCAACUCCACAAGCCGUCAACCUUGCCAAGAACCGCCCUCUCUCAAGUUGAUUUCUAUUAAUAGUCACAGCUUAGCUAGAGCUGGCACCUCCAAAUGUGGAGGCUUGGCAGUCGGUCACCAUGCCCAUCGGGCUCCUUGGCCCCUCCAUGGAAGAUGAUUGUACAACCCUCAAAUUUUUAGUGAUGUUUGUUUUUCCUCCCUGACCCUUCCAUGCCAUGCAAGAUGAUUGUAUAACCCUUAAUUUUUUUUUUUUUGUGACGAAGAAUUUUUUGGUUAAUUUUUAAAUAAAUUUUUUCUUUUCUUUUUUCAUUCCUUCUUCUUCCUUCUCUAGCUAGUCACAGGACCUCGGUGACUAGCCAGAGACGAGUUGACAAGGCCAACCUUGCCCAACCAUCGCAAGGCUCCCUUGAGAUUGGUGCAGCCACCCUCAUCAGCCCUCCUCUCUAGUUGGUCAUCGGCUAUCAUUGAGGCCUAUGUAGCACCGACACGGACACGCGACACACGACACGACACGACACGCCGACACGUUAUUUCUUAAAAAUAAAGAAUUUCGACACGUUCCGACACAUUAUAUAUUAAAUAUAUAAAUACAUAAAUAAAUAAUAAUAAAAAUAGCCUAGAAUUAAUUUACACGAAAAAUAUUAAAUAAUAUCAUUCAUUAUUUUAAUUUGUUACAAUAAUACAUAAAACUUAGAGGAAAAAAACAUUAUUUAAAGAAAAAUGCUGAAAUGAUAUUUUUAUAUUUAUUUAUUUAUCAUAUAUAGCAUUUUUUUAUUACUUCUUUCAUAGUAAAAGACUUUUAAAAAAACUAAAACAAUUAUAAAAAAAACUGAAAAAAAAAAUUAACCCUGUGCGUGUAUAUUUAUAGCAAUUUUAUUACUUCUUUUAUUACUUCUUUUUUGUAUAUUUAUAUUUUGACCCCUCAAGUAUUAUAAAUUUUUAAAAUUGACCCCGUGCGUGUCGGAAUCACGUGUCGGAAUUCUAGACUCACGUGUCGGAGAGAGUUAACCACGUGUCGGAUUUUUCGACACUCGUUGACCGCGUGUUGGGACGUGUCGGAGCGUGUCGGACACGCGUCGGAGUGUCGGACACGACUCGAAGGCUUCCGGAGAGUGUCCGUGCUACAUAGAUUGAGGCCUGACGAGAAGAGGGGGAAUAAGAAAGGAAACGAAAAAGAAAAAGAAAAAAGAGAAACUGACCUUUAUUAGAAACUGUUCCUGAUGACAAAUAAUUCUUUCUACUUUCUAUUUUCGUUCUAAAUUUAUUUUCUGGCUACUGAUCUAUUUCAAAAAAAAAAAUAACUAACAUUAUCAAAUAUUUUUUUUUUCCUGUUUCGGAGAAUGAAAUAACAGAAAAAUAGAGAAACAAAAUGAUCACCAAAUAGGAUCUAACUUUAUAACUGAACUUGCAAUUCUUCCAACUCAACCUAUGCCUAUUAUAAGUUUUCUUUUCUUUUAAUAAUUCUUUCUCUCUUCUGUCUCCUCUCUUCAUCGGUAUAAAAUGGGUAAUCAGGGAUGGGUGGCUUGUGUAGUGGAAGAGAAACCGUAUUCCCAAUGGUCGCACAGCGAAUUUGGGUCCAUAUUCAAAUCCACCAGAGGAAGUAAACUGACCUCUUUCACCAUUAAAUCACCAUGCUGAGUGUUGAUUUUAACUCCAUAAAGUCCUCUGACACGUCUGCCCCUCGGGACCUUCCGGAUUAUAAAAGCGACAGCAAAAGUCAUAUCCUAUGAUUUUCAAUCUUUACCGACACAGAGAAACGGAUUUGCGCAUAGCUAAUAUGAGAAAACAGCUAUCCUAUACAUUGGCAUUUAGUUGAUAAAAAAGGUUGAUCAAUUUAGGGAUGACAUGCAGCAACUUGAAUUCCAUCCACAAAUAGAUAACGUGCAGCCAAGGCUAUGUCAAAGCCCCAAUACAUGUAUUAGAUACUAUGCCAUCUCAAUCCACCAAGAGAAAAGGUAUGCAUUUUCAACUCCAGCAGAUGAGAUAUCCUUUGGGAUGGUGGUCUUGGAAGAUGAAUCUUGCUUCUGGUCUCCAUAAUUUGGCAGCAAUGAUGGUGAUUCCACUGGACUGGUUAGGACUACUUUUAUCUUCCUCUCCUCUAUGCAUUUAUCACUUUCCUUAUCAAAUUUAAAAUUUAAAAGAAAACUUCUCAGGUUACUUGACCCAAAAGAUUAUGGAACACAAAGCAGCAAAAUCUACCAUGUCAGCAGUAAUGUCCUCUUCACCUGUAUCAAAAACUUGUCUCAACGUUGCAAGACAGGUGGAGCUACCUGCUGUGCUUACAUGGUAACGGCAUCAAACGGAAGAUAGGAUUAAGGGCCUACUCUAAUUUUUUCGAAGUAUCAGGACAUAGCUACUGAGGCCUAUCAUGGUUUUCCUGUCUCAACGUAUAUUAGGCUACUAUGCUAGGCAUUCAAAAUCUUAUUCAAAGAUGAUCCUUACUGCGAUGUGACUGACAUUACCUUAAGCAGUUCAUAUCCCAGUAAUGAUACAGUCUUACAGACAUGUCGUGGCAAAGAAAUUGCAAAAUAAUCAUUCAGCUGAUUCAAGUACUGCGGGCAUGUCCCUCCUCACAAGUAUGUCGGUGGUUUUAGUAUGUGAACAUGAUGUUUCACUGACUUGAGCAGAACAAUUUCGAAUCAGAUUAUCCAUUUGGCUUGAUGAUUCCUACAUUUGGCCGCACACAGAAUUUCUUCAGAGACGUAGCCUUAGCCUGGAAUGUUUUGGAUAUCCAGUAUAGAGCUCAUAAUGUUUCUCCACAAUAGAGAGUUCUUAAUGCGCUGAUGUACUACUCUGAAAAUUAAAUUACAUCAAGAGAAUACAAGAUUGAAAGGAAAUUGUCCACCCGCCAUAACCUAAAAAAUAAAACUUGAUCACGGUGAAAGAAAAGGUCCAAAGAAUAUUCACCUUGAAAGCAACAUACCGAUCAGUCUUAUUGCUUAGCGGAAUGAGCAUGAGCUUUGUUUACUCAACUCAAUUGCAUAAUCACGGAGAAGAGGCUUCAGAUGAAAGAAUUAAAGAGAAAGGGGGCCCGACAUGAGGACAGGAUGUGAUGAAAUGGACCAUCGUCUUGUUCAUUCAUUUUCUCUACUAAUCAUUCUCUGAGUCAUUUGGUUACAACAACCAUUCACCUACUUAAUCUCCAGAAAGAAAUUUACGUCAGAAGUCAUUCUAAGAGUUUGCGGUGUGAGGGACUACGCAAAAAUGAACAAACCUGACCAAAUAUUUGAAAACAACACAAGGAAAAGAAUUUGAAAACGGGGCGACCAGUGACUGAUUCAUACAUGCCAUUGAAGCUUAUGCCUUAAGAUAUUUCCUUUACCAUUUUAUAUGAUGUUGAACCGCAAAUUCUCAAGCAAAUUAUUGUAGAACGGAGAACUAUCAUCCCCUUCACUUAUUGCCUAAUAAAACAGGUGGCAAGCAAUGCAAAUUUUAACGUGGCACCAAAAAUGAAAAUGAACCAAAUGUGCAGCACUAUAUAUACUCACAAAUUAAACUCAAGUUCAUGAGGCCGGAUCUCCAACAGCUCUUCGGCCAUGAUGACAACUAUAGCACCAAUCCACAUAAAACGACAGGUCACAUGGCAGGGUAACGACAAUCAAGCAAAAAGCUCUGCAUGAAGCUCAAUUUCAAGCACCCAUUUCGUAUAAAUCUGAUCACGCGCUGUCUCUAGCAGAUUCCUCAUUUCAAACACCAAAUUUGCACAUGAUCACCAAACACUAGACAGUCAAAAAUGGCUCAGCACCCAAAUUACGAACACAAUCCAAGAGCAGUUCAGGAUUUACCAAAAAUCAGAGCACUACAUUUGGCAAUGAAAGCUUAACCAUCAGGGGAGUAUCUUACAGGUCAGAAACUUCCUUUGGCAGUGAAAUCUUAAUCUUCGAGGGAGUAUCUUACAGGUCAGAAUCUUCCUUUUGAUGGAUCCCAAUAAUGAGAAAAUCAAACUCCAGUGCAAGUUCACAACGAAGGACAUGACAAUAAUAUCAGCUAAGGGAUAUGCCAUGACUCGCACAACCCAAGAGAAAUCGCAGGAAAGACCCCAAGUCAGCAGGCCUAAAUUAUCACCUCUCCAAGACACAACACUAACAUAGCAGCAGCAGCAGCAGCAGCAGUACCAAACUCUAGUAGUCCCUGAUGACAGUUGGGUUGACUCUGACUUGGCAAUAACAACUUCGUGCCAUUUCACUCAGUAAAUGAACACAUAAUCUUCAAUACAUGUGGCACUACAAAUUCGUAAGGACCAAUGUAGCGGGAGUAGCAUUGACCCAAGAAUCUGAGAGAGCAAACAUGUUUUCCAUUAUUUGAUUAUUCAUACAAUAAAUUUAUGACUGAAUUUGCGAUUCUCCCAACUCACCUAUGCUUAUUAUGAGUUUUUUCCCUCCUUUUAAAUAUUUCUUCCCCUCUUCUGUCUCCUCUCCUCAUCUGUAUAAAAUGGGCAAUCAAGGGUUGCUUGUGUAAUGGAAGGGAAACGGUCCUCCCAAUGAUCUUACUGGUGAAAGUAGACCAAAUACAAAUCAACCAGGGGAAGAAAACUAACCUCUUUCAACUUUGUAUCACCCCACUGAGUGUUGAAUUUAACUCCUUAAAACCUCUGACACAUCCAACCCUUCAGGAUGCUGGCAUCAAAAGACAAUCCUUCUGGAUUAUAAGAGUGAGAACAGAAGUCAUAUUCUAUCAUGAGUAAUAGAAAUGGAUACAUGUACAGUUAAUAUGAGAAAAAAGCUAUCCUAUACACUCGCAUUUAGUUGCUAAAGAGGUUGAUCAAUUAUAGAUGAUGUGUAGCAACUUGAUUUCCAUUUACAUAAAUAACAUGCGGCCCAGCCAAUGCUGUGGCAAAGCCCCGAUCCAUGUAUUAGAUACAAAGCCAUCUCAACCCAGAAAGACAAUAAAGUGACAUAUUGAUGUUUUCUGGCAGUCAUACCCUGAGAAAAGGUGAUGCAUUUUCGACUCCAGCAGGUGAGAUAUCCUUUGGGAUGGUAGUCUCGGAAGAUGAAUCUUGCUUCCGGUCUCUGUAAUCUGGCAGCCCUGAAGGUGAUUCCACUGGACUGGUUAGGACUGCUUUUAUCAUCCUCUCACUUAUGUAUUUACCGCUUUCUUUAUGCAAUUGAAAAUUCAAUAGAAAAUUUCUUGAGUCGCUUGACCUGAAAGAUUAUGAAACAUAUAGCAGAAAAACCUACCAUGUCAGCAAUAGUGUCCUCUUCACCUGUAUCAAAAACUUGUCUCUGCACAGCAGGACAGGUGGAGCUACCUGCCGUGCUUACAUGGUAACUGCAUCAAACAGAAGAUGGGAUGAAGGCCUACUCCAAUUCUUGUUGCCUAGCGGAAUCAGGCAUGAGCUUUGUUUACUUAACUCAACUGCAUAAACACAGAGAAGAGGCCUAAGAUAAAAGAACUUAAUGGGGCAUGACAUGAGAGCAGGAUGUGAUGAAAUGGACCAUCAUACAUUUUCUUUGAAGAUAUAAUGCAGCAAUGAAGUCUCAUUUUGUGCGUUAGUUUUCUCUACUGAACAUUCUCAGUCAUUUGGUUACAGCACUCACCUACUUUUAUCUCUAGAAAGAAAUUCACUCACAUGGCACUAUAAGAGUUUGUGGUGUGAAGAUAGAAACUAUGCAAAAAGAAAGAACCUGACCAAAUAUUCGAAAACAGCACAAGGAAAAGAACUUGAAAAACAGGGCGACCAAUGACCGAUUCAUACUCGCCAUUGAAGCUCAUGCUUUUAGAUAUUUUUUUUACCAUUAUUUAUGAUGUUGAACCACAAAUUCUCAAGCAAAUUAUUGUAGAAUAGAGGAACAUCAUCCGCUUCACUUAUUGCCUGUAAAACAGGAGGUAAGCAAUGCAAAUUGAAUGUAGCUCCAAAAUAAAAAUGAACCAAACGCACAGCACUAUAUAUACUCACAGAUAAACUUGACUUCAUGAGGCUGGAUCUCCAAGAGCACUUCAGCCAUGAUGAUGACUAUAUUGCUGAUCUACAUGAAAUGGUGGAUCACAUAGCAGGGCAACAACAAUCAAGCAAAAAGGUCUACAUAAAGCUCAAUUUCGAGUACCCAUUCAUAUAGGGUGCGUUUGGUUUGGCUUUUGGAGAAAGCCUUUGGAUAAUGCAGAGGCUCUUAGCCUAAAGGAGUUUUGUGAAAUGCAAAGACUGUUUGGUAAUUUGCAAUUUUAAAGUGACUUGGGAAGUAACAUUGGGAAAAUACUAUUUGAUAAGCAUAUAUUUAAAAAGUCUUUUGAUGAAAAUCAAUUUCUUAAAAAUUUAUUUAAAAAAAAAAAAACACAACGAUGGCAACUUUUAUAUUUUCACAUUACGAGUGAUGUAAAAGAGACAUAUUAACAAGUUCAAAAAUUAAAAAAUUACAUGAGAAGUGUAAAAAAUAAUAGGGCCCUCAGAUAUACAAACAGUAAAGAAAGUAUAAUGACCAAUGGGCUAAGUUACUGAGAAUAUAAAAAUAAAAUUUAGUUGUUUCUGAUGUCAUAUGGAAAGUCUUAUCUAAAACUGGCAUAUGAUAAGAAAUAUGUCUCUUAUUCAGCCUAAGACAAUUAGACAUAUCUUAGCUGCAACAUGACAGCACCAAGUCAUAUCUUGCUCUUUCUGAAUGGACAACUGAGCACCUCUUUGCCUUAAACGACUCCAUCAAUUUCCCCAUGUCUUAGAGGCCAAAAAUACUAUGAGAAUGGACUGAACCGCCUAACACUUCCUCGAGAUUGAUUGCGGAGCGAGCACCACAUGAACACAUACGUGAUGGCGACCAAAAUGAGCUUUUGCUCAUGUUCAAAGCCUAAGCAUGCAAGAAAAUUAAAGAGCUCCGACUCUUGAAGAGCAAUGGACUUCUUCUGUGAACCUCUGAUUGCUGACAAAUCGAGGAUUAGCCUUAAAAAACUGUUCCUCUCAUAAACAUAAGUACAAUCACAACAUCUCAAUUCACAAGGCAGUGCAUGUAUUAAUAUACACAUCAUGGGUAUUCCAAAGAACUUACAAGAGAAGAUAACUCCUAGUAACUGCUGUGUACAAUGGAAAUGAACAUUCAAAGCCCAGGAUUAUUCCUGGGAAAAAUGGAAAAGUGGGGAACAACAGACUUUUACAUCACAUGAAGUAAGAACGACAUAAUGAGUGAAUUUAACCGUCCCAUAGAAUUCUAUUAGCAAUGGCAGUGUCCACUGAUUCCAGUUCUUCCACGACUUUAGUCCUGGAAGGCCACUCGUUAGGAGUCAUUCGGAGGUAUUGUAAAGCAAGUUGUGCUAUUUGGAAUGCAGAAUCCAUAAAUGUAGGGUAUAGGGAUGGUAUAAAUUUGGUUCCCAUUUCUGGCAGGUUGCAACAUCAUGAGCGACCAGUUUCCUCUAAAAUAACCAGUAUUUCUUUUUCGGUUUCUGAGGAAGGGGAACAUCUGCAGAAAAAUGAAAAGUUAUGUAGGCAUGCAACUGUAGAUUCCAUGCCAAAUGAUUUAAGUAGCUAAAAGGGAAACACACCUCGUGUUUCAUAGAGGGGAUUAUAGUGAACCUCAUAUCCAGAAACUCAACCAAAGCUCUGCAUCUAUGAAAGUAGGUACAAACGAAAACUUAAAAGAAAAUGGAGUUUCAAAAGACCNNNNNNNNNNNNNNNNNNNNNNNNNNNNNNNNNNNNNNNNNNNNNNNNNNNNNNNNNNNNNNNNNNNNNNNNNNNNNNNNNNNNNNNNNNNNNNNNNNNNNNNNNNNNNNNNNNNNNNNNNNNNNNNNNNNNNNNNNNNNNNNNNNNNNNNNNNNNNNNNNNNNNNNNNNNNNNNNNNNNNNNNNNNNNNNNNNNNNNNNNNNNNNNNNNNNNNNNNNNNNNNNNNNNNNNNNNNNNNNNNNNNNNNNNNNNNNNNNNNNNNNNNNNNNNNNNNNNNNNNNNNNNNNNNNNNNNNNNNNNNNNNNNNNNNNNNNNNNNNNNNNNNNNNNNNNNNNNNNNNNNNNNNNNNNNNNNNNNNNNNNNNNNNNNNNNNNNNNNNNNNNNNNNNNNNNNNNNNNNNNNNNNNNNNNNNNNNNNNNNNNNNNNNNNNNNNNNNNNNNNNNNNNNNNNNNNNNNNNNNNNNNNNNNNNNNNNNNNNNNNNNNNNNNNNNNNNNNNNNNNNNNNNNNNNNNNNNNNNNNNNNNNNNNNNNNNNNNNNNNNNNNNNNNNNNNNNNNNNNNNNNNNNNNNNNNNNNNNNNNNNNNNNNNNNNNNNNNNNNNNNNNNNNNNNNNNNNNNNNNNNNNNNNNNNNNNNNNNNNNNNNNNNNNNNNNNNNNNNNNNNNNNNNNNNNNNNNNNNNNNNNNNNNNNNNNNNNNNNNNNNNNNNNNNNNNNNNNNNNNNNNNNNNNNNNNNNNNNNNNNNNNNNNNNNNNNNNNNNNNNNNNNNNNNNNNNNNNNNNNNNNNNNNNNNNNNNNNNNNNNNNNNNNNNNNNNNNNNNNNNNNNNNNNNNNNNNNNNNNNNNNNNNNNNNNNNNNNNNNNNNNNNNNNNNNNNNNNNNNNNNNNNNNNNNNNNNNNNNNNNNNNNNNNNNNNNNNNNNNNNNNNNNNNNNNNNNNNNNNNNNNNNNNNNNNNNNNNNNNNNNNNNNNNNNNNNNNNNNNNNNNNNNNNNNNNNNNNNNNNNNNNNNNNNNNNNNNNNNNNNNNNNNNNNNNNNNNNNNNNNNNNNNNNNNNNNNNNNNNNNNNNNNNNNNNNNNNNNNNNNNNNNNNNNNNNNNNNNNNNNNNNNNNNNNNNNNNNNNNNNNNNNNNNNNNNNNNNNNNNNNNNNNNNNNNNNNNNNNNNNNNNNNNNNNNNNNNNNNNNNNNNNNNNNNNNNNNNNNNNNNNNNNNNNNNNNNNNNNNNNNNNNNNNNNNNNNNNNNNNNNNNNNNNNNNNNNNNNNNNNNNNNNNNNNNNNNNNNNNNNNNNNNNNNNNNNNNNNNNNNNNNNNNNNNNNNNNNNNNNNNNNNNNNNNNNNNNNNNNNNNNNNNNNNNNNNNNNNNNNNNNNNNNNNNNNNNNNNNNNNNNNNNNNNNNNNNNNNNNNNNNNNNNNNNNNNNNNNNNNNNNNNNNNNNNNNNNNNNNNNNNNNNNNNNNNNNNNNNNNNNNNNNNNNNNNNNNNNNNNNNNNNNNNNNNNNNNNNNNNNNNNNNNNNNNNNNNNNNNNNNNNNNNNNNNNNNNNNNNNNNNNNNNNNNNNNNNNNNNNNNNNNNNNNNNNNNNNNNNNNNNNNNNNNNNNNNNNNNNNNNNNNNNNNNNNNNNNNNNNNNNNNNNNNNNNNNNNNNNNNNNNNNNNNNNNNNNNNNNNNNNNNNNNNNNNNNNNNNNNNNNNNNNNNNNNNNNNNNNNNNNNNNNNNNNNNNNNNNNNNNNNNNNNNNNNNNNNNNNNNNNNNNNNNNNNNNNNNNNNNNNNNNNNNNNNNNNNNNNNNNNNNNNNNNNNNNNNNNNNNNNNNNNNNNNNNNNNNNNNNNNNNNNNNNNNNNNNNNNNNNNNNNNNNNNNNNNNNNNNNNNNNNNNNNNNNNNNNNNNNNNNNNNNNNNNNNNNNNNNNNNNNNNNNNNNNNNNNNNNNNNNNNNNNNNNNNNNNNNNNNNNNNNNNNNNNNNNNNNNNNNNNNNNNNNNNNNNNNNNNNNNNNNNNNNNNNNNNNNNNNNNNNNNNNNNNUGAGAUUCUACAACCAAAGACAAGUCAGCCACUGCUUCAGAUUUUCACUUGGUGAUCUGUCCUGUGCAAAUGUGAAUGAUGUUGAGCUGCGCGUGGCUCUGGCAUUGGCUCUGGAAAUGGAUCCCAAGUUGCUUUCUCAGCUGAAAGUAGUACAGCUUAUUGGAAACCUUUUGGAGUUUGUGCAUGAGAAAAAUAUGGAAGAUUUUCUCAAAAUGAUGUUUGGCUUGUGCAAAGCUCUUCUUUUAUGAUCACUAGGUUCUACGAAAGGUUCCACAUACAUGGAAGAGCCAACACUACUUGAUGAAAGUUCUUCUAAGGCAGUGAGUAGCAUAUGACACAUAACUGACUUUGGUGGCAGUGCCAGUGUUUUCCGGGAAAUGAGUGGUUCUCAUGACAGAAACAGUGCUGAUAUUGCUUCUAAAUUAACAGCUCUAUUACUGAAGGCAGCCCCAAGGGAAGGUGCUCUCUUUUUCUUACCAAUCUCCUGUAAGUGAGUGCAAUUCUCGAGUCUCAGCAGAAGGGUGCUCCUUCUCUACUGGUACCAACGAAUGCUGCAUUCUCUCAGUUACUCCUGUAGGCGAUGUUUGCUGCAUGGAAUGAUUUUUGUCAGUGUGCCCGUCAAAGAUUGCUAUGAUUGAAGGCAUUGUUGCUGAGAUAAAAUAUUCUGCUGCUGCUGCUUUAGCCAGCGCUGCCACACUGGUAAUCUUGGAAUUGCAGUGGCUCCCUCAUUUAUGACUUCUCCAUAACAUUUACAAAUCCCACCAAGAAGCACACCUUUCCUGAAAAAUAAACUGAACUUAAGCAUAGCAAUACAGAGUGUCUGUCUACUACAAAGUUGCAAAUGAGCUGAUUGUGCUGUAAUGUCCCAGGAUGAGAACCAUGGUCAUAUGACCUUCCAGCACACAUUCCACCUAUUUGUUUACAGCAUAGCGAAGUUAUCUCCAAUGCAAAGCGAGGUUAUCAAUUUCAAAAUAUAUGAAGCAGCAAAUCGACAAGGAUCUCUAAUAAUUUGGUACAUAUCAAAUAAAAUCGAUGCAAUCGAAAUGCAUAUCUCUAGGAGAAAUCAUCCUAGGGAAAUGUAGCUAAAAAAGCCAAACCAAACUAGGAAAAGAACACAAAUACGUGUACAUAAUUAAGAGCCCUUUGGCUGUUCGGAGGUAUUAUAAUUUCAAUGCCGUCAUCAGAUUUUCAGACAUGAACCCGCAGAUAGGUCAUUAAAAAGUGCAUGCGAAACUUCUCUGCUCAUAUCUCUGAAAGAAUUUGAUUGCCAGAAAAGGAAAAGAUUGGUACUUACCUCAAUUCGUUUAAGGUUUGAACACGAGGGAACAAUUUGCAGUUGUGCUUCAAAAAGCUUCCAAGUGCAACGUGCACUUAUUCAUCAUCUUCUUCAUCGUAUUCUUCCACAAAUUUUUCUUCUUCAUUGUCUUCUUCCACAAAUUCGUCUUCUUCAUCCUCUCCCACAAAUUCAAUUGACUUCUCCAAGCAAAGCAAGAAAUUUCCUCCACAUCUAAUUUCCUGCAUCCUCUUAUUGUGACCUCUCGCAGUCUAUUCAAGCUUGACAGCUCAGGCAACUUCUGUAAAGAUUCACAGCUGUCAAUAUACAAUGUUUCCAAAGAUUGGGGUAGUUCGCCUUGAAUCUCAACCAGAUUAUGACAAUCUCUUACUGAAAGACCUAUUAUUCCGUCCAAAUUGCUUAGAUCAGGGAUCUGCAUCAGUAUAUUCAAUCCUUUGAUUGUGACCUAUCGCAGUCUCUUCAAGCUUGACAGCUGAGGCAACUUCUGUAAAGAUUCACAGCUGUCAAUCCACAAUGUUUCCAAAGAUUGGGGUAGUUCGCCUUGAAUCUCAACCAGAUUAUGAUAAUCUCUUACUGAAAGAUAUCUUAUUCCAUCCAUAUUGCUUAGAUCAGGGAUCUGUAUAUUCAAACCUUUGAUUGUGACCUCUCGCAGUCUCUUCAAGCUUGACAGCUCAGGCAACUUCUGUAAAGAUUCACAGCUGUCAAUCCACAAUUUUUCCAAAGAUUGGGGUAGUUCGCCUUGAAUCUCAACCAGAUUAUGACAAUCUUCUACUGAAAGAUCUGUUAUUCCGUCCAAAUUGCUAAGAUCAAGGAUCUGUAUAUUCAAACCUUUGAUUGUGACCUCUCGCAGUCUCUUCAAGCUUGACAGCUCAGGCAACUUCUGUAAAGAUCCACAUUCAAUAAUCUCCAAUUCUUCCAAAGAUUGGGGUAGUUCGCCUUGAAUCUCAACCAGAUUACCACAGGAUUCAAUGUUCAAGUAUUCGAAAGAUUGGGGUAGUUCGCCUUGAAUCUCAACCAGAUUAUGACAAUCUCUUACUGAAAGAUAUCUUAUUUCGUCCGAAUUGCUAAGAUCAGGGAUCUGUAUAUUCAAACCUUUGAUUGUGACCUCUUGCAGUCUCUUCAAGCUUGACAGCUCAGGCAACUUCUGUAAAGAUCCACACCAUUGAAUCCACAAUGUUUUAAAAGAUUGGGGUAGUUUACCUUGAAUCUCAACUAGAUUACCGCAGGAUUCAAUGUUCAAGUAUUCCAAAGAUUGGGGUAGUUCACCUUGAAUCUCAACCAGAUUAUGACAAUAUUCUACUGAAAGAUCUUAUUCCAUCCAUAUUGCUUAGAUCAGGGAUCUGUAUAUUCAAACCUUUGAUUGUGACCUUUCGCAGUCUCUUCAAGCUUGACAUCUCAGGCAACUUCUGUAAAGAUUCACACUGUUGAAUCCGCAAUGUUUCCAAAGAUUGGGGUAGUUCGUUUUGAAUCUCAACCAAAGAUUUACAGCUGUCAAUAUCCAAUGUUUUCAAAGAUUGGGGUAGUUCACCUUGAAUCUCAACCAGAUUAUGACAAGAUUCUACUCUAAGAAGUGUUAUUCCAUCCAUAUUGCUUAGAUCAGGGAUCUGCAUCUGUUUAAAGCCAGAAAGCUGGAACCGAUCUCCACUUAAAUAUUCAAAACUUUGAUUGCCAAUACGCACAUACACAUAAACAUGUGUCUUACCCAUUAUGCUGAACGGAUCGGGGAACUCCUGUAACGAAUCACAGGAACAAAUUUUAAGUUUAUCCAAAAACCGUGGUAGUUCACCUUGAAUCUCAACCAGAUUACCACAAUCGAUUACUUCAAUAUGCCUCAGCGUGUUUAACUUGCUUAGAUCAGGUAGCAUCACCAGCUGUACGACGUGCCAAAGGCGGAAAUCUCGUAGGUUCUCCAAACAACCAAGGCCUUCAAUCUUUGCAACUGUAGAGCAGCAAAUGUCGAGAGACGAUAGUUUCCUCAAAUUCGAUAGAUCCAUCGAGCAAAGUGAGUCGCAACCAGAGAGACAUAAGACGGAUAAACUUGAGGGAAGCCUCAGGAGGAGAGGCGGAUGAGGAGGGAGGCUGAGGUCUGUCGAUGAGGCGGUCCCCCCGAAAAAGCGCAGUAGCAGAGAUUCCAAUUUGCUUAAGUUCCCAAUCCACCGUGGUAUCCGUUUUUCUAGGAGCCCAUCAGAUUUCCCAUCACAGUUAGGUGGGCCAAAGCCCAGAUGCAAUACCUUUAAGUUAGCGAGAUUUGAGAGAUCCGGAAACGUGUCCACCCUCAACUCCUCCACUACUAAUUCGAUGAGACUUUCAGGAAACCUUGGUAGGGCGUGUACUCCCGGCCAUCCCAAUAUCUCCUCCCAUGGACCCCCGUAUAAGCAAUAGCCACUUAUUGCAUGGGCAUGCGUGACAUGAUUAUAACGGUCAGCGAUUUCCAUUCCCUUGACCUUCCCCAUCUUCUUACAAGCAUCAUUGUUCGUUCUUUUUUCGAAACCAUUCUGCAUCUUCAUUACUUUCAAAUUCUUCAACAUUCCAAUGGAAUCGGGUACUUCUUCGAUGCUCGUGUGACUUAUGUCCAACUUAGUUAGCGAAUCCCAAUUUCCAACCGUCUCCGGAAGCCUCUGAAGAUUCCAACAAUUGCUUACAUCUAAGAAAAUUAAGCGUUUCAACUGACAAAUUGAUCCAUCAAUUUCGAUUAAUGAUUCACAGCCUGAUAGGAUCAAAUGUUCUAAAUUUGAAUGAGCUGAGAAGUUGGGGAUUCUCUUCAAGUGUUGGCAAUGGGCCAGAUUUAGAACUUUCAAAUUCUUAAUCACCUGUGAAAGAAAAAUCAUGCACAGUUUACUUUCGAAUUUAAUGAGACGGAAGAACAAGUAUCGUCUAGCAUAUAACAUACCUUCAUGUGGCUCCACCCCUUCCAAUCAUUUGUAAUUUGACUCUGAGAUAGAUCAAGAACAAUCACAUUUUCCAUGGAGAAAUUUGUAAUCUCAAAUGUUGGGCAAAUGUUAUGCCAAGAAAGCCAUCGUAAUUGUGGAAGGAGAUUUGAAUUCUCCUGGAAAAAAUUAAUUGGAAGACAAUUUGAUAGCCAUUCGAGACAACAAAGCUCCUUUUUGGCACAACAAUUUUCCUUCAAGUCGUAAACUUCAAGGAACGUUAGAUUUGGUAGGCCCUUAAAGUCCUCAUGGGUAAAUUGAUGCUGAUGCUCAAACUUGAGAUGAAGAGCAACGACUUCUUUUUUUUCCUGCCCAAAGGAAAAAUUCUAAAUAAAAAAAAGUUGAAAGGAAACACAUUUAUUCAAGUUCACUAUUUUAAGGGGUUGAAUUGAGUACUAUCAUUCCUUUAGAAUCUUAAAAGAGAAAAAAUAUUGGUUGAAUAGGUCGAGAUGGUGCUAUAGAACACAAAAAGUAACUGCCUUUUUUUGGAAAAGACAAUGUCUAUAAGUAACUUGGAGAUGUAAUGCACAAGGCAUUUUACCUUAUGUAUCUUCAUUAGAUUUAAUCCUUCCUCGGGAUUCCACACCCGAUGUGGCUUCUCCAUAUUCAUCCCUCUUUCUUGACAAACUAUUGCUCUUCCAAGGUCUCUGAGUUGAUCAUGCAUCCACAAUAUAUUAUCUUCUCCAAUCUUUAUUAAAGACAUGUUCUGUAAAACUUCCAAGGCUGCUUUCAAAAAAGGUUUAGGUGCAUCCCAGAAAUAAACCACAAUGUCUUUGCAACAUCCAAUGAAAUGACAAGCUAUAUCAAGGAGUAUACGUUUCUGCAAAUCAUUUAAUGCAUCAUAACUUAUUUUCAACUUAUCUUGAACUUUACCAUCGGGAACACUUUCUAGCGUAUUCAAAGUGUCAUCCCACUCUUCCUUAUUUUUGUUGGAUAAAAGUGAACCUAUGACCAUAAUGGCUAAUGGAAGACCUCCGGCAAUGUGUACCGCCCUCAUGGAUUGGCUGAUAUAGUUGUUUGUAAGAGACUCUCCUCUAAAAGCAUAUUUUCUAAAAAGUUGAAGAGAUUGAUACGAAUUCAAGCACGUAAGCUCAUACCUCCAGUCCACUUCCCAAACAUCGAGAACAUCUUUCCUUCUUGUAGUAACAAUAAGUUUGCUCCCUUCACCAAACCAAUCACGCUUACCGACAAGUGCAUCCAUAUGCUCAUUUUCUUCCACAUCAUCAAGAAGAAGGAGGACUUUUUUAAUACGCAAUCUUUCUUUAAUUAUCUCCUUCCCUUCAUCAAUGUUUCUUAUCACCUGUUGUAUCUUAAGGAUGUCACGGAUGAGCUGUUGCUGCAAGUACUCAAUGCCCUUGCGCUUUGACGUGUCACGGAUGUCGGAAAGGAAGCAACAAUUGUCGUACUUGUUGGAAAGCUCAUUGUAGAUGAUUUUGGCAAUUGUUGUCUUUCCAACGCCACCCAUCCCAUGAAUUCCUAUGAUCCGCGUUUCACUUGUGUGAGCACCAAUCUUUUCCAUGAUUUCAUGCACAUGGUGGUCCACACCAACCAAGUUGUUCGAUACCGCCAAAUAAGCCUUCUUCAACUCAUUGAAAACCUUAUGGGUAAUUAUUUUUACGAUCUCACCUUCAUCCCUAGUGUUUGUUGGAGGUCAAAUGGUAAAGUUAGAAAACUGUAUUAAACCAAACUAUGUUCUCACAAGACCAAAGUGAAAACUAAAGACCUAUUCGAAAUGCUUUCUACAAGGAUUUACUCCAUUGUAAAUGAAUUAGCGUUGGGACAUAUGGUUAAUGAAUGACCUUAACUAGAAAAAAAAAGGUUAUUUGGAAUGAAAAACGACAAAUUUGGGAUUGUACCACUAUUUCGUGUGAUUUCUGCAGUAUAAUUGCAAUAGCAUAAAAUUCAAUUUCAACAAGGCUAACACAAAUCUAGAAAAGAAACCAAUUGAACCACAUUAAAGGUUUUAAUGGUACAAGGCACAUCAAAUGGAAUGAUAGAGGUAGUCACCUGUUGGUCUUGGUGUGCAAAUCCCACCCGCUUAUUGCCGCAACUGCAUUCAGAGCAUCCUUCCAUUGACGCAUAGUCUCUUCGUCAUAUCGAUUCUUCUCUUUAUGUAAAAAAAAGGCGUCUCCAUAACCCGUACCCUUAGGUUGGUGUCGAACCUCUAAAGGUGCCACAUCAUAAAAAAUGGGCAUGAUCUUUUGUCCCCUAGUUUUUUGGCACUCAUCCAUUUGGACUAGCUCCUUAAGACACCAUACGCUAGAGGCAUAACCUUUCGAAAAUAUAGGUAUUGAGAUCUUUGAUUGAUUAAUUGCUUGGAGAAGUUCUGGGCCAAAUUUUUCCCCCUUGCGGAGCUCUUUGGCAUCCUUAUAAACGCGGAUUCCCGCAUCUAUCAUACUAGUGUAAAGGAAGCUGGUAAAACCUAUUCGAGUAUCCUCUCCUCUGAAGCUCAAGAAUACUUCAUACGCGCUCCCUGCUAUUCCAUCAUUUUUAUAGGUAUGUUGUGUUUCUAUGCUCCCCUCCAUUGAUUUACUCGAUCUGAUCUUCAAGAAAUACUGAACAGCGUAUCAGGAUGCAAGAAGCCAAAUUUCACCUGAUAAAAUUUAGAUAAUCUUGGUAAUUUACUAAUCACACUGAUAAAAUUUCAUAAGAAAUGGUAAUUUACGAAUAUUUUGUCAGUCAACAACCAGAAGGUUCCAAGCUUGAAAUACACUGGUGAAUGGAAGAAUAGCAGAGAUGAGAGCUAGAGAGCUCAAUAUCAGGAUGCAAGAAGCCAAGUCUCGAAUCAGACGAUUACUACAGUACUGUGGAAUAUUUGGAAGUCAAGAAACCAGGCCAUCUUCAAGAAUAGAAAACCAUAACCAAGCAACCUUGUGGAGUCUGCUUUAGCUGGGUUGAAGAGUUCAACAGAUGGAACCCAAAAUCGAGCGAAUCUAGUAAGACUAGGGACGGAUCGUCACGAUUUUGGAACCCACCGCAGGCUGGAACACUAAAGAUAAACAUAAACGGUGCCUACGAACCUGGAGUUACUGGAGGCUCGAUCGCUUGCGUUUGUCGUGAUUUCGCCGGGAGGUUGGUGGACGGGGUGGUGCGAGUAGUAGCGGCGCCUUCUGUGUUUGGGGUUGAGGCUCUUGCCCUCUUAUAGAAGUCCCAACUCAUCCAUAUCCUCAAAGAGUAGUGCUACUGUGUAAAAAAAGAAAAAGAAAAAGAAUUAUUGAUCAAACGGUGGCCGCCUAGCAAUCAACUAUCAAGGUAACUAACCCACCGGGACCACAACCAUCAUUCACGGCGAGAAUCCAAGGAAAAUCUCGUCAAAAAAAGCAAAGUGAUAGAAAUAAAGCAAGAAAAGCAAAGAAAAAGAAGAUGGGUCAAUCCUAAUGUGGAAAAGAAGACCCACCAAUGCUUUAGCGUGUGCCUUUGGUCGUCCAAGUCUUCGGAGACUUGGCUCAUUCAUGGGUGUGAAUCCUUCUUGGAGCAAAGCAGGUUCAUCAUGGACGGUUGGUAGUCCAAGUCUUCGUAGACUUUGAUUUUGCCCUUCUAAUCCCGUGAUGUUUCGGUCUUCAUUAAUUAAUUACUUCCAGUAAUAUAAAUAAUAAUUAUCAUUCAUGAAAAUAGAAUAUUAACUUUACCAAAGGUGGGAUGGAAUAUAUUUUUGUUUUGCUUUUUCCUUUUUCUCUAUGUGCUUGAGACCUUACGUUGUCCACCAUCUUUUUGGCAUUUCACUUUUGUUCUUCUCCUUUUUGGGACAAGAAAGAAUAUGAAGGAAUAUGAUUGUUCACUUUGGAUCUUUUUAUUAGCAUCAAUUAUAUGGUCUAUCGGCAUACAAAUCUGACAUUUAUCAAAAGUCUUAUUUUUCGGUUUGGAUCUUUUUUCGGUUUGGGUUCAUCAAUGACGUUGUCAUGCAAACACUCAUACAAUUUUGUUCCAGAGGGUAGUACUUUUCCCAAAUUGCCCCUCACGAUCUUCCUUCUUAGUUUGAUAAAAAAAAAAUCAUAUUUGGAAAAUUUGUUUAUGUAAUUUCCAAUGUUUGAAUCAUGUAAAGCUAUUCGAUCCAUAAAAAUGUUUACCAUGAGCUAAAAGUAAUUAAUAAGCUUAAGGAAAAAUGACUUGGCAAGAAGAAUCAUUUUCCCUGAUAUCUAUCCUAAUUUCUUUGUAAUCGUUGUUAUUUUGAUGGAUUAUAGAAUAAAGGAUGAUGAUGUCAUAUCCAACUUAUUAGUCAUUACAUGUUACUUUUUGACUAUACAAGCCACAUUUAAUGAAUUCACUUAUUAUUAGUUACGAUAAAAUCAAUUUCUUCAACUUGUUUUCAGCACAAUCAAAAAAAAUUUUGGUUUACUUUUUUUUUAUAUUGAAUUUCCUAGAACAUUUUCCUGCUACAAAAAAAAUUCUUAACGAGAUAAGCACAACCUAAAGUUUGUUUUCAUACGAUGUUAUUCAAAGAAAGGAAAUGGUAAGAUAGAAUUAUCAAUGGAUAGGGGAAUUGAACAUCAAUUUGUUAUCAUGUGAUUUUUGGGGGUAUAUGAGAGAACCAUGAAUAGUGUUGGAUUUUGCAGGGUGAUCUUGACAUGUUUUUUGCAGUGUUGGAUGCACUUUUUUUUUUUUUAUCAAUGAACAAAAAAUGUCUUUUUAUGGAUCACGGUACAGUGUGACAUUCAAUUUUUUUUUAUUUAACUAUUUGUAGAGCUUUAUAUUAACCCUUAGGCCUUAGGUUGAUUUUUCGUCAUAUAAAGAAUUUUUUUUAGGAUUUCGAAAACUAAUUCGAUAUUGACUUUACCCUUCUAAUCCCGUGACGUUUUAGUCUUCGCAUUACCCCCUACGCUAUUCUGUCUUAUUUUUUUCCUCUCUUUCUCAGAGUGGUAGCUAAUGUGAUUUUAAAUCUAAUGAUAGUAUUUCGAUGCAGGGCAAGACUACAUGUAUACAACACUUUCAUUCUUUUCAUUCGGUUAAAUUAGAUGGUAUCAACUUUUCUAUUAAUUGAUGACAUGAUUGGAUAGACUAUUUAAAGAUCAAAGUUUUUCUAAACAGAUGGCAUUUGUUAUGCAAGUAUUUUUCAAGUUUCUAAAUCAAUUUCGAGGCUACUAAAUAUUUCUUAUUUUACGAUAGAAAAAAGCCACUUCACAAUUAAUGUUUUACGAUAUAGAAUUGACAGAAACCAAAAUAGCCAAAAUCAACUUCUAUCAACCAUUUCGUAGACAAUCUAAGUUAUUCGUAAAGAGUUGGCCCAUAAAAUAUCAUAAGCUUUUCAUGGUAUGGAUGACAGUCAAUCCCAUGGUGAAUGCAUGAAGCAUUGCCUCCUCUCCAUUGAUCUCUCUUGAUCUUCUCUCGGAGAAAAAAAAUUCGAACUGUACAGCAACACAAUCAGUACAGCACAUUGCGAAAUCAAAAUCACUUUUAGAAGCCAAAAUUACAAAUGGUCAUCUCUGUGGGUCAUUAAACGUAGGAGACAGGAUUGGCUAACCAUGCUGAGAGUCGGGGGCCAGUUUGUAUUUUAAUAAUAUAGUCUUCGUAGAGUUUGCUUUCACCCUAAAAGGGAACCGCACGGUGUCCAAUGCAUCUUCCUUCUUCCUCUAAAUUACCCGACGGCACCGUGUGGCGAUAAAUGCCCACGCCGUUCCCUACAAAUUUACAGGAAUGACAGGGCACGAGACCCACUCACAACUUUGCUUGUACAUAAUUGUAGUGUCACUUUUGGGACAGGAGUGUGUCCCAGUCUCAGUCGGGGAAAAAGUAUCGAGGCUGUUUUGGGGAAAACGCCCCCUUCUGUUUUUCGUGUUCUCUAAACCUAAAAUAUACAAUAGAAGUUCAGGAAAAAUGGCAAUUUCAAUGGGGACACGCGGGCUGAAAAUCCAUAAUUUUAGGGUUGCCCUGCAAAAUGCGGCAUGUGGACUGGAUUACACCUCUCUUCACUUCCUAUUCUUCGAGCAAGUCUUGCCCGCUCGUGCACCAGGGCAUGUGAACCCGACUCAUGCACGAAUAGCUCAUCUGAAUUCUCCAUAGAGUCCAUCUCAUCCAUCGAAUGACCCCGAAUUGAUAUAGCAUCUUCUUCCUAUUAAUUGGCUCCUGCUUCACUGCACCUGAUAUCAUCAGUCCCCUCAUGUGAGUCAUGUGACCACCGACGAUUGAUAGCUCUACUUUCCAUCCACCAGAAUCAUGGCCACCUAUCCUUUUUCGCCUGCUCCUCGCCUCUCUCCUCUAUCAAUUGCGUUUUGUCUUUUUGUUGCUACCAAAAUACCCAAAUGCCCUCUUGGCAAGGAAUUUAUUUAUCCUUUUUCUUUUUGGGUAUUGAUUUUGAUGAUAAACAGGGACGAGGGCCUCUCUCCGUUCCUAAAAAAAUCAAGCGAAUUAACCAAGUCAAGCCCCGACACCAUGGCCAUUCAACCACAAAUUUGUGGCCAUGCGAGACUAGCGACCUCUGUCAGUCGCGAGUUCCACGGACAUAGGUUAUGAGAUCUGUGAGGAAAGAAAACAAGAUGAAGGCGUAGAGGACAGACUCGAGUGGGCAAGGCGUUAACUCGCCGGUGGAUUGAUGCAUGAAGUUGAGGGCUAGUGAUGGCAAUGGGUGGACAGCAAAUUCGACGACAUUGAGUGCGUGAUUCCAUAAAAAAUCCUAAACAUUUAUAUUUACCAUAUUACCAAUUAUCCAAAUUGUAUUUUUAUCAUCAAAAUCCCAAAUUUAUAUGGUAAUUAAAAAAACAUGUUCCAUCAAAGUAUGGUCUGAGAUGAAUUGGCAUCUUGCUUGGAUAGCGACGAACUUACAAAUCUGAACUUUGCAAUUUUUAGAGUCAAAGUUUAAGUUUUUGAAAGAAAACUGGACUAAGCAACUUUUAGGGUCCAAGAAGUGAGAUAAUCCACUUCGCGGUCUUUCUUGCAAAAGAAAUGAGCUACAAUUUAAACUUCAAAGGAAAAGUGGGGUGGAAUACAAAUUAUUGCUUUGCUUUUAUCCUUUUCCGCUUCGCGCUUGAGACUCACAUUCAUCCACCUUGAUUUUAGCAUUUCGCAUCUGGUCUUACUCCUUUUCGGGAGAAGAAAGCAUACGAUGGGUCUCUCUUUAUUUGGAUGAAGAGACGGAAGUAUUCAACAUGGCCAGGUUUAGAAUUUUAUCUUUCCUUUUAUUUAGUUUUUUUUCUAGGUAAACUUCGUUUAAACUCCACGACAACUCCUUCCAUGUCGUUCCUUGACCUUUUCGCACGUUUCUUCCUUUGCUCCAAAUCCUUGAUUUUCCCCUCGUUGUCACUGCUCUUUGCUCACACGCCUAGAAAACCCUAGCCCAUGCCCAUGCCCAUGCCCAUGGUCAUUCCCGGUGAUUGACGAGCUGACUUCCUCAAAGUUGCCGGGGAGUGCAUGAUUGGUAUGAAUGCUCCAACACCACCAAGACCUUCAGAUUUCGAUGGGUACGAUGUGGACUAAAUGAACCUAUUUGUAUUUGAUAAGGACGACAUGGAGGAAACACAUGGCGGGGCAGCCAAGGAGGAAAAAUAAAAUCCUGCAAGAUCCAAAGGUGUAAACUGUUUGAUUCCAAAAUUCAUAAGCUCUUCAAUCUUUACAUACGUCCAUCCAAAUCUGACAAAAGGAAAAUUUAAAAUUGAAGCAAUUAAUCGCGAUUGACUCAAUGAGUCAAAAAAGACUUUUGGGAAAUAUCGAAUUCAUCGAUUCGAGACCAACAAAGAUCAAAUUUGUUCUUUGAUAGCUUUAACUUUGAUUAAACUCCACUAAACUUUUGUUUCAGUAAACGAAACUGCAAAGGUGUCGUUGUAGAUUUUAUUUUUUUAAAAAUAAGACUCUUUGCAUUAAGCGUCCUCCUAUACCGUUCAGAAGCUCCAAGAAGAAGAGAAAAUAGGUGGAUCCCAUUGCCUUAACUCCUCUCUUUUUAAAGGAGAAGAGAGACUUUUCAUAUUAGUUGGCUUUAACUAUCAAAGACCUUUGUCCCUUCACCACAGAAAUAUCAAGCAAAUAAAAAGGAAAGAUCUUUUUGAAUGACUUUUGGGGAGGUCAUUGUACUUAGAAGCCACAGGAUUGGCUGAAUAUGUAGAGAGAGUCAUGAGCCAAUUUGCUGCAAAAUUUGGUCAAGAAGGAUGACUCCUUGAAGCAUCGCUCCAGCCCGUCGAAGUUGACAAUUAUGUACGUUUCUUAAUGCGGAAAAUCACUGGACCAUAUGAUGCAGAAAUUUUGGUAUUAGAAUCGACUUUUGCCUCCCAAAUAAAAGGUUGAUCAUUCAAAGUCAAGUCAACAAAAGCAUACAUCAAAUUUUCACAAUUGACCACUCUACCAGUUUGGGAUUUUAUUAUCUAUUUAUCACAUGUGUACUGGUUUGUGUUUUUUCUUAGUAUUAUUCAAUUUAACGGAAACUAAUUAAGGACAAACUUCUCACAAAUGUGUUAGUUUGGAGUUUUUGGUGAUAAAAAAAAAUUGGAUAAAUUUAUCACGGAUAUAUUAGUUUGAGAUUUUUUUGUGGUAUUAACCCUAAAAACAAUAAGCUUAGAGAAAUAUGACUUGGCAAGAAGGAAUCAUUACCCUUGUUUUCUUGCUAAGCUUUGAAGUGAGAAGAAUAUAUUAUUGAUGCUCAAUUUUUCUACAUUCCCAAAGCACGAUUAUAUCUAAUAUUUUACAAAUACGAUUUUGUAAUUUCUAUCUUAAUUUCUUUGUAAUCAAUGUUAUUUCGAUGGAUUAUAGAAUAAAUGAAGAAGAUAUCAAUUCUAGUUGAUUAGUCAUUCCAUGUUAAUUUUAAUGAUACAAGUUGCAUUUAGUGAACUCACUUAUUACCAAUUACAGUAAAAUCAGUUUUUUUUUUCAACUUGUUUUCACCAUAAUCAAAAUUUUCCAAUUCCCUUUCUCUGAAAUUGAAUUUCCUAAAAGCAUUUUCCCGUCGCAAAAAAAGUUCUCAGCGACAUAAAGACAUCCUUAGAGGUUGUUUUUAUUUGAUUUUUGAAUCUCAUAUGAAAUUAUAGAAUCGAAGGAAAUCAUCCAAUGAAAUUAUUUUUUUUUUUGGUAAAGGUAAGAUAUAUAUUAAGAAAAGCCAAAUGUACAAAAGAUCUCGUCACCAGUAACUUGCACUCCAAAUGUAGUACCAAAAGAAGUGGAAGGGUGACGAGAUGCAAAAGCCGCAGAGGCGGCACAACAACAACAACAACAAGGCCAAACUAAGCACGGCUAGCUCGACCAGCUAUCAAGCAGAGACAAAAAACAAAGAGGAGGCCAUCGUCUGAUCUAGGACCUAAGGGUCCCCAUUGAAAAUAAUCGGGUCUAGACUCCAACUUCUCUGCAGCCUUUUGUUUCUGAAAUUGUCUUCGACGUUCCUGAAGGUGAUAGCCUUGUCGCGAACCACUUUAAAGAUGUGGUUUUUAAUGGUCGGAAUAGAGAGAGGCUGGUCUCUAAAGAUGAUGGCAUUCCUAUUUUUCCAAAUGAUAUGACACAACACGCCAAAUGAAAAACGGGCUAUGCACUUAUAGAAAUCUUUCCCCAUCAAAUAGGUAGUUGCCCACCUGAAAUUCUCCCCCCAACCUCUGUUGCGCCAGGGUAAAUUGCAUCUGGACGCCCAAAAGAAGGCAACGCUAGCCGUGACACAGCAGUCAAAAAACAAGUGGUCAAGAGAGUCAGGCACAUUCUUGCAAAAUGCACAGGUAGCAUUUCCAAUAAUACCAUAGGCCAAAAGGAGGUCCUGGGUUGGAAGCCUACGUCUGGCCAUGAGCCAAAGAUUAAGUUGAUAUCGAGGCACUAUGGCGUUGUCCCAUACAAAGGAGUACCAGUGGACCCGCGUCCUCUUCUUCCUGAUGAAGUUCCACGCCGAUGCCAUAGUGAAUUGGCCCGAAGAGCUUCCUCGCCAACAGCAACGAUCCGGGUCAUUCGUCAGGGUCGGAAGAGGUUGCCCCCACGAUUGAAGCACCAAUCUAAGAGCUUGGCCAGCAUCUGAGAAGAGGUCAGCAACACAAGCUUGUCUAGAGAGCCCUGAACUAUAGAUAAGAGAGUCUGAAAAGAACAGGUUCAAGGGCCCUCUAGGAUGCCAGUUGUCAAACCACAGAGAGGUUGUUUGGCCAUCGCCAAUUUUCCAGACGAAUGCCAUCCUAAAAUUCCUUCUUAGGGUCAACAAGCUCUUCCAGGCCCAGGAGCCAGAAGUUGGCUUCCUAGCAACCUAAAAAUUCUUGUUUUUUAAGAACGUGGAAUGGACCCGUCUACACCAAAGCGCUUCCUUGUCGGAGAACAAGAUCCAAAUAUGCUUUAGCAUGGAGGCUUUAUUGCAAUCUUGGAGCCUCCUAACACCUAGCCCUCCUUCAUCCUUUGGAAGGCAAACGUCAUCCCAGGCUACCUUCGUACCACCCCUGCCUAGGUCCGGACCUUUCCAUAGGAAUUGUCUAAAUAUUUUCUCUAUCUGUUCUAUCACAACUGAAGGUAAGACAAAGACACUAGCCCAGUAGGCUUGUAUAGCAUGAAGAACUGACCUGAUAAGCUGAAGCCGACCAGCAAUAGAGAGGAAACAGUGAGUCCAAGACUGAACCCUUGUAGUGAUGCGAUUGACCAGGGUACAACAGUCUGCUUUAUUGAUUCUCGAAGUGAUAAUGGGAACCCCCAAGUACCGAACUGGCAGGCUUCCUUCUCGAAAGCCCAACUCCAAUAGAAUAUUAUUCCUUAGGGAAGGAUUGCCACCCGCCAAGAAGAUUUCACUCUUGCACGAGUUAGGACGAAGGCCACUCCAGGAGGAAAAUAUGUUUAGAGCUUCCUUAAGGAAAGUUACCGAAGGAAGGUGCGCCUCACAAAAAAGGAAGACAUCAUCUGCAAAGAAGAGAUGUGAAAGACCCACUGCCUUGCACCUCCAAAAGAAUUUGAAAUCAGGCCUCGAGGAUUGCUUAAGAAUGAUCCCUGAGAGCACUUCCAUGACCAUAGUGAAAAGGUAAGGAGAGAUGGGAUCCCCUUGGCGAAGACCUCGACCACUCGCAAAAAACCCGUGGAGCUCUCCAUUCAAGGCAAUUGAGAAUUUCGGAGUGCGAACACACGUCAUAAUUAGGCUAGUGACAGAGUGAGGAAAGCCAAAGGCCAGCAUGACAUUCUCAAGGAAGCUCCAAUCCACCGUAUCAUAUGCUUUCCUGAAGUCCACCUUUAUCGCACAUUUAGGUAGAUAAGGCUGAAGGUGAAAGCUAGAGAAUAGCUCCUGGGCCAGUAAUAUAUUGUCCCUAAUUCGUCUACCUUUUAUAAAAGCAGUCUGAAAAGGGCCUAUCAUGUUCUUCAAAGCUAGGGCCACCCGAUUAGCUAGCACCUUUGUAAUACACUUGUAGAUAGUGUUACAACAGGCGAUAGGCCUAUAAUCCUCCACAGAUGUGGCGUUGAGCACUUUCGGAACCAUUACCAAGAUGGUAUUGUUAACCUCCCUCAAGAGUUUUCCGGAAUUGAAGAAGUCCAACACUGCAGUCGUUACUAAGGGACCUACCGUGUCCCAGUUUUCUUUGAAAAACUCCGCUGUGAAACCAUCUGGCCCAGGAGCCUUUUUCUUGGGCAAAGAGAAGAUAGUGUUCCGGAUCUCUAUCUCUGUAACUGGUUGAGCAAGAAGAGCAGCCUGAUCAAUCGAAAGUGGAUGUUGGAUAACCUCUCUCGAGUCCUCUAACGAAGGUCUACUAAUCUCCCCUUGUGGCAUCAAGAGGUCCUCAAAGAACUCUACAAACCUUCGUUGCACCAGGCGUGGCUCCGUCAGUAUGUUCCCCGAAGAGUCGAGGACGGAUAGGACUCUGUUCCUUACCUGUCUUUUGUUAACAUAUUGAUGGAAGAAUUUGGUAUUUCGGUCUCCCUCCUUGAGCCAUCUAACCCUGGACUUUUGCCUGAAGAAGGACUCUUCCGAGGAGCGCAACUCUGCAAAGAUACAUCUUUGGCUUUUCUCCACCUCAGAAAGGUCGGCAGAAAAGGGAUUUAGUUGUAAUUCUACUUGGGUGGCCUCCAUCAUCUUCCGCGCAUCAAGAGUUCUAGCAGAUAUAUUAGAGAAGGAAUCUCUGUUGAGUUGCUUAAGCCGACAUUUGAGAGCCUUGAGUUUAGAGACAAGCUUGUACAUAGGGACACCAUUCCCCGGCGCAUUCCACACUUGUGAGACAAUUUCCUUGAACUCCGGGUGCUUCAUCCAGAAGUCGAAGAACUUGAAGGGCUUCCUUGUAUGAGUCGGAUUAAGAAUCUUCACCACCAUAGGCGAGUGGUCCGAGAUUCCAGGAGCAAGGAAGGAGGCUUCUGAGUAAGAUAGAUCCAAGCUCCACUUUGCAUUCACUAGAACCCUGUCAAUCUUUCUUGCUUUCCUAGUAUGCCCUAAAGACGUAGUCCAAGUGUAUCUAAACCCAACGAACCUCAAGUCUUCCAGCUCAACUUGCUCCAAGCACUGUCCAAACUCAUUGAAACAAGGGAGCCAAUCUUCGGAGCCACCGACCCGGUCCGAUGGAUCCUUAAUAGCAUUGAAGUCCCCCAAGACAAGCCAAGGAGUGUCUCGGAGAUGGGUGCUUUUCAUGAUGAUGUCUUCCCACAGCGGUCUCCUCAGCGAAAAGGAGUGAUCUCCAUAAACAAAAGAAACACAGCAAGCCACCCCAGAGUCUAGGCUCUCAAGGUUCCCAUGAAUCCAAUGAAAUUAUUGAUGAAUAUGAGAAUUGGAAAUCGAUUUGUUGCCAUGUAAAUUUUGUGGGUGAAUGAGAGAACGAGGAGUCGGUGUUGGACUUGACAAAGUGAUUUCGUGACAUUUUUUUCCCUUCUUUUUGAUAAAAUCUCCACGUUCAUGGAUGCCCGUCUGUGAGGGAAAAAGUACCAAAUGAAUGAAUCAUUGGUGUGAUUCCUGCCUGAGCAAAGCUGGUUCAUCAUGGACUGUUGGUAGUCCAAGUCUUCGUAGACUUUGACUUUGCCCUUACCAAUAAGCUGUUAUUUUAUUUAUUUAUUUUCUUUGGAGAGUGGUAGUUAAUGCAAUUUUUAAUCUAAUGAUUUUAUUUCGAUGCAAGGCAAAACUAUAUGUAUACCACAUUUCGCUUGAUAACUAAAAAUUUUAUGUUUCACGAUAAAAAAAAAAAAAAAUAGCUACUUCACAACUGAAGUUUUACAAUACCAACUCAACAAUAACCAAGGUAAGUUGCAUUGUCGACCGUUUUUAACCAAUAAAAGUCACUCAUAAAGUGUUGAUAGGUACGAUAUCAUAAUAUUUUCACAGUCUGGAUUAUGAUCAAUCCAAUGAUGAAUAAAAUAAGCAUUGCCUUCCCUCUGUUGAUCUCACUUGAUCUUUUCUUUGGGAGACAAUUCAGACAUGGAAAAAAGUUCAGAGACUACUUAUUAGGUGCUGCUAGGCCAAAAAAAAAAAAAAAAAUCCUUGAUCAAGCAGUGGCCGCCAAUCAAUCAACUAUCAAAAUAAUUAACUCACUAGAGACCUCAAACGUCCCUGAGGAUCCAAGGAAAAUCUUGUCAAAAAAGCUAAGUGAUAAUGAAAGAAAUAAAGCAAUACAGCAAAGAAAAAGAAGACAAAUCCUAGCGUGGAAAAGAAGACCCACCAAUGCUUUAGCACGUGCCUUUGGUAGUCCAAGUCUUCGUAUACUUGGGUCAAUCUUUGGUUUGAUACCUUCUUGGAGCAAAGCUGGCUCAUCAUGGCUGUCGUUAGUCCAAGUCUUCGUAGACUGACUUUGCCCUUCUAAUUCUGUGAUGUUUCGGUCCUCUUGCACCCCCGUAUGCUGUCCCGUCUUUUUUUUUUUUUUUUCUGUCUUUCUGAGAGUGGUAGCUAAUGUUAAUGCCACGUUAAAAUGAAGAUUUUAGAUUGUUGGCGUCUGUAUCGAUAUCACAUUGACCAAUCUCAUGCAAUUCCUAAUCUAGUGAUUGUAUUUCGGCGCAAUGCAAAAAUCACAUGUAUACAUCACUUUUGUACUUUCCACUUAGUUAAAUUAGACGGCAUUAACUUUUCUAUUAAUAAUACAAUUGGUUCGACUAUUUAAAAAUCAAAAUAUUUCUAAACAGAUAGUUUUUUUUUUUUUUUUGCAAAUAUGUUUUUUUUUCCUAAAUCAAUUUUUUGAUUAUUAAACAUUCCAUGUUUUCCCACUAGAUCCGAAGGUAUAAAAAUGUCCAUUCCAAAAUUCACAAGUUCCUUAACUCUUUUUAGGCCGAAAUCCAAGUGUGAUGAAAAACAAUGUUUAAGAUUGAAGUUAUUAAUCACAUUGACUUGAUGAGUCAAAAAAACACUCUUGGGAAGUAUCGGAUUCCCAUUUGAGUAGUAUCUAUUUUGACAAAUCUAUUUAUUCACUUGCUGAAUAUUAAAUAAAAAAUUUGAUCAUAUCACUUAAUGUAUCAAUUUUAGUAUACUUAUUUAAAUUACUUGUAAAUAACCUAGAUUUAUUGGUUAAACUUCAAAUGAUGAAGAGUUUGUGCUUAUUGAGAAAAAGUGCACAUAUUUUUAACAAUAUUAAAAAAAAUAAUCCACAUAUUGCUAGCGGUGGAAAUUAAAAUGUUAUCUAAUAUGUGAAACGUUGAAUGCAUGUUAUUUGACAAAAUUCUCAUAGCAACUAACUCACUAGGACCUAAAUAGUUAUUCACGGCGAAAUUGCCUUGAUGAAUCCAAGGGAAACUCAUGUUAAAAAGCAAAGUGAAUAAUGAAAAGAAAUAAAGCAAUACAGCUAAGAAAAAGAAGAUGUGGUCAUCCUGAUGUGGAAAAGAAGUCCCGCCAAUGCUUUAGCGUGUCUUUGGUAGUCCAAGUCUUCGUAGACUUUCACUUGGGUCAAUCAUUGGUGUGAUUCCUUCUUGAGCAAGCUCGUUCAUCAUGGACUGUUGGUAGUCCAAGCCUUCGUAGACUUUGACUUGGGUCAAUCAUUGGUUUCAGUCUUCUUGCACUGUCCGCACGCUGUUCUGUCUGAUUUUUUUCUCUCUCUCCGAGUGGGAGCUAAUGCUAAUGCCACGUUAAGACAAGGCACAUGAAACUUAGGUUUUAGUUUGUUGGUGUCCUUAUCAAAAUCACAUCGACAGAUCCUACGCAAUUCUUAAUCUAGUGAAUGUAUUUUAAUGCAAUGCAAAAUUAUGUAUGUGACAUAUUUUAUUUCCAUUUAAUUAAAUUAGAUCAUUCCAACUUUUUUAUUAAUCGAUGACAUGAUUGACUAAACUAUUUAAGAAAAAGGCUUUUUUGGACCGAUGGUGUUUCUUUGCAAGUAUUUUUCUGUUUUUUGAAUAGAAACAUUCCAUGUUUCACAAUAGAAAAAAAGAAUCUCGCUAGAUGUAGAAGUGUAAAAUUCUUCCAUUUCAUAAUUUAUAAGUUCUUAAGUCUUUUUAGGCAUAAAUCCUAGCAUGACCAAAAAAUAUUAAGAUUAAAGUUAUUAAAUCACCAUGACUCGAUGAGUUAAAAAAAAGAAGACUCUUGGGAAGUAUCAAAUUUCUUGAAUUGAGAUCGAUGGAAGAUCGGAUUUGUUCUCCGAUAGCUUUAGCUUUCGUUAUCACUCCACCGUACUUUUGUUUUAGUAAAACAAAACUCAUCACAAUUUUUUUUUUUUUUGAAAUCAAACUCCAUCCAUUUGAAUCCAGGUUGAGCUUGCUCCUUUAGCUUAAAAGCUCGGGAAGAGUAGAAAAUACGUGGAUCCCAUUGUCUAACUCUUACUUCUUUUUAAAGGAAAAUAAAGACUUCUUGUACAUAUGCGGGCCUUAAUUAUUGAGACCUUCGUUCCUUUACCCCAGAAUAUGCAAACAAUCGUGGGCCAGUUUUGCUGCAAAAUUGGUCAAUAAGGAUGCUUCCUCGCAACAUCAUUGCAGCCUGUCAAAGGUGACAUAUAUUAUGUUUGUUAACGCGGAAAAUCAUUGGACUAUGUGGUGUAGAAAUUUUUGGAUGAGAAUCUACUUUUGCCCUUAAAUAAUUCAUUCAAAGUAAAGUCAACAAAAGCAGUCAUGGAACUUCCAAAGCAAGUUCGUUUCCCCAUCCUAAUUAAGGUGAACUUCGGUCGGUCCAGUUUAAUGGGCUGAUUGGGCCCAAGCCUGAAUUAACUCUGAAGCACAAAGCCUGGUGGAAUUGUUGGGCUUGGUCUUCGUCAAAGCACUCCCUAGUGAUCAAUUGAAUUAAGAAAAGAUUACAUUUUAUUUCGGGGUGAAGCAUCCUUCACAUUUAACCUAUUGUUAGUGUCAAUAAAUUGCUCGUCACAAAGCAUUGCAAUUGGACAUUAAAUCCAGGCAUCAUGCUGAUUAUUAUACAAAAAAUUACUAAAACGAGGUACACAAAACCAAUGUGUAAUCGUAUUAAAACUUUGAGCCAUUGACAAGUGUGGUAAAUAAGCUCAUAAACAUGAUGUGACCUAUUAGAUCUCAUUUGGAAUUUAACUCAAUUAGCAUUUCCACAUUCACGAUUGUACUUGAAAGCCUCUAUGAUUGGCAAAAAAUUAGUGAAACCUCUCCAAUGGCUAUAAUGAUUAAAAAAAAAUGUUGACUCCCCCUGAAUUCAAGUACAAAAGUUCUCUAUUUCAGAUAAUGUUUUUGGAGGUCUAGCUCUUCACUCUCUUGGUUAAUGCUUGUGAGUUAUCUAUUACAAAAGGUAAAAAAAAAAAAAAAAGAGGUGCAAAUAUAAGAACUUGCAGACAACGUGAGACUAUUCCACAUUUAAUUUUGAGAAUUAAACAAUUUGGGUCAUUAUUUUAGAUUUACCUUCAAGUUAGAUAAUGUCAGACCAAGUCCAUUUGCAACUGGAAACAUUUUUUAGUAUAAUUAAGAAUUGGAACGCCUCCUCUUCAAAUUCUAUGAAUCCAACUUAAGAGCCAUGCUUUACCCAAAAAACAAAUUGGACAUGCAUUUACCGAUGUAGAGUAUCCAUCUUCUUCACAUUGCAAUUUUGUUGCGGUUGUUGUCGUAGAGGUGAUGCCAUAAGUGCUGAGAUACUUUCACACACAUUGUAAUGGCUACUUUGACGUAUACCAUAUGAUGAAGUUAAUGAUCUCCUGCGUGAAGAAAGCAAAAAUUUUACAUAGAAACGAACAAUAUUGGACAGGGAAGAAAAAAUGGGAAAAAUUAAAGUCUAAGCACACAUUGCAUGCAAAGGAAAUCUAAUUUCCGUAAGACAGUUCAUAUUCAAGUUGGUUCAGUGAGGGCGACUGUGAAAGUCACUGAAUGGGUCACUCUUUUCCUUCAGUUUGUCCUAUUUAAUAAAAUAAAAAAGCAUGGGAGGACAUUGUAGAUGUCUGAGAUGGACACAACUUCUUGUAACACUAGAAAACCAUAGGAAGACACCUGGGGCCAAGGCAUGUCGUGAAAGAAGCACAUUGGGGCAUCGACCAAUUUCAAAUACAGUAAGACAAAGCAGCAAAUUAUAAGGUAUCUUAGAUGAAUCACCACAUAAUAUAUUGAAAAAAUAAUGCACUUGGAAUUUAUAUAAUUUGACCUCACCUUUAGCAAAUCAAGCCAUUGAAACAUCUAAACCAAACCAAACCAAAACAACAAAGAUCUGAACAAGGGUAUUUGCAUAAAAAAGAAGAUUUACAUAAACCUCUUUGUAAUUCAUAUGUUUAACAGAAUAGGAAGCACUUCUUAUCAGAUAAAAAAAGUACUCAACAGGGGCAGGUGUCCAUUCACUUUUCUUUCGCAGAAAUUUGCCAAGUUUGAUCAACCAACCCCAUAAUGUGCUAAGUUUCCAAAUCUCCCGUGGUGAAGAAUGUCUAUUUGUUUUAAUUUCCUCCACAUUGGUACAUUAGAAACAUCAGGAUAUAGUUGCUAGAGAAGAUGCGCAAAUUGUCCCGUGAUUCUGGUCGAUCAGAUGACCACGAUGAUCUAAAUGAAACUCCAUUAGUUUCUUCAAGCCACUCAGUAGGCCAAUCUGUCCAAUCGGUUGAGUUUGUUCAGCUGCAAAUUCUAGUUUGAGUCUGGUGCGUCUUUAUCCACUUGUAGUUUUUCAAAGACUAGUGUUCAAGGCUUAUGAAGGUAACAAAUCGAGUCAAGAAGCUCCAAGAUCCCAGCUCCUUAUAGAAAAAGCCUCAAUAGGGAAGUCGUGUAAUUGAUUGAAGGUUUUGUAGUCAGUGAGGAACAAUGGCCAGCACGGAGAAUUUCUAGACUCUUCAAUCUUUGUGUUGACACCUAAUUUUUGCAAAUUUAGGAAAAUAAAGAAAAUAAAAAUUGCAUUGGAACAAAUAAAAGGAAAAAAUGAAAAAAAAAAAAGGAAAAUUGAUUUGAUUGAUUAUGUAUGGAAAUUUGAAAUUCUGACGAAUAUUCGGAUUUUGUUAAAUGUAGAACAAAUUUAAAAAUCAAGUGAAUAAAUGAAAAGAAUUUCACAAAAUGAAAUAAAUCUAAGUAAAAUCGAGUUGAUUGCGAAAUCAUGCUCUGAUUUACAGUUUUGAUUUAAUAUAAUAGAAAAUGGAAACUCGGAAAAUGCCGUACAAAGCGACUGUCCAAAGUCAUUAUAAAAGAGAGCUUCAUUUUUCAUAGCUGGGAGGGCAAUUUUCGAAAGAAUUGAGAGAAAAAUUUCGAGGCAAAGUUGUCUUCGUUUAUUUUUUGGAUUUCUUUGUUUUAGGUCAAAGUCAGAAAAGUGAGGUUUUGGUUUUUUUUUUUUUUUUUUUAGUCUUAAGUGAGGUUUUGGUUUAGAACGGAGAAAAUACAGCAGAGGGUGCUGCAAAGAGUGGACGUGAGGGGACGUGAGAGAGAAAAAAAGGGAAAGAGCGCUACAGUGUCGUCUUCUUCGGAGGCCCCCCAUUCGAUCGCGCCAGUCCGUGCCGCGCCGGCCACCGUGUCGGCACCGCGACGCCGGAUACCACCGCGCCUCGCCACCUCGCUGGUCCACUGCACCUCCGCCGCACCUCCGCCACCGUCGCGCCGCCGGCCUCGCCGCCUCGCUGAACCCCUGCAACCACCGACGCUGCGCCUGCAUCUCCGCCUCUGCCCACGACGAGCAGCAACUGAGCCACCUGCAAUCUUCUCUCCAGCGCGCCUCCCCUUGCAGUCGCCAGCCAUCGCCGCUGCUGUUGAGCCACGACCCGACGCCAGCGGAAGCUCGCGCCCAGCCCGUCGCCGAAACCAUCGACACCCGCGACGCCCCUAGCUGCUUCGCCCCCUGCCGACGCGACCCAGCCCCGACGCCGCCUCCGCCGUCGAUCUUGCAGCUCGCGAAGCCCCUCACCGCCUGACUACUGCUGUCUUGAUCUCACCGCUCGAGUGCCCCGACACCUACAGAUCUCCUGCUCGCCUGUCACCGCGCCGGGGUGCCGCUCGAUUCGUCGUGCCCCUGCGCCGGAAGCUCAACGCCGUCGCCGCCCAGCAGUCCGCGACGCCCCGACGCCCGCUGGUCGCUGCGCCGAACCUCUGCGACGCCGUCACCGCCCCUGCCCUCAGCGCCACCAGCAACCCCGUUGCUGCCCAGCUUCGCCGGAGCUCCGACCGCGACGCCCCUGCCGGACCUCCGAUCAGCCACUCUUGGCCGGGCCCCACGGCUGCUACCCUAAUUUUGAAGAAAAGGAUGAAAUAGUUUUUUUAGUUUAUUUUAUUUUUAUUUUACUUUAUCUUGUUUUUUUUUAAGUAUAAUUAGUCCUUAGUAUAUGAUUGGAAAUUUCAACAUAUUACCUGAUUCGCAACCGCGUUUUGAUUUUUUAUUUCACUAUGAGACUUUAGAUGAAAUAAUUAAUCAAGCAGGAAUAAAAUUGAUCCUUUGAUUUUUAAGGUUUAAGUCAAUUUAUCAAUUUUACUAGCGAAAUAUUAUCCCUUGAAUAGAAUGAUAUGUGAUAUUUUUUGAAUGAUCAGUUUUGUCUUAAUUGCUUAAUUUAUUUUGAAAUAUGUUUGAGUUAGAAUAUUGUAUGCUUUAGGGUUAUUUGCAUAUUUAGAAUAAACAUUUUAUUCAUCAUGAGUUUUCGAAAUUAAAAAAGAAAUUAAAAAAAAACAUGAAUUUAGGUUGUUAGAUUUUUGUUUCAUUAUCUUAAAUUGCAUGUUUAAUUAUUUGAACCUUAAGUCACAUAGAAUUAUGACAUAUUUUAAUUAUUUUAAAAUUUCGAAAUUAAUUAUAAAAAAAAACAACAACAAAAAUCAUUAUGCAUAUAUCAUGUAGAAUUAUGGCAUAUUUUGUACAUCAUUGCAUAUUAGGGUAAAAUUGCACUUAAUUUAAUUUUAGAUAAUAUGUUUCUUAAUUUAUUAUAAGUUUAGGUAUUUUCUUAAAUAGAUUGCAUUUUAGGAUUAUUUGGGUUAAGAUAUUAUUUUAGUUUAAAUUAGGAUUUGGUUUAACUUAAUUCCUAAUGCAGAUUGAAUAUGAUCUUAAUCUAGCUAGAUAAUUUUCACAUUUUAUCUAAUUCCGAAUUUCAUGAAAAAAAUACAAAAACGUCUUAGGAUAAAUUAGUUUUAUUUUUUUUAAGGAAAAGUUGCAUUCUUUUAGGAAAAAAUGUCAUGCAUGUCAUAUAGGAUUAGAUUCAUGAAAUGCACGUCAUUUAGAGAUUGUUAUUAGGUCCAUUUAAUUAGAAAUUGCAUAUCAUUAGUUAUAGGUCAUUUAGUCAAUAUUGCAUUGCAUAUUGCAUGAUUUUUAUUAAUUAAGUGAAAAAAAAAAGAAGAAGAGAAAAUUGCAUGUUAAUUAGAAAUCAUAUCUAUAAUUGUUGAUGUGAAUUCUAAUUUAAUAUUGCAGAUGUUUUCGUUGCUUUUAGGUAUGUUUUGCAAUUUAUUCAUUACUUAUUUGGGUGUUAAAUUAGUGGUUUGCGCACCGCAUGAUUGCCCCACAUGUUAGGGAAAUAAAUUUAAAAUCAAUUUAAGCUACCUGCAAAAAAAAAACAUUUUUGAAAAUAAAAAAAAUAGUACCAAAAGGACAGUAGAAAAAUCUAGUGUAAUCAAAUCUCUAUACCCAUAGUCUCUGAUUCGUAGGAGUAAAGUAAACUCCCGUUAUUUAUUUGGGUUUCUAAUCGACUCACAAAAAAAUAGAUUAAUGACGACUACUAAAUAAAAUCUAUCUGUUAAAUAUUUGAACCUUAAGUUACAAAUUGAAAUGAGUUUUGGAGAGUCCGAGCUAAAUUUAAAAACUUAGUAGUCUUAAGUGGUGCACUCGAAAUUUAGAUCGCGACACCUUGACAUUCAAGCAUAUAUGCUUUAUUGAUGUCCCAUCAAUCAAUGGUUCUCUCAAACAUUCCAUUUACUAGGCUCCUUGGGGAGAUGGUGGAGAUCCAUCGUUCCAAACUCACAUGUACUUGAGGUCUAGCAUCUAACAGAACCAUUUUGACAUCGAAAGGUCCACCUGAACUGACUGAAUUGAGGUCAUAAAGCAAUCCCUUCUAGGCCAAGUCCUUGUCAAACUUUCCCCUUCCAUCUUGGUAGUUUGUAGAUGUACAUUCCCGAUAAGUUAGGGACUUGUUUGUCCAUCUUGGUAGUUCUUACAAUACUUUCUGUUCAUGUGAAGUCCUCUGAGAUGCACUAUUCGAGCUAUACUCCUUUCAUCAUUUUAUUCAAAUCAUUUCACUGUUCCCGCUGCUCCAUGGUUUAUAGCAGCAUCGUCAUAUGGACCACCCAUCUCCAAUGAUCUUACUUGUGCUUAGACUCCUCUGGAAGAAAUCUUUGAAAAGAAUAGCAGAAACAACGAUGGUAGCAACUGUCACCACACACGGGACAACCUCAAGUGCGUUAAUCGUUUUGCGCCAGCACAAGUGGUCCACCUUGGCAGAAACAACAAUUGUUGUGCUGCUGCUGUUGCUCCUCCUACUCGGAGGCAUGGGACGAUGCCUGCUGGUUCUAGCUUGGUUGUCACUGCUCAUUCGAGAGAGAGGCCGAAUCGGAAUCCGAAGUGACGAUCUGAAAUAAAAAUGGGAGGAGGAGAGAGUCGGAGGGGGAUGGUGGUAUAUUCGACCUGGCCUUGCUGCCUGACGCAACCAAUUCUUAACGUUGCAGUCUCACGUACACUGGAAGAUUAAGUUUGAACCAAAACUACUCAGUUCACGUACGUAUACAGGCCUGUCAUUGCUGUCUUACCAGCGUGCUAGAAGCCAGGAAAUACCUUCAUAUGAGGUAGCAAUAUAUGCAGGAUACAACCUCGCCAAGGAUUCGCUCACAAUGUGAUUCAAAUUAUUCAAUUCAUGGAAAAUAGUGUGACCCGCCUAUUGUUAAGUCACCGCAUUUGGGGGUGGGCUACAAUUUUUUCACGUUCAUUGUUCUUUCUUUUUCAAAUUGUUUCAUGUGAAUAAGCCAUGUAUGAAUUUGAUAAAAGCAUGAGACGUGUAUAAAUCUGUUUCGUGCUUAUUAGCACCUAAGUUUGACGAGUGAUUGAUCUAUCAACACUGGCCAUAAAUGAAGAGAUUUGGGGAUUGUUCUCUGCAAAAAGUUAUUGUUACACCCUUCACAUUCUUGAAUCACACCUUGUUCUUCACUUCCGAUUGUUGUUUUGUGUACUAACUUCUCUAUAUAUUGGAAUAACAUGAAUUUUCAGAUUAAGCUUGAAUCUGAAGAUAUUUGACUGGAGAAGUUUGCCAUCAUAAUGAAGUAAUUGCAAUUUCAUAUACCUCCACUAAUAUAAUUAAACAAAUGAAUUAUAUCAAUUUUAAUUUGAGUGUAUAGUAACCAACUAAUUGAACUAUAGAGCACCCAUUUGUCCAACAGAAUGUCUCAUUCUCUUUGGCUAAAAUACAACAGAAGGCAUCCCCACGGAGUCUUUCUAAACGUUCCAAUUUUAGCAAAACUUACUUCAGUGCUCUAAUGCACACGACGUAAAUCACCGAAUGUGACAUUGAAAAAGCCCGCCAACAAAAUAGGAUCCCAAGGGCAAAUAAGGAAAGAUCGUAAAGAAUAUGGAACAGAACAAAUCACGUUUGAGGGCGAUGGUUGUUCUGACAUGCUUGAUUGCUGCAAAGUGAGGCGAUACUCAAUCAUACAGUUUCUUCAAGUUUGAUAGGUCAAUCAAUGUAAGCGUCAACUGGAAAUGUGUGGUUCAUAAGGGCAAUAAACUUGAGGGAAGCAUUGGGAGGCACCGCAGACAUUCAUUAGAGAGUUCAAGUCUCCUAAGAUGUGAAAGCUGUGCAAUAUAUGGUGAUAUAGUGGUCAUUGUUGAAGAGGACAACUCUAAUGACUCUAGUUUGUUUAACCGACUAAUCCACCGGGAGACAACAUCUUCUGUUAAAAUAUGUCUCAAGUUUAAGCCCAAUGCAAAAUUAUGAAUAUUACAAAUUGGAUAUGUUGCGGAUGUUCGAAAUCGAGCAAAGAAGAUCCGAAGAUCAACUUCCCAAACUUGAAUAUGUGUUGGAGAGUCUGGCUACUAAAAUAGGAAAGUCCAACUUUGACUAGGACUUGGAUUUUGUUUAAAAUAUAUAAAGAUAUGUUUUAGAUAAGAAAUAAAAUCCUAUGAGAAGUUGGCAAAAGAAUAAGGGUUUUACUUAUAUAUAGACUUGAGGCCGUGGGUGAUAGAGGUGGAUCAUAAAUUGUCUUGAAGCGCCGCGUGAGUGCUUGGUGUUCCACUGUUGAUCGUGAAGAAUUGGUCUUGAAGUGCCGCCUCGUUGUCGAGUGCUUAGGAGGGAUUUUCUUUGUCGUGAAUUGCAUCCAAUAAGGUUUAGUGUUGAAGCCAAUUAAAUCUUGUGGCAAGAUUUGCGUGUAAUUCCUUCGUGAGAUUGAUAGAUUAUUUCUUGAAGAAUUUUGGGGCUAAACACUGUGUGUGUUAUUGGGUGUAAUUGGGGCUUGGGAAACACCGAGAGAGUGUUUGAGUGACUUGAGUAUGUAAUCUCCUUGUAUUGCUUGAUCUAUAGUGAAAUUCGCUACUGCUCUCCCCGUGGACGUAGGUCUUUAUGACUGAAUCAUGUAAAUUUGGUGUCCAAUAUUUUUUUUUUCUGUCUAUAUUAUUGUUCGAUCGCUCGCCUUAUCGCAAUAAGUGGUAUCAGAGCCAGGCUUGGCUAAGUUGAAGCAUAUCGAUGGCGACGGAAGAAGUAAAAGUGAGAAUCGACAUAUUUGAUGGGAAUGAUUUUAGUUUCUGGAAGAUGCAGAUUGAAGAUUAUCUUUAUCAGAUGAAACUGCACUUGCCCUUGUCUGGAGAGAAACUAGAGACGAUGAAGCAAGCGCUGAUUGGGAUUUGCUGGAUAGACGAGCUAUGGGUGUUAUUCGGCUUAUGUUGGCUCGUAACGUCGCGUUUAACAUCCUAAAGGAGAAGAUCAUUGCUGAUUUAAUGCAAGCCCUGUCGGAUAUGUACGAGAAGCCCUCUGUGAUCAACAAGGUUUGUUUGAUGCGACGUCUAUUUAAUUUGAAGAUGAGCAAAUGUGCGUCAGUUGUUAAUCAUAUUAAUGAAUUUAAUGUGAUUAUUAGUCAAUUGAAUUCAAUUGAGAUUGACUUUGAAGAUGAGGUACGUGCUUUGAUUCUGUUAUCCUCAUUACCUGAUAGUUGGAAUACUACUAUUACUGUUGUUAAUAAUUCCUCCGGGUCAACAAGUUUGACGUUUGAUGGGGUUUGAGAUUUGAUUCUGAGCGAAGAUAUUCAUAGAAGAGAAUCUGGCCAAUCUGUUUUUAUUGCUUUAGUAGGUGAAAAUAGAGGAAGAUCUGUAACGCGUGUAGGUAAAAGUAGUACUAAUAUGAACAGACGUAGUCAAUUUAGGACUGCUAAUGUUUUCUAUUGGAGUUGUGGUAAGAGGGGGCAUCUUAGAAGGGAUUGUCUUAAGCUGAAGAAUGAGAAGGGUAAGGAAAUUGUAGUUGAUUCUGCAGAUAAUGUUGUAGCUGUAGCAGAUAAUGCCGAUUAUGUAUUGUCUGUCACUAAUGAUUCAUCGUUUGAUGAAUGGAUUAUGGAUUUUGGUUGUUCUUUUCAUGUCACACCAAAUAGAAACUGGUUUAUCACUUAUCAGUGCACGGGUAGUGGUAAAGUUCAAUUAGGGAACAACGUUAAGUGCAAUAUUGUGGGUGUUGGUAAUGUUAAAAUCAGAAUGCAUGAUGGCAUUGUGAGGAUAUUGACUGGAGUGAGGCAUGUUCCAGAGUUGAAGAAGAACUUAAUUUCCUUUGGUGCCCUAGAUUCAACUGGUUGCAGGUAUUCUUCAGAAGGUGGAGUUCUGAAGGUUGUUCGAGGUGCCUUGGUGAUAAUGAAAGGAAUCAAGCACGGAGGCCUGUAUAAACUUCAAGGUGGGACGGUAACAAAUUUCGUUGCAGAGACGUUGGAUGCAUAUGUUCGAGAGUCUAUUGACUGCUCGAGGAAGACCUGGAUGUUUGUGCCAAUGCACAAGUUUGAUGGUGAUGUCAGGAUCACGCGGUUGAGAGUUUUGAUCGAGACGGAGACUAGUAAGUCGAUCAAGCAUGUGUAGACUGACAAUAGCAUGAAGUUCUGCUCGGAGCUGACAAAUAAAUUCUGCAUGAAAGAGAGUAUAGUGAAAUACCGCACCAGUACCAGUAAAUUACAACAAUUUGCAGAAUUGAUGAGCAGAAUAUUACUAGAGACGGCCCGUAAAAUAAUCUCUAGUGUUGGUAUUGCUAGGAGAAUCCUAACUGAUGUGCUUAGUACAAUAAGCUGCCUGGUGAAUAGAUCCCCAUCAACUGUUAUUGAAUGGCGGACUCCUGAAGAAGUGUGGUCAAGUAAAGUUGCUAGUUAUUCUAUCAUUAGAAUGUUACGUUGUUCGUAUUAUUUUCGAGUGAGUGAUGGUAAGCUCGAUGGGAGGGCAAGGUGCAUAUUCCAUGGCUAUGCACAAGGUGAGCAAGGCGAUCGAUUGUGGUGCAUAGAUAUAAAUUCACCUGUUAACAGUAGAGAAGUUACUUUUGACGAGUCUCCAAUACUUCUGACUAGGAGUGAUUAUAGCAGUGUUCAAACGGAUUUGAACGGUGUUCAGCUUGAGGUGGAGUUACGACCAGAAACUCCUGAGGUAGCGAGUACGAGUACUAGCAAAGUAAUCGACACAAAUGGUGCUCAUAACGAGGUAGAGCUUAUAGAGCCAAUGGUUACUGUAACUGCUAAAAUUAACAAGGUACGUAUUCGAUCUCCUAACAGAUAUGGAUGCAACAAUGGUUUUGUUUUAUCUGUGGUUAAGGAGGUUAUGUCGGAAAAUUCUUGCGGAAUAGUUAAAGGUGCAUGUGGAGUUGGUAUUCUGAUGAGAUCAUCGGUUAUAGCGAAGUUCAAGCGAAGCUUGGACUUGGACAAUAUCGCCCAUCAGGGGCUAGGGGAAAGUAGUAGCAGAGUUUGAAUUUUUUGCGAAGCGAUUGCGACUUAGCUCAAACGUCGAGCCAAAGUGGAGAUUGUUAAAAUAUGUCUCAAGUUUAAGCCCAAUGCAAAAUUAUGAAUAUUACAAAUUGGAUAUGUUGCAGAUGUUCGAAAUUGAGCAAAGAAGAUCCGAAGAUCAACUUCUCAAAUUUGAAUCUGCGUUGGAGAGUCUGGUUACUAAAAUAGGAAAGUCCAACUUUGACUAGGACUUGGAUUUUUUUAAAAUAUACAAAGAUAUGUUUUGGAUAGGAAACAAAAUCCUAUGAGAAGUUAGCAAAAGAAUAAGGAUUUUACUUAUAUAUAGACUUGAGGCCGUGGGUGAUAGAGGUGGAUCACAAAUUGUCUUGAAUUGCCGCAUGAGUGCUUGGUGUUCCGCCGUUGAUCAUGAAGAAUUGGUCUUGAAGUGCCGCCUCGUUGUCAAGUGCUUGGAAGGGAUUUUCUUUGUCGUGAAUUACAUCCAAGAAGGUUUAGUAUUGAAGCCAAUUAAAUCUUGUGGUAAGAUUUGCGUGUAAUGCCUUCGUGAGAUUAAGAGAUUAUUUCUUGAGGAAUUUCGAGACUAAACACUGUGUGUGUUAUUGGGUGUAAUUGGGGCUUGGGAAACACCGAGAAAGUAUUUGAGUGACUUGAGUGUGUGAGAUUAAAUCUCCUUAUAUCGCUUGAUUUAUAAUGAAAUUCGUUACUGCUCUCCCCGUGGAUAUAUGUCUUUACGAUUAAACCACGUAAAUCUGGUGUCCGAUAUAUUUUCUUUUUCUGUCUAUAUUAUUGUUCGAUCACUCGCCUUAUUACAACAAGCCACAAGCUUAGACGGGUCAACAGGGCGAGGAUACUUUUGGCAUCCCAAAGACAAAUCUCUCAAGCUUUUCAAGUUCAAGAGAUUGGAAAUCCUAUCAUCAGCUCGCCGCUCGAUAUGAAUAUGUAGACAGAGAAGAAUUUCUGGGAGUCUUAGCACUUGGGGUAUCUCAACACAUGUCGGUUUCAAAAUCUUCCGAGAUGAACAUCUCCAGAUAUCAUAGGAAUUUCUGAUUAGCAAAUUUUCACUAAGCUCUACAUCUAUUCUUCUAGCUAUUCCUGCUUCUAUACUGCACUAGUUAUCAUUCUCAUGAUAGAGAACCUCAUCUUCAAUGCUUUCAAAUACUUCAUGUUCCCGACCAAUCUAGCAGCUUCUCUAUGUCCAUGUUCAAUUAUCGAACUCAGCAAGUGAUUCCAAAUUUCAGAUUGAGUCCAGUAGUGUCUUUGUUGACUUGUAGUUCCUGGAAGACUAGUGUUUGAGGCUUACGAGGGAUCCACUUGAGCUGGGAAGCUCCACGAUCCCAGCUCCUCAUAGAGAAAGCCUCGAUAGGGAAGUUAGGUGACAGAUUGAAGGUUUUAUAGUCAGUGAGGAACGAUGGGAAGCACAUAGGACCUGCAAGCUCUUCAAUUCUUGACAUUUAGGCAUAUGCUUUAUUGAUGUUAUGCAGCAAUCCCUUUUUAAGGCAGUUAAGUCCAUGUCAGACUUUCCCCUUCUAUCUUGGUAAUUCGUAGAUGUAUAUUCCCUUUUAAGAUAGAGAUUAUCAAUGUCUGUCCGUUAAAACCAGCAUGCGAAAUUGCGAAUUGAACAAAGUCAACGUCUAGCAAGCUAGUCGCCUUAUCUUUCUCCCAAAAAUCAUGUACUUUUAUUCGUGUGAAGUCCUCCAUCAGGUACUAACCGAGUUAUCCAGAGUUAGAUUCAUAUACUAGUAAGAAUACUUUGAGGAACCUUGUUUAGCUUUCUUAUACUUGUUUCAUAGUUUGAUUCCAUCAAUUCUCGGUUCACGCUGCUCCAUGGUUUAUAGCAGCAUCGUUAUUUGGUUUGCCCUCUCCGGUGAUCUUGCUGCUCUUAAUCUUCUCUGCUCCAUGGUUUAUAGUAGCAACUUUCGCCACACACAAUGCAACCUCAACUGGUGAAUCGUUCUGCACCAGUACAAAUGGUCCACCUCAGCAGAAACGACAACUGUUGAGCUGCAUGAGGAUUGGGGUGGUCUGACUUGGCCUCCCCGCCCGAGUCGCAAUGGGUCAGGAAUUUUUUUUUUUUUUAUAAAUUAAAAAGUGUGGGAAAAGAUGACCAAUACAAGUAUCCAUUCUUGUUGUUACAUAAAGUGUUAUGUAUAUUACAGAAUAUCUCCAUUGAGCCAUAACCACGCCAUCCGUCUAUAAGUGUGCAAGUCUAUCACCAUAACUAAUAUGUCAAAAGCCUGAAAAUAUUUCCACAUAAUGUUGUGAAUACCUAAAAUACUGAUUGGUGAAAAGGUCACUCAUAACAUGAUUCAAACUCACAAAUUUAUAGAAGAUGGCAUGAUCCCUUCGUCAUUGGGUUAUCGUGCUUGGGGUUGGAUUGUGAUUGUGACUUUUUCAUGUUUAUAUAUAUAUAUACUUUCAAAGUGAAAGAAUGGUGCAUGAGCCUGAUCCAAAGUGAUUUAUAAAUCUAUUUUGUGCUCAUAAAAUUUGACUUAAUCAAAUGAGGUGUUGUGUUUAUGUUGCCAAUAAAAGAAGAGGUUUGAUGACUGGUUUCUAUAAAAUUGAUUAAUUUACUCUUCAUAAUUUUCUCAAGUUAUUCAACCUUUUUGUUUUGUGUACUAAUUUUUCUGUGCUUUUAUAGACAUUUGACUGUGAAUAUAAAUGCAUGAGAGCCACCAAACAUCGUGCAUGCGACGCAUUGGUGUUCUUAUAUUAUUAUUUUUUUUUUGCAUGAGCUAAUUGUGAUUUAAGGAAAAAAAAUCUUCCACGUUCUUUGAUAAUUUGAAAAUGACAUUUUGUGACUUUUGUUGUGUGAGGUUACAAACUCUUUUUACUCCGAACACAGCCGAUGAAAAAGUCCAAUGACUUUUGUUCUCAGAGAUUAUGGACCUUUUUACUUGUUUAAAUCUUUUACAUGUAAAGUAUUCAAUUGCAAUGAUUGUACAACUCAUAUAUCAAAUCAGUAAUUGUGAGAUGACGAUGGCAUCAUUUUAUAAGAUAGUGAUCGGUCAAAUCGUAUUCGCACUAAAUAUUUUGUAAAUUCUAAAUAAAACAACCUAGCUCAAAUUAUUGCAUAGACGUAAAAAUAAAAACUAUCAAAUCCACUUUCAUAUAAAUUUUAAAGAAUAGAAUUGAUCUGUCAUGAUAAAUCACAUUCUCGAACUCUCUCAACCCGAGAGAAGUGGGCUCCACAAUCCACAAUUAAGCUUAAUUCACUUGUCUCGCACGUUGAAUAAUAUUCUUUUCAAGUUCGAAUAAUAUUGGCAAAGAAAAAGUUUGAAUGAUUUGAGUUAUUAGAUUGGUUCGAGCUUGGAAUCGGAAAAAUUUUACUCAAUAAGCUUGAGAUCAAAGGAAGCGCCAAAAGAGGGGAGAGAGAGAGAGAGAGAGAGAGAGAGAGAGAGAGAGAGAGAGAGAGAGAGAGAGAGAGAGAGAGAGAGAGAGAGAGAGAGAGAGAGAACGGAAAUUUGUCCGGGAGCACGCCUCAUUUUAGCGAAACUUCCUUCAUUGCCCUCGCGGAAACGACGAAAUCACCGGACGUGACACCGAAUAUGCCUGCCAACAAAGCAAGAGCCCGAGGUCGAAUCAGGAAAAUUCGCAAAUCCAUCGUCCUCUCCUUCCCUUUCCCCCACUCAAAAACAAAAGCUUGCCGUAGCUUUCGAUUGCCAACUGCUGCGAAAAUCGCUACGGAGUCCACGAACGCUGCGAAGACCAGGAUUCGAGUGUUGAAUUCGAGCAAUGCGGACGAAGACCGCAAUCGAUCUCUCCACCUCGUCGGGCGAUCCCACCAUUUUGAUUGCGUGAGAUUGGAAUGAUGUUGUUGCUCCAGCAGAAUGUGGAGUUGAGGGUGAUGGUUGUUCUAAAGUGCUUCAUUGCCGCGGGUGGGGGCGAGAGGUAAUUGCAAUUCGGGUUCAUGUAAUCAAUUACAUGCUCUGAUCCUCCCACUUGAUUGGGAUUGGGAGUCUAGUAUCAAGCAUGUCGGUUUUGAGCUUGUAGGUUUCAGCAGACUAGCUUUAUGGGAAAGAGGAGCCUUAUGCUUUUCACUUAUUCGCCUUUCGUUGCAUUUGAACAUAUAGUUCUUUAAGUUCACGAACAAGGAUGGCAGAAAUAUACUGAAAUAUUAUUUUGAGUUGAUGUUUCCUUGAGAAGUGUUCCUCUUACUUGAUUGUCGAAAUAGCUUGCUAGAGACAUAAGAAACUUGCUCCAUUGUGAGAUAGCUAGUAUAAGCACCUAGAGGGGGGUGAAUAGGUGCACAAACAAUUUAUCGAGAUACGGAAGCGAUUUUAGGCAAACGAUAGAAAGGAAGUUCUCUAUUGAUUAACAAAAUGAAGUACGAUCAAAGUAAAGAGAGUAAGGAAAAGAAAAUUGAACACAAGGUUUAUAGUGGUUCGGCUUAUUCCAAGCCUACGUCCACUCUUCCGCACUGACAGCCCACCGGCUGGAUUUCACUAUGAACAAAAGAGUAGUUACAGCACAGCUUUUCCUUGAUUCCACAGUGUAGAUGUUCUACCACACCUCCUCAAGGUUUCUCACAAUAUAGACUCUCUUUUGUAUACAAAGUUUCGCUCAAAGGAAUUGUCUAAACAACAAGGAGCUUCAAACUUUGGAAUUCUUCUAUCGCGCACACCUCGAACAACUUAGAACGUCUUCCUUAUAUACUCCUUUAUGCCAUCAUACCCGUUGGCACUUACCAAAUGAAUUCCUCCAAUCUACUCAUUGGACGGAAUCAAUUAGGAAGAUUAUUCGAGCUAUUAAAGGAACGUGUCGAUAGCCCAUCAAUCAUGUUCGCCCAUACAAUCAGGAUCUCGGUUUCUAUAAGUAGAACCUUCCAAGAAUAUUUAGGCAAUAAUCGGAUCCUUAAUCUUCGAGUCAAUCUCGAUCAAUCAAAGGAUUCCGUUGUGUUUUUUCUAGCCAAGAGAUCUUCUCCAGUUGAUAAGGUCAUAUCCUUAAUGAAACAUCCAGUUCUGGAUAACCUUUCUUCAACGGAUUAGAGACUGUCAAUGAGGAUAGACUUUGAGUCUUGAGUCUGGCUAUCCGGAGGUCUUCAGACUCUAAAUAGCAGAGUCUGCAAGCCUUCAGACUAGACUGAUGGAAACGUUUUGUCAGCUUCAAAACACUUCAAGAAGAUUUCUCCAACAAUCUCCCCCUUUUUGAUGGUGACAAAACUUUCCUGUAGAUUUGGACAACUUUGACCUGCAAAACAUUUCUCAAACACAUAUGCAUAUCUUAUAGAGAUAAAUUACCAAAUGAAUAACACUAGAAUCUGCAACCACAGAAAAUAGGUUAGUCUAAUAUGCGAUAAAGCCAUCCAUAAGAUAUGAAUAGUAGUUAAUAGAAGCAGUCAAGCCCAAGUCUAGUUCAGUUCUCAUCUAGACACAAAAACAAAGUCAAACAGAUCAAAACAAUCCAACAAAAUCCAACAAACAGUCCAACAAACCAUACGAUUAAAAGUCAAAUUGUUCAAAUCUUGCAUCUCUCCCCCUUUUUGUCAGCAUUAAAAAGGUUGAGAUGAAAGUGGAAUAAAGUCAAGAUUGCUUGGGAACUCGGACAAGCUGGAAAUCUCCCAUAGACUGAACGAUGCCUUCCAGCCUUUUCAAGUCUUCCUUCAGUUGUGCAAUCUCCUCACCCUUGGCAUUAGCCUGAAUCUGAACAGUGAGGGCUUGGAUUUUAUCAUUCAAUGAACAUGAAGAAACUUGACCCGCAAUUUGCAAGUUUUGAACCUUGCAUCCCAAGGCAUAAAUUUGACCUCGCAUCUCCAAGAGAAUAUCCAUGAUUCUGCGAAAAUCUGCUGCAUUAUCAGUCUGAGUACUUGCUUCGGCUCGAUCUGAUGGAGUAAAUGCAGACAAUGGUAGAUCAGCAUAAUCUCACAGGUUUGGCGAUGAAACUUCAUGACCUUCUUCUGGAAAUUGAGAGGCAUAAACGUCCUCUGGAUCUGCAGGUGAGUGAUUGACUCCUUCACUUGCAUCAGGAUAUGAGGACUUCCCUCCUUUCUCUUGAUCUUUCCCUGUUUCCAUGCCUACAGGUGGAGAAGAGUGUUCCUUAGAUUCUCCUUCUUCUCUUCUUUCUUCUUCUUCUUUCUCAACUCUUUCAUUCUCAGCUUCUCUUUCUUCUUCUCCUUUCUCCUCUGCUUCCUUCUCCUCUAUUUCCUUCUCCUCUGUUUCUUUCAUCUCUGCUUCUUUUGUCCUUUGUUUUGAUUCUUUCUCUGGAACAGAACGACUCAGAUUCUUCAAAGCCAUUGCAGAAACAGUGAGAUUUUCAUCAUCAUCUUCAUCUUCAACAAUAUGAGCUCUUCUUUUCGGUUUUGAAGCAACCAAGGGCUCAUUUCCUUUCCAUUUUGAUGAAGAAGAGGGUUGAUGAGCUUUGACUGGAGUCUUCUCCUUAAAUUUCUCCAACGCCUUGUUUAGUUUCUUCAGACGCAUCUUGGUCACCAUUUUCAGUCCUACCACCAUAUGAUCGCACGAUCGAACACAAAAGAUUUGCGGAGGCUGAAUAUUCAGAUGUCUGAAUAACUUCGUCACAAGACUUGGAUAAGGGAGUUGACCUCUGUCCUUCAUCAUGGCUCUAUACAUGUGAAACAUAACAGUGUGAGGAAGAGAAAACCUUUUCCCAGUGAGGAUGGCAUACAUCAACUUUGCCUCUGAACUUGAAACAUCGGUCUUGGAAGUUGAUUUUGGUCGGAGGCAAUUGAUCACAAUCUUGUGAAGCAAGAUGUUGAACGCACUCAUCCUUGAGUAGGAAAUCUUUUCCUCUGUUCUCCUGUCCUUAACAAGUUCCAAUGUAGCAUGAGCAAUAGAAACUUUGAUCGGUUGAUAUCUUCCUCUCUCAACUCCUAACACAUCUGCCAGCAUAUCUAUAUCCACAACAUAGUCUUGAUCUUUGACACCGAAAGAGAAUCUAUUCGCAUCCAAAAAGUUAAGAUUUGAAUAGAAAUAUGCGGUUAGUUCAGCAUAGGCCUCUGUAGUGUCGGAGCAGAACUUUUCAAGUUGAAGAUAACCGAAAUUUUCCCUCAAGUUCACAUUUACAGCAUCCAGAAAAUCAAAAUCCACACUCCUAGGGUUUAUUACCCCACGCUUCAGCAAUUUUGAGUACAAAUCCUUUUGUUCCUUUGAUUUGAACAAAUCUCAUCUUUUUCCUCGAUUUUCAACCGCAACACCCAUUCUCGGUUGAAAUUGACUGUACAAUUUGUCAUCUUCAUUCCCAUCUACAGGAUUCACUCCCCAAUCACGAGGAUCACUUGGGAUAUUCGCAAGGGUUUCUUCGGCCACCCCUUUACAAGCAAUUCCCAAACUUUCCAUUUUUCUCAAAAAGAUAUAUUCAUUGCCAUACCCUUUGUCUUUAAGAAAAUCAUCGACAUAGUUCAAUGGAGUAUGAGUUCCUUUUAAAGCACGAUACAUCUGAUAAAUAAAAGUGGGCUUUUGAACUCUUACAGGGUCUGCAUCCUCAAUGAUUUCUUCCUCUUGUUGAUGAUCAACGCCUUGAGGACUAGAUGGAGGAGAAUGACGCUGCUGAGAAUGUUGUGGGUUCGGUUGCUGUUCUGGAGACACUUCUUCUUCAGUAAGAUCGAAGUGCGUAGGCCCCUCAUUCAUUUGCCGUGGUCCCCUGCUUGCGAUUCUCGAAGACUUUCUUGAAGAUGACAUCUUUCUCAGUUUUUGGAAGAUUCCUUACUUGACUUUCCCAAGAAAGAUGACGACUUUUUCGAAGAUUAAAUAAGGGAGAAAAACGGGAAUGGAAGAUCGAUGCUUUCUAGGGUUUUUGAGAGUAAAGUGAAGAGGAAUCAACAGUGCACGAUCAGUUAAAAAGGGAGAUAAACAAACCGUCACAAAGGAAAAUAAAAAGAUGCAUUUUCAAAAUAACUGUCAUUUUUCCGCGAAAAUAGUCAUUUAAAAAAUAACUUCCUUUUUGAAAAUGAAACGAUGCAAUAGUUACGUCGAUUAAAUAUAGAAAUAAUUAAACACAGUCUGACGAUCGUACCUCUUCAAGAUAAGAUUCGAGAGAGAGAGAGAGAGAAUUACUUAUAGUCUGACGAUCGUACCAAGACUAACUUAUAGUCAAAGUCUUGUAUGUCUGAGUCUGAGAGUCUUUAGACUUUGAUUUCCUCAUACCUCAAAAUGUUGAGUCUGGAACGAAUAGUUUCAAAUUGAUUUUUCUCCAAAGGCUUUGUGAAUAUAUCCGCCAGUUGGUUCUUUGAGUCAACAAAUUGAAUUGAAACAUCUCCAUUUUAAACAUGGUCUCUAAUAAAGUGAUGUCGAAUCUCUAUAUGCUUUGCUAUUGAGUGGAGAAUUGGAUUUUUGGUGAGAUUUAUAGCGUUGGUGUUGUCGCAAUUUAUCUCCGUGCAUGAGUCUUCAAUUCCAAAGUCUCUUAGCUGUUAUUUUAUCCACAGAAUUUGCGAACAACAACUUCCGAGAGCUAUAUACUCUGCUUCUGCUGUAGAGAGAGCUACUGUACUUUGCUUUCUUGAAAACCAAGACAUUGUCCUGCCUCCAAGUAGUUGACAAGUACCCGAGGUGCUCUUUCUAUCGACUCUGCAUCCAGCAAGGUCUACGUCUGAAUAUCCAAGAAGAGUAAAGUCUCCCUUUUUUGGAUACUAGAGACCAAAGCUUGAAGUAGAUGAAAUAUAUUUGAUAAUACGCUUCACAGCAUUCAAAUGAGAUUCUUUUGGGUCUGAUUGAAAUCUGGCACAAAUGCAAAUACUAAACAAAAUGUCAGGUCUAGAAGCAGUAUGAUAAAGAAGUGAUCCGAUGAUACUCCUGUAUAGCUUUUGGUCGACUUUCUUUCCUUCUUCAUCUUUGUCUAUCUUCAAGGAACUUGACAUUGGUAUAUCAGCCUUUUUGCAAUUGUCUAGUCCAAACUUUUUGACAAGAAAGAAGGUUAACUCACCCAUCAUGCUCAUUUCAAAUUCAUCCUGCAUAGUCUUAGAAAAUUUCUUGCACAGACUUUCGUUAGAGGAUCCAAAGAUAAUAUCAUCGACAUAUAUUUGAACAAGCAGAAAACUUUUGCUUUCUCUUUUAAUAAAAAGAGUAGUGUCUACUUUACCUUUGACAAAACCAUUUCGAAUUAAAAACUUACUUAAUCUGUCGUACCAAGCUCGAGGUGCUUGCUUUAAGCCAUAUAAGGCAUUUUUGAGUCUGAAUACUGAGUCUGGUUUCCUUGGGUCUUCAAACCUGGGUGGUUGUUCCACAUAAACUUCCGCAUGGAUGAAUCCAUUUAGAAAUGCACUUUUGACAUCCAUUUGGAAUAACCUGAAAUUCUUAUAACAAACAAAUGCAAGUAAUAAAUGAAUUGCUUCUAACCUUGCUACCGGUGCAUAAGUCUCGUCAUAGUCGAUCCCUUCUUCUUGUGUGUAUCCCUUGGCCACGAGUCUACCCUUGUUUCUUAUGACUUUUCCUUUUUCGUCCAUCUUGUUCUUGAAAACCCAUUUAGCUCCAAUAAUUGAUUUACCUUUUGGUUUAGGAGUCAACUCCCAGACAUCAUUAAUUCUGAAUUGUCUGAGUUCUUCUUGCAUAGCUUCAAUCCAGCUUUCAUCGGAUAAAGCUUCUUCUAUGCUCUUGGGUUCUAUUUCAGAAAUAAGAGCCAUGGCACUAGACUCUUCUUGCCUUUUGGAUCUUGUGCGAAUUCCUUCAUUGAUGUCGCCAAUAAUAAGAUCUUUGGGAUGACUGGACUUAUGUUUCCAGUUGUUGGUUAAUUAAUCAGAUUGAUGGUCACUUCCUUUACUUGAAUCUUUAACAGUCACUUGUUGCUGGUCCUUCAAAGUCUGAGCUGCUUCUUGAGAUUUAGACUUUGUAGAGUCUGGAGCAGAUUUAGUCUCUUCAAGAUGAGUCUGAAUAGAUUCAUUUUGUAUAGAAUCUUGGAAUUUGACAUUCAUUGAUUCUUCCACAGUUUGAGUCUUCUUGUUGUAGACUCUGUACGCUUUGCUUGUGGUUGAAUAUCCAAGGAAGAUGCAUUCAUCUGACUUUUCUUCAAACUUACCAAUUCGAUCAUUUGGAUUUUUCAAUAUGAAACAUUUGCAUCCGAAUACAUGAAAAUAUGAAACAAUGGGCUUCUUUUCUUUGAAUAGUUCAUAGGGGGUUUUUUCUAGAAUAAGUCUUAGAAAAACUCUAUUAAUAAUAUAGCAUGAUGUUGAAACUGCUUCAGCCCAAAAACGUAAAGAGAUAUUGCUUUCAAUUAAGAGAGUUCUAGCCAUUUCUUGAAGAGAUCUAUUCUUCCUUUCCAUAACUCCAUUUUGCUCUGGAGUAUAUGGAGAAGAGAACAAAUGCUGAAAACCAGAUUCUUCACAAAAUUUUGCAAAAUCUUGAUUUUCAAAUUCAUCUCCAUGGUCUGUUUUUAUACUUGAAAUGACAUACCCCUUUUCAUUCUGAACUUUCUUAGCAAAUUUUUCAAAGUAAGAGAAAGUUUCAGACUUACUUGCCAAUAAAUAUACCCAAGUAAAUCGUGAAUAAUCAUCCACAAUUAUUAGGCAAUAUUUCUUACCUCUAAUACUCUGCGUUCUUGUUGGUCCGAAGAGAUCCAUAUGCAAGAGCUGUAGUACACGGUUAGUGGAAACUUGAUUUAUUGGCUUAAAGGAAUUUCUUACCUGUUUUCCCAAUAUACAUGGUGUACAUAGAUCAGACUUUUGGUAUGAUAAAUUGGGUAGACCACGAACAAGCUUCUUUGCUGAGAUUUUGGCUAUCUGCUUUAUGUUGAUAUGCCCAAGUUUUUUGUGCCAUAAGUUUGCUUCGUCUUGGAUUGAUGUUAGACAUUGCGAUUCAUCUGGUUUCACGUCUAAGAGGUAGAUAUUCCCAUGUCUUCGACCCAUAAAUGACUGAGUAGAGUCUUUACUGGUUCCUGAACAAAUACCCUCUUGAAAGUUGAUUUUAAAACCGGCAUCACAUAGCUGACUGAUACUGAGCAAGUUAUAGUUUAGCCCUUCAACUAAAGAAACAUUGCUUAUUGUGAGGUUCCCAAUCUUUACAAUUCCGAAUCCCAUUAUUUUUCCUUUGCUGUUUCCUCCAAAUGAAACUUUUCCACCAUUCACUUGAACAAGCUUUAUGAAGCAAUUUGAAUCUCCUGUCAUGUGUCUCGAGCAUCCACUAUCCAGGUACCAUUUCACCUUUUUCUUGAUAGUAACCUGCAUUUAAAAAAGACUCAAGCUUUCUUUGGUACCCAUAUUUUCUUGGGUCCUUUUGAGUUAGUCUAAUAUGUGGUUUUUGCCCAGACUUUAUUGACAUGUCUCCAAACCAUAUGACAUCCUUUCUUAAAAUGUUCUGCACUAUUGCAUUUUGAACAUCUAAGAGCAUUGCGACCUACUAGUUUUACAAAGGUCCUUUCAAAAUGAUUUUUGUAAGCAUUUCUUGUGGGUCUUUGUUUGAUUCUUUCUUUUACUUUAGGAAAAUCGAUUAAAGGAAUGGUUUUAGCAGUCAUUCCUAAACCGGCUUUAUUGAAAUAAGGUCUUUGGACAGAAAGUAUUUUCUCCAGUUUUUCAGAUCCUAGAGAAAAUCUUUUGGAAAUAUUUGAAAUAUCAUUUUUCAAGAAUGCAUUUUCUUUUAAAAGAUUAUAUUCACUUUCUUUGAGAGAAGAAACAUCCCGGUCUAAGCAUUUCACUUUUUCUUUCAAAACAUUCUCUUGUUGUUUUAGAGCAGAAUUUUCUUUUUUGAGUUCGGAAAUUCUUUUAAGAGAAGUCUUAAGACUAAAACAUAAUUCAUCAAUGUAUUUUGAAACUUUAAAAGGGAUUUUGAAGUUACUCACCUCAAAUUCACUUUCUGAAUCUGAAUCAGUCUCGGAGUUUGAUUCUGAGUCUGAUUGUGCCAUUAGACAUAUGUUGGCAUAAUCAUCAUCACUAUCUUCGCACUAUGUAUCACUCCAGGUUUCAGCUUUGAGAGCUUUUCGAUAUCUUUCAGUUUUUCCUUUCUUCUUCCUCAAAAGAGGACAGUUGGGUCUGAUGUGUCCAUUUUUCUUACAUUCAAAGCAGACUAUAUCUUUGUUUGAUUCAUCAUCUUCAACAGACUUGGUCUGUUGCUUUUGAAAACUUUGUUUCUUUGAAUUGAAUCUUCUUCCUUUUCUGUUCAGCUUUCUGAAUCUUCUUAUCAUGAGAGCAAGUUCUUCAUCAUCCAUGUCGUCUUCAGAAUCUGUUACAUCAUUAGAUUUUAAUGCAAUUGAUUUCUUACCUUUAGGAUCUUCGUCUUCAUUGAUUCGUUCCACUUCAUAAGACUGAAGGGUCCCAACCAACUCAUCGACAGACAGUGGCAUGAUUCUUUGGGUCUCUCUGAUUGAGGUCUUUAUAUGAUUCCAAUCCUUGGAGAGUCCACGCAAUAGCUUGUUUACUUUCAUGGGAUCAGAAAUUGGUUGACCUUGAUUUUCAAGACCAUUCACGAUUUCUGUAAAACGACUAAACAUGUCAGUUAUUGAUUCUCCUGGUUUCAUUCUGAAGGCUUCGUAUUGACCGAGAAGAAUGUUGAUUCUAGUCUCUUUCACUCGAUCGGUUCCUUCAUAGGUAAUGUGUAAUCUAUCCCAGACUUCUUUGGCUGUAUCACAAGAAGAUAUUUUGUUAUAUUCAGUAGGUGAUAAAGCACAAUAUAAGGAAUAAAUUACUUUUGCAUCAAGAGCUUGUCUCUUAAUUAUCUCUUCCCGAGUCAUUUCGCUAGACUCAACAGUGUCUUUUCCUCUUUUUGAGACAGAUGUAGCUUUAGGAACAAUUCCUUUUUCUACAACGUCCCAUUCCAGAGGAUCCUUUGAUCUUAAGAACGUCUUCAUCUUGUUUUUCCAUAUAUUGUAGUCCUUUCCAUCAAAGUAAGGCGGUCUGGUGUUACUUUGCCCUUCUACCAGCCCUGGAGCCAACAUACUAGCCAUUGAUCUUUAACUCUGAAGUAAAACACUUCAAACAAAGUGAGUACACGAGCUCUGAUACCAAUUGAGAUAGCUAGUAUAAGCACCUAGAGGGGGGUGAAUAGGUGCACAAACAAUUUAUCGAGAUACGGAAGAGAUUCUAGGCAAACGAUAGAAAGGAAAUUCUCUAUUGAUUAAUAAAAUGAAGUACGAUCAAAGUAAAGAGAGUAAAGAAGAGAAAAUUGAACACAAGGUUUAUAGUGGUUCGGCUUAUUCCAAGCCUACGUCCACUCUUCCGCACUGAUAGCCCACCGACUGGAUUUCAUUAUGAACAAAAGAGUAGUUACAGCACAGCUUUUCCUUGAUUCCACAGUGUAGAUGUUCUACCACACCUCCUCAAGGUUUCUCACAAUAUAGACUCUCUUUUGUAUACAAAGUUUCGCUCAAAAGAAUUGUCUAAACAACAAGGAGCUUCAGACUUUGGAAUUCUUCUAUCGCGCACACCUCGAACAACUUAGAACAUCUUCCGUAUAUACUCAUUUAUGCCAUCAUACCCGUUGGCACUUACCAAAGGAAUUCCUCCAAUCUACCCGUUGGACGGAAUCAAUUAGGAAGAUUAUUCAAGCUAUUAAAGGAACGUGUCGAUAGCCCAUCAAUCAUGUUCGCCCAUACAAUCAGGAUCUCGGUUUCUAUAAGUAGAACCUUCCAAGAAUAUUUAGGCAAUCAUUGGAUCCUUAAUCUUCGAGUCAAUCUCGAUCAAUCAAAGGAUUUCGUUGUGUCUUUUCUAGCCAAGAGAUCUUCUCCAGUUGAUAAGGUCAUAUCCUUAAUGAAACAUCCAGUUCUGGAUAACCUUUCUUCAACGGAUUAGAGACUGUCAAUGAGGAUAGACUUUGAGUCUUGAGUCUGGCUGUCCGUAGGUCUUCAGACUUUAAAUAGCAGAGUCUGCAAGCCUUCAGACUAGACUGAUGGAAACGUUUUGUCAGCUUCAAAACACUUUAAGAAGAUUUCUCCAACACAUUGCUUGUCAUUAAAUGAGUUUUUGACCACAUUUUCAAUGUGAAAUUUUCUCAGCUGGUAAAUGCAGAACUCAGAGUGAGGUCCAAGGCUUGUAAAGCUGUUUAGAAUUGCACUCUUGCCAUGACAUUGGCAGAGUAUGCAUCAGCUGUAAGUGUUCUUUAUAAAGAUUUUCACGUUUACCUAGAGCUUGUUGUUGUUAUUACUCUUCAGGUUUCACCAUUUAAAUACAAUAACAUUGUAACUAAAUGCACAGCUUUUUAUUUUGUAGGUUUAAUGCCAGAUUUGACAGAACUUUGUAGUUGGUUUUGUCCUAGAUGUGAUGGAAAGACCCAGGUAAUUUAAUAUGGUUCAAUAUGACAUUGUUGCUGAGGUUGCCUGAAGAUGGAUCCUUAGUACAGUAUUAAAUGGCCAAUUCUUCUGAUGAGAUUUUGUGGGCAUAUGCUGCCUCCUCUUAUUAGAUACUGAACUGGUAAUUAAUGCCUUUUGAUAUGAGAGGAGGGGUUUGAAUUCAUUGAAUUGAUAGUGGACAUUCAACACUGCUUACACACAGAUUGUUUGGUUGCAGUGGCUUACCAAUCUGCAAUGCUUGCGAUGCCUAUAUGUUUAAAUUGCAUCUAAUUCUUUAUAUCUAUUUCUAAACGUACAUAUAUGUUACCUGUAGGCAUACGUUGGGGUGGCCAAGGAUCUUAAUGCUAUGAUUAUAGCUUUUAGAGGUGCACAAGAACAUAGGUAUGCAUGUUAACUUUACCAACUCUUCCCCUUACAAAUGACUUGUGAAGGUUUUGAUGAAAAUUUAGCUAAGAAGAGCAACCUCCUGUGAGUGUGUACACAAGACCCAUGGAUCGACUGUCCAUAAGAAGGGAAAAGGGUGAAUCAUUUCCACCAAGAUGUGAAAGUUACCUUCUUGUAAUUGUAGAUUGGUUCAUGAGAAGAUCACAUACUUCACUAAUUUUGUUCUGUGAAAAAUUCUAUCACCUCUCUUUGUCAUUUGAGCUUUUCAGGUAGUGAUUACUUCUAUUUAUGUUUACAGCAUACAGAAUUGGGUUGAAGAUCUCUACUGGAUAGUGGAAACAGCUUGACGUACUACCCGGGCAUGCAUGGUGCCCUGGAUAGCUCUAAAGAUGAUUAUGCCUCUUGCAAUCUGUGGAUUCUUCUCAUUUGGAUUGAGUUACAGUCUUACUCUAUUGAUGUCCCUUUAUCAUGAUAUGACAAUUCAACCUGGUAGGAUGCUGUUAUAAGAACCAAGGAUUUAUGAGGGGACAUCAAUGUCAUGGUGACAGAGCAUUCUAUGGGAGGGGCUAUGAAAUCCUUUUGCAAAAUUGAUCUUGUGGUAAGAUAGCUAAAAACUGCUAUGGUCUGGAGUUGUGAAUUUUAUCUUCUUCUUUUUUUCCUAUUGCGUUCUUCCAAUAUUCAGAUGAUAAUCUAUUAAGAGUCAUCUAGAAUUCUCUGCCAAAUCUGUAUUGAAGAGUCUAGGCUCUUUAUGUGGAUCUUGAACUUUCUAUUGCUCUCAUAUUUAUAUUCACAAUUCAUCAUAGACAGCAUCUUGUUUUCUUUCAGUUUUGGUAAGUCAAACCAUAGACAAAACACAAGCAGAAUGGGGUGCACUAAGCCAUUUAUGCUAACCAACAAUUGUUUAAGUAUCUAGCACUGUAAAUUGAGUCUUACCCAUAAAGCUAUGGAGCUUCAAGUUGGUUGAAUACCUAAAUAUAGUGGAUAAGGUCACUUCCAACUAAUCAUUACAAAGUUUACUUACUUGCUGGAAAAUUUAUGGAAUUGUCGAUAUGUUUAUGGUCUAGACACAUAACUUUUUAAAGCACUUGAAGCUCAAGUUUUAUGUCAUCUAAUCUUGAAGUGCUAAUGCUUUUUAAGAUAGAUUAUAUAUCAAUCCUAAAUUUGUGUUUGGUGUACUGUUUCUAUCUAAGUCUCUCUCUAAUCAAAAGAAGCAGAUCCUCUUCAGUAGGACUACAAGGCCAGAUAUGUUGUAGGCUGGAGCCAAUGCUAAGAUGUCUAAAUUAUGCCUUUUCUCUCUGCUUUAUUGGACAGAGUGUUCCAGGGUACAUUUGGAGGCACCUGUUGCUCAACUAGUACCAGAAAUGGUGCCCAAUCCAAAAUCAUGUCCCAUUGAUUCUCUUCUCCAUGACAAGUGGUGAUUUUUUAGAGUUAAACUUGUAGCAAGUAUAACGUCUUGUCCUAAAACUUUUAAAUGAUUUAUAAUUUUAUUUUUGUUUACUGGUUUCUUGCUGAAAAUUUUGUCGAGCCAAUUGUGACGUCAUGCCUAUUCGUUGUGAUCCUUUUUAAGAUUGAGUUUCUCCUUCGCUACUUGUGAUAGUAAGUUUUGUAGUUCAAGGGGCAUUUAUGUUAUUAGCAGGAUGUGACUCACCCCACCAACAUUCAAGUGCUUCUUGUGGAAGCAAUUAAAUGCGCUUCUGUUGUAAAUUCGCGUCCAAUCCCACUAUUCCAUAUUAUUAACACCUUUUUGUGGUGCUGAGGGUGGGUUUGGUUUUGUUGUGUGUGGGGUUUUGUGUUGGGAAACUUAUGGAUGGGAUCUUGACAGAGUUAACGCUAGACCUUCAACCCUUAUGGAGACAAAGGGCUAUUCUAUUGUUCACCUUUGUAUAUGAAAUGCAAUAUAUGGUUAUUGAUGCAUAGUGUUUGUUUCCCAUCUUGAAAGGGCUAUUGAUGUAUUGACAUUCAAGUUAUUUGGCUGUCUAAUUAUGUGUGCUGAAACUCUCUUUUCCAGACCAGCAUUUGCCUGAUUUACUUAACCAAAACACUUUAUUUCCUGGUUAAUCAUGAAGCACAGAAUAUUAAGGUUUUGACAUUUGGACAACUCUGUAUUGGCAAUGCAGUGUUUGCAUCUUACUACAGUGUCUGCUUACCAAAAACAUUACGUAUUCUUCCUGGACAAGAUUUUUUGUCUUAUUUGCCUCCGUACUAAUUUCGGUUCCCACAGAAGACGUACCAUCAAUUCCCUAGAGAGGUAUGGUGUUGAUCUUGACAGAAUAUCAAAUAAAUUAUGGGGAAUUGUUGAUGACUGAAUUUGAGGUUUGCUUCACAUUUCUUUCAACCUGUCUAACAAGUGAAGUAUCAUACAUUCCGGCAUUGUAUGUACUCUCUUUUUUCAGCUUAUAAAUUAUGACUGUCUUGUUUGUUUUUCUUCUUAACAAAGCAAGGUAGUUUGUAGGACUCAUUACGUUAUAAAAUUUUGGGAUAAGUGUUCCAGAAGUCCUACAACUUGUCACGAAAGUGCAUUUCAGUCCUAAAACUUGCAAAAAAUGCAUUUCAGUCCUACAACUUGUCAAAAUGUUUCAAACGAGUCCUAAAAUCGACGCCGUCUAAUUUCUUAACGGAAAAAGCUGACGUGGCCCCCGCGUGGCUUUUUUUAAUCGUUUCUCUCUCCUCCGUUGCAAAUAGUUUUUAAAAAAAAAAGCCACGCAUGCAAAACGACGUCGUCUCCUCCUUUCUUCUUCACCACGAUGCCGUCUCCUCCUCUCUUCUUCACCACGACACCGUCUCCUCCUUUCUCCUUCCCCACGACGCCGUCUCCUCCUUUCUCCUUCCCCACGACGCCGUGUCCUCCUUUCUCCUUCCCCACGACGCCGUCUCCUCCUCCCCCCUCUGUCUCUACUUCUUCUUUCUCUAUUUUGAGUGUCCCCUAAGCCCCAAAUCGAAUUUGUCCAAACCCUAAGCCCCAAAUCGAUCUCGUCCGAACCCUAAACCCCAAAUCGAAUUCGUCCGAACCCUAAGGCCCAAAUCGAUCUCGUUCGAACCCUAAACCCCAAAUCGAAUUCGUUCGAACCCUAAGCCCCAAAUCGAUCUCAUCCGAACCCUAAAACUCAAAUCGAUUUCGUCCUAACCCUAAGCCCCAAAUCAAAUUUGACAAUCUGCAGUUAUCUUGCGAUUUGGGUCCUCAUCGAACUUGAGUUCGACGCUCGUCGUGAGUUCGUGUUCUUUCCUUCCUUUGACGAUUGCGUGUUCGUGUGAAGAUCUCGCUUACGGGAGUCUCGACAUCUCAGCGGCGAAGCGAUUGGCGUCGGGGACGACGAAAGGGUCAACGACGGCGAUGGCGACUCCUCCUCACGCAGGUAUCGCUCUCUGCAUUAUAGCAUUUUGUUGUUUUCCAUUCUCCAAUACUAGUGACAAAUUAGAACAUUGAUGCAGAAGUAAGUUAUGGUUGUUUAUUCAUUUAGUGCAUUUUAAAGAGAUGUUUUUUGGAGAUUGAAAACAUCUCCUAAAUCUCUCAAGUAAACACAUUGCAUUAUGCAGAAGUUAUUAAUAUGAAGACGUUAUGAAGGAAUCAUAAUAUAGCUAAUAUACUUCUAUUAGGUUCCUAUAAUACGAAGCCCAGACGAAUGAGGGUAGCAAUAUCUGCAUCAAGUAGCGUAACUCCUAAUGAGGUCAACUCGGAGCCAACAUGUUAUUGUGGCCUUCAAUCGCCAAUUCUUAUGGCAAAGACAAAGAAAAAUGCAGGAAGAAGGUUCCAUGGAUGUGCUAAGUUUGAUAGUCCAAGUUGCUGCAAUUUCUUCAUGUGGGUGGAUCCAAAGAUACCAAAUCAUGUGAGGGACAUGAUAGUUGACCUCCUUGAAAAAAAUCAAACAUUGUCUGAAUCAAGCCAAUCGAGGGGUGACGGAGUCGAGGUGAGCUCAUUGCUAGCUGAAAUAAAGACUCAAAAGGCAAAAAAUAGACGUUUAAAGGUGGAGCUUGCACAAGUAAAGAAAGGAAAGAUGCUAUAUCAAUCAACAUUCAUUCUAUGCAUGUGUUAUAUCGCUAUAUUGGUUAUGUAUAAUGUGAAAAUUGGUGGGAAAUUUCUAAGUCUUCCAUAGUACCUUCUAUCUGAGUUUGUAAAUUUGAACACUAGUUGUGGAUAAUUGAGAUGUGAAUGAAAUCUGAUGUGAGUUUGUAGUUUGCAAGACCAGUUGCUUGCCAUGCGAGAAAUUACUAUCGCAUUGCAAAAUGUUGCUUGAUUUGUGUGCUUGUCAAUAGCACUACAUGAGCUAUUGCCACUAGAAUAAAUUUGGAACUUCAAAAUGGUGACAACUCCCUUAUUAUGCAAUCGAGAUUGUUAAUUGGUGAUUUUUUCAUGAUUUUAAUAACGAGCUUGCCUCAAAUGGAAUGUGUAAAAAAUCAAGUGAAAUCAAAGCAGUCGCCUACAAUACCUAAGUUACCUAAUCAAAUCUUCCAUGAAUCAUCCAAUGCGGGCCACAGAGACCACGUAGAGCAAAACCCCAUCAUAUAAAAUGAAAAAUUAGCAAUAAGAGGUGGUGGUAUCGGUUACCAUUAAUGCCCCUGAGGAACUCGAGAAAAAUGUAUGGGAAAGAAGAUGACAAAAGUAUUGGAAGAAUGAAAAUUCUGCAUGGCCAAUUUCAGUAAUUACCUAUUAACAAUCCCGAAGAGUAAUCACUUUCAUGCAUUAUCCAAACCAAAACCAAGCAUCCCACAUAACUUGUUGAAACACGAUUCAUUGACAAAGCAACAGGCUUACAUUUUCAGUGCACAAAAGGUUCUGUUCAACAAAAUAUGCACUUUCAGUGCAGAAAAUGUUCUAUGCACAAACGCUACACGUCUCAUACAAAAAACCAGCUAAUAAUUGAUAUACAUUCACCUAACAACACCAAUUUCAGCAGACAUAUCAAUCCAAUAUGAUGGUCUCCGGUGGUCCAGUAGGUUGAGCCUUCACUUGAUUCAGAAUUCUGGCGCUUUUCCUUAUAUAUGGUCUCGCAGCGAUAGGCUUUGGAGGAGUUGUUGUAGCCUGACGUUGUAAUAGUGGCUUUGGCUUCAUCGCAACAUGCUUUCGAGGAGGUAAUGUUACACGAGAUGAUUGGGGUUGGGAACUUACCUGGGGUUGUGAUGGUGCCUUUCGCUUUAAACCAAGAUGCUUCUUCUGAGCUAUUGUAGCUUGAGAUGACUGAGCUUGAGAACUGGCCUGAGGUUGUGAUGGUGUCGUUGGUUUCAUUGCAACGUGCUUUGGAGGAGCUACUGUUGCAUGAUAUGACUGACGUUGUGAAGUGGCCUUGGGUUGUAAUAGUGGCUUCGGCGUCACCGCAUUUUGUUUUCGAGGAGCUGCUGAUAUAUGAUAUGACUGAGGUUGUGCACUGACUUGGAAAUGCACCUUUGCUGUUGACGUAGCUCUUGUGACUACCCCUUUGUCCGGUAGGUUAACGAUUCUUGCACCAAUUGUAUUAGGCUACAUAAGAAUGAGUAUCUUUUUAGCUUAAGGAGAUAAGUAAUUGCUAUUAUAAAAAUUUAAAAAUAUUACUCACCUUGCGAAUAUGAAGGUUUGUCAUAGGGUUUGCAUCAACACCCAACCCUAUCAUUUUCAUCCUCUUGCCUUGUGAUUCUCUCUGUAUCAUGCAAUUUUCAAUGGUAGGUCUUUUAAACUGAAAUAAUAGAAAAUUCAUUCAACAUCAGAACAUAGUCACAAUACAUGUAUACUUGGGGAUUGAGGUAUUACUUACCGGAAUUUUUUCACGUCUAUGCUUAGCCAUUAUAUUGGCCGCUGCACUGCCUUCCCCUUGAUCCGAACGAACUUCACCAAAAGCAUUGGCCUCACCACUACAUCCUCUAACAUCAGCACUAGCAUGAGCAGAAGUAGUGGCACUACAUUCUCUUACAUUUGCACGAGCACUACAUUCUCUUACAUCUGCACUAGCCUGAGCAGAAGCAUUAACAUGCCCACUAUUGUCUCCUACUGAAUUGGCAUUUGCAGAAGCAUUGGCAUGGCUUUCGGAUCCUCCUUCAGCUACGCUUGUCGUUGCUUUAGCUUUAGCCUGAAUAUAUAUUCAAAGUUACUAAAUUGGAAUCUUCAUAUACAAAACUUACAAUAAUGGUUAGAUGACAACUUACUUGUCUUUUUCCGAGCCUUGGACCAGUGGAAUUAGCCUGAGAUUGAGCAUAAGCUUCAGCUGUACUUGCAUUGGCAUGAGCACUGGAUGUACAUACAUUGACCUGAGCAUUGGAUGUACGUAUAUUUGCAGAAGCAUUGGAUAUACGUACAUUGGCCCCAGCAUUGGCCUGAGAAGCACAUAUAAAGUAUUGAUUAACAACAUGUUAAAGUGACAUGCCCAGCAUUAAGAUGAUCAGUUAGUUGAGGAAAUACCUUUUUUAAAGGACAUCCCUUGCAGUUAUGUCCAAUUUGUUUGCAAGCAGAACAAGUCAUUUGCUUACCCUCUUUAGUCAUUCUAUCACCUCUUACAAGCUCAAUCGGUUGCUUUCUUCUACUCCUUUUUGGCCUACCAGGCAUGUUCUUCAUUGGUGGGGGUUGAGGAGCUUCUUUAUUGGUUUUAUUCCAAAAUUUCUGUCAUCUCACCGUAGGCAUCAUGAAUUGAUAAGCACUUAGAUACUUUUCCUUGUUGAAGCACUCGGCUAGAUAGUCGGUCGGAUCAUUUCUCUUAUGGUGUAUUGCACAAAUGGUAUGGCAACAUGGAAUUCCACUAAGUUCCCAAGCUCUACAAGAACAAGUUUCUAAAUUCAAAUCAACAACAUAUUUGUCACCACCUUCUGUAAUCUCAUAUCCUUCAUUUUCAUUCCAUAUCAAAUGGCAAUACCUACUAGCAGAUGUAUUCUCAUGUAACUUAUGCAUAAUCCUUGGACCGUAAUUUCUAGUCCACCUAGCACAUCCAUCCCUCUGAGUAUGCAUUCUAUUCAUAACCAUGAUUCUAAUAUCCUCCAGCAUACUCACAAUGGCCUUGCACCUAGCUUCCACACACCUGCCAUUGAACGCUUCACUCAGAUUAUUAUCAACGACAUCACAUUUAAUAUCGGUGUCAAAGAAGGCUUUGCACCAAUGUUUUGGCUCAAUACAGAAUAAGUCAUCAUGACCUUCCCGAGUCAGUUCCUUCAACCUCUGUCUAUGCAUCUCGAAAUCUGACAUAUUAUUGCUCUUGACACAUCUCCAAAAUUGCCUCAACAACUGUUUUCCUUUGUAUUUUUUACCCCAGUUGGAAUAAAUGUGCCUUGCACACAUCCUAUGCUCUGCAUUUGGCAACAAUUCAGCUACAGAUUGGACAAGACCCUGACAAUUACCGAAAAAAAGAAAAUAUAUAUGAAAACAGAAAGAAAAACAUUGUAAUGUCACAAUCAAUUUACAAAUGAAAAAAGAAAAAAAAAACAUACCUUUUGUUGAUCACUUAUCAACGCCCAUCCGUCACCAUUACACAUAUCAAGGUCUGACUUCAACAAUUCGAUAAACCAAGUCCAUGUGUCCUUAUUCUCGAUUCUUACCACUGCCCAUGCCACUGGAUACAUUUGAUUGUUGCCAUCCCUUCCGACGGCACAUAACAACUCACCCUUGAUCAAACCCCUCAAAAAACAUCCAUCUAAUCCAAUGAUCUUCCUACAUCCAGCCAAAAAACCUUUCUUGCAAGCAUCAAAGCAAAUGUAAACCCUAUCAAAUACUGGUAGAGAAUUUGGCCAUGGCCUUUCAACUUUCAAUUUAAAAUUGCUUGAUGGGCUUGCAGUGUAAAGCUCUCCCAAGUAGUCGUGCAUCUGUGCAUAUUCCUUCUUGUAAUUGCCUUGCAAUUCCUUUAAUACUUCCAGCUUUGUUCUCCUACACUGACUAAAAGUGACAUUUACUCCAAGUUGUUCUCUAACUAAUUUCUUUAACUCAAGUGCUUUGAUUUUAGGCAUUGUAGAAAUGAGAAUCAUGAAGUGCUUAGCUAAAUAAUUGCUAGACACUCUCUUAUUCUCGAAAGUGAUACUGCAUAUAUGCUGAUUUACAUACCUUCUCAAAUGAAAUGACCUAGUUUUUCUAUCAAGAGCACCAUAGAUCAUCCAGUUACAAUUGUUCUGGCCACACCUGGCUCUUACAACACUUUUUGUGUUCUUAGUGUAUUUGAUUGCUCUUUGCUCAGCCACAGAAUACUUCAAAAUUGCAUUCUUGAACUCAGUUGCAUCAUCAAAUGUCAUGCCAACAAUAAAUUCUGGAUUUGUACCACUUUGAUCAUAUGAUGGAAACCUACUUCUCCUCCUUGAAAUAACAUCAACCUCUUCACCACCCUCAUCAUUUAAAAUUGAUUGAAGACUGUCUUCCUCAUCUGAAUCAGCAUACUCUGUUUCGUACCCAGAAUCAUCUAACGAUUGAGUCUCAUCCACAGUCGGUGGUUGGGAAGUACUAGUUGCCUCACUAUAAUUUAAUAUUUUGAGCCUAUGUCUUGCUGAAAAUUCAAUUAAUUUUUUCCUUGCUUCAACCAGUUCAAAGUCAUCAUCAUCACUCGCCUCUUCCAUAUCCACCAAAUUAUGUGCAUCAUCAUCCUCUUCCUCAUCUAGAUCCCUAUUGGCAACUCCAGCCCGAUUCCCGUCACCAUCAGUAUUUCUAAUCACAUUAAACAUACCUCCAGUUUUCAUCUCAACACCCCCCAUCUCAGCUCCUGCCUUUUCAUUAUCAACAUGCUCAACAUAUAGUUUUCAGAGCAUAGAUGAUGAUAAAAUAGAUCCAUCACAUCAGCGUUAUCCCAUAAAUACCUAAGAGUUACUCCGUCUACAAGAGUCUUACUUCCAGGAACUCUGUAAAAGAGUUUCUUUACUCUACAUACACCCAAAGCCUCAAUAGCUUCAAUUAUACUAGACAGUGAAGGCUUACUUAAACUUAUUUCAGCAACAUCAGCCCUUCCACCUAUGUAUUCCAAUGGUGGGCCACCUUUAAAGUUACCUCCAUAACGAACAGUGACAUAAACUUUGUUCUCGGCAAUUGGACCUACAAGGGAACAGAAACAAAAAGCAGAGCACUUUCAAUCAUCAAAUUAUUGAAGCAAUGUUCAAGUUCUAAAUUGAAGAUAUUUUUAUAAAAGACUAACAAUCAAUAUAGAAACAGCAAAUUAGCAUAAUCCGUUUUACAACCACAAUGCAACUACAUGAUCAAUAGUGAGAGCAAUGUUCUAAUUUGCUGCAAUGUUAUAAUUUAUCGCAAGAAUUGAAAAAUACAAAACAACCAUAACGCAGAUAGUAAAACGCCGCUAUAAUGUAGAGAGUAAAACACCUUUGCAAAACAAAACAAAAAAAAAAUGGUAAUAUUACUAUGACAUAUCCAAAUACUGUAAUGUAGAGAGUGAUACCUGCAUGAGGAGUCACCAUCACCGUCCCUGAUGCUGCUCGCUCCGCCGUUGAGACGCCGAGAUGCCCACAACACAUAUCUUUGCACGAACUCGCAAUUAUCAAAGAAGAGAACAUAAAGUUGAUGUGUGUCAAACUCGAGCUCUCUGAACUCCAAAUAAUGAAGAACUGAGGAUGCUAACUGACAUCGUUUUACAUAAUGCAGAGAUUAAAGCACUUUUGCAAAACAAAAAAACUCGUAGCAUUACCAUGAGAUACCCAAAUGUUAUAAUGCAGAGAGCGAUACCUGCAUGAGGAGGAGUCGCCAUCGUCUUCGCUGACCCUGUCGUCGUCCCUGACGCCAAUCGCUUCACCGCUGAGAUUUCCAAACUCCCGCAAAGAGGUCUUCACAUGAACUCCCAAUCGUCAAAGGAAGGAAAGAACACGAACUCACGACGAGCGUCAAACUCGAGGUUGAUGAGGACCCAAAUCGCAAGAGAACCGCAAAUCAUCAAAUUUGGGGCUUAGGGUUCGGACGAAUUCGAUUUAGGACUUACGGUACGGAUGAAUUCGAUUUAGGGCUUAGGGUUCGGACGAGUUCGAUUUGGGGCUUAGGGUUCAGACGAGUUCGAUUUGGGGCUUAGGGUUCGAACGAGUUCGAUUUGGGGCUUAGGGGAUACUCGGAAAGCAAAAGAAUACGUAGAGAUGGAGAGGGGAGGGAGAACACAACGGUGAAGAAGACAUACAGACGGAGGGGGAGACGAUGUCGUGGUGAAGGAGAAAGGAGGAGACGACGUCGUGGUGAAGGAGAAAGGAGGAGACGGCGUCGUGGGGAAGGAGGUUCGGACGAAUUCGAUUUGGGGUUUAGGGUUCGGACGAGAUCGAUUUGGGGCUUAGGGUUUGGACGAAUUCGAUUUGGGGCUUAGGGGACACUCAGAAUAGAGAAAGAAGAAGUAGAGACAGAGGGGGGAGGAGGAGACGGCGUCGUGGGGAAGGAGAAAGGAGGAGACGGCGUCGUGGGGAAGGAGAAAGGAGGAGACGGCGUCGUGGUGAAGAAGAGAGGAGGAGACGGCGUCGUGGUGAAGAAGAAAGGAGGAGACGACGUCGUUCUGCAUGCGUGGCUUUUUUUUUUUUAAACUAUUCGCAACGGAGGAGAGAGAAACGAUUAAAAAAAGCCACGCGGGGGCCACGUUAGCUUUUUCCGUUAAGAAAUUAGACGGCGUCGAUUUUAGGACUCGUUUGAAACAUUUUGACAAGUUGUAGGACUGAAAUGCACUUUUUGCAAGUUUUAGGACUGAAAUGCACUUUCGUGACAAGUUGUAGGACUUCUGGAACACUUAUCCCUAAAAAAUUUUAAGUAACUCUCAUUCUUGCGAAAGCCAUCAUGAGUUUUUCAUAUCGAUUCCAAAGUUUAAGACACAUAAUAAUGUUUAUUAUACUCUCUAUCUCUCUCUCUCUCUCUCUUACACACACACACACACACACUAUGUAUGUCUACCAAUGCGUAUAAUUAUUAGUGACUAGCUCAAAGAUAGCCACGGUUGAACAUAUUAAUGUGAGAUGAAAAUGAUUUGAUUCCACCUGCUUCUCUAAUAACUAAUCAUACUCGUAACAGUUUUCAUGUAAUUGGAAUCUUCCCUUUAUUGUAGGUAUGGCUAUAUAACAUAGGAUUUAGUAGUUAUCAGGUUGAGAAAGUUUGUGAUACCUCAGGAGAAGAUGCAUCAUGCAGCAAGUGAUGAGCUAGUUUCAGUCGAAGCUACUUGUUCAAACAAUUAUUUUGUGGAUUUAUCAUGCAAGAUGCAAUAAGUCGUGAUGGACCAGAUUGUUCUAGAAAAUGUCCGUCCUUUGUUACUAGGAAUAUUUGUGGACAACUGAUCAGGGUAUUUUCCUGCAGAUUGGUAACUGGUAACAGCAUUGUGGACCAUUUAGUCUUUCUAUAGUGUGCAAUUAAUGGCUAAGACAUGAGAAUCGUGCAAAAUCUUCACGGACACUAUGGAUGGAAUGUGGAGGCGAAGAUGUCAAAGGAAAUCUUAUGCUUUCCAGGAAUCCUUUUGUUUCUGCAUUGAGGCCGCAUUCAGACUCUGAUGCCAAGAGGAAAUUCAGUUGAAAUGCUCCUGGGUCAGUACUGUGACACUUGCAUGGUUAGGCAAUUAACCGGAUUCUAUGAGGUGAAACAAAGACUACGUUCACAGACCACAUCCUUUAGGAUAACCAAAAGGUGAAUGGAAGAGCUUUUGUCGCCAAUUAAAACCUACGCAUCUGAUUAUAUUUUUCAUUUUUUAAAUUAAAACCUAUACAUUUGAUUAUAUCCUUCAUUGUUUAAGCAAUAACAAAGUUAAUUUUGGUAAGGUGUGGGUAUUGGCUUCAAAUUUAAAGAACAAUCCGGCAAGUUUUAAGGAUCUCGCAUCAAUGACCAACAUGUAAAUCAACAAAAGUAAUGCACUUGAUUGUAAUAAUACUAGCAUCAAUUUGUGUAUUCAAGGGUGUUGGAGAAAUCUUUCCAGAAGAUUUUGAAGCUGACAAAACAUUUCUAUCAGUCUAGUCUUGAUAUCAUUGGUUUAAAGUCUCAAGACUUUGUAAUCUCAAGACUCAAGACUCAAGACUCAAGAUUAUUCUCGCUGACAGUCUUUCUAAUCCAGUUGCGUAGGAUAUCCGAAGCCGAAGUAUAUGGUUGGGGAUUUGAUCCAAUCCUCUGGAAUAGAUCCCUUGGUUGGAUAAUCAUUUCGGAUUCUUUUGAUUCUUAUCUAAGAUCAAUUGAAGAUCUGAUGGUCGACGAAACAUUCUUGGAAUGUUCUAUUCUUGGAAACCAAAAUCCUGAUUGUAUGGGCGAACAGGAUUGAUGGGCUAUCAUCAGAUUCCUUAAAUAGCUCGGAUGAUCUUCUUAAUUGAUUCCGUCCAACGGGUAGAUUGGAGGAAUUCCUUUGGUAAGUGCCAACGGCUAUGAUGGCAUAAAGGAGUAUAAAAGGAAGACGUUCUAGUUGUUUUAAGUGUGAUCGAUAGAUAAAUUCCAGAGUCUGAAGAACCUUGAUUGUUAGUCGAGACAGUUCGAGCGAAAUUGUAUACACAGAGAGUGGUUGUACUUGGUGAUACCUUGAGCGAGUGUAGUAGAUCAUCUACAUCGAGAAAUCAAGGAAGAUCAACACUGUAACAUCUCUUUGUUCAUAGUGGAAUCCAGCCAAUCGGCUGUCAGUGCAGAAGAGUGGACGUAGGCUUGAAUCAAGCCGAACCACUAUAAACCUCGUGUUUAAUUCUCUCUUUCCUUUACUCAGUCUUACGAUUGAUUUUUAAUCCUUCAUCUGUUUAAGUAUUACGCAAACUGCAAGAAAAUUUUCAUAAAACCUAUUCACCCCCUCUAGGUACUCGUACUAGCAUCAUCAAUUGGUAUCAGAGCUUGUGUUCUUACUUUAUUUGAAGUGUUUUACUUCAGAGUAAAAGAUCCAUGGCUAGUAUGCUAGCACCAGGGCUGGUGGAAGGGCAAAGCAAUACAAGACCACCCUACUUUGAUGGAAAGGAUUACAACAUCUGGAAAAACAAGAUGAAAGCUUUUCUACGAUCAAAGGAUCCUCUGGAAUGGGAUGUGGUGGAAAGAGGAAUUACUCCUACUGCUGCAUCAGCAUCCGAAAGAGGGAAAGAAACUGUUGAACCCAGCGGAAUGUCUCAAGAUGAGAUAAACAAGAGACAAGCACUCGAUGCAAAAGCAAUUUACUCUUUAUAUUGUGCUUUAUCACCAACUGAAUAUAACAGAAUAUCUUCUUGUGAUACAGCAAAAGAAGUCUGGGACAGAUUACAUAUCACUUAUGAAGGGACAGACCGAGUGAAGGAGACCAGAAUCAACAUUCUCCUUGGUCAAUAUGAAGCCUUCAAAAUGAAACAAGGAGAAUCUAUAACUGACAUGUUUAGCCGUUUUACAGAUAUUGUCAAUGGCCUUGAGAAUCAAGGACAGAAAAUUUCUGAUCCUAUGAAAGUGAACAAGCUACUGCGUGGACUCUCCAAGGAUUGGAAUCAUAUAAAGACUUCAAUAAGAGAGACGCAAAGAAUUAUGCCAUUAUCUGUAGACGAGCUGAUUGGAACUCUUCAGUCUUAUGAAGUGGAACGAAUUAAUGAAGAAGAAGAUCCAAGAGGUAAGAAAUCCAUUGCGUUAAAAUCUAACGAUGAUUCUGAUGAUACAGACUCUGAAGAAGAUCUGGAUGAUGAGGAGCUUGCUCUUAUGAUUAGAAGGUUCAGAAAGUUGAAUAGAAAAGGAAGAAGGUUCAACCCAAGGAAACAAAGUUUUCAGAAACAGCAAACCAAGUUUGUUGAUAAUGAGGAACCAAACAAAGAUGUAGUUUGCUUCGAAUGUAAGAAAAAGGGACACAUCAGACCAAAUUGUCCUCUCCUGAAGAAGAAAAGAGGAAAAGCUGAAAAGUCUCGAAAAGCUCUCAAAGCCGAAACUUGGAGCGAUACAGAGUGUGAAGAAAGUGAUGAGGAAUAUGCUAACCUAUGUCUGAUGGCACAAUCAGACUCAGACUCUGGAUCAGACUCAGACAGUGAAUUUGAGGUAAGUGAUUAUAAAAUUCCUGUCAAAGUCUCUAAAUACAUUGAUGAACUAUGUUUUAGUCUUAAGACUUCUCUAAAAAGGAUUUCCGAACUGAAAAAGGAAAACUUAGUUUUAAAACAAAAGGAAAAUAUUUUAGAAGAAAAAGUGAAAAGUUUAGAUUUAAAUUUUUCUACUCUUAAGGAGAAUGAAGAUAAACUUUCAUUAGAAAAUGCUUUCUUAAAAACUGACUUAUCAAAUAUUUCAAAGAAAUUUUCAAUAGGGUCUGAAAAACUUGAAAAAGUUCUUUCAGUCCAAAGACCUUACUUUAACAAAUCUGGUUUGGGUAUGACAGAAGAAACAAUUCCUUUAAUUGAUUUUCCAAAAGUAAAAGAAAGAAUUAAGAAUAGACCAACAAAGGAGACUUACAAAAAUCAUUUCAAGAAAGUCUUUGUAAAGUCUGUAGGUCGAAGUGCUCUAAGGUGUUCAAAGUGUAACAGUUAGGAUCAUUUUGAAAAAGAAUGUCCUAUGGUUUGGAAGCCUGUUAAGAGAGUAUGGCCUAGUAAUGCUUAUUCUACUAACGCCAAAGGACCCAAGAAAAUUUGGGUACCAAAGAAAGCGUGAGACUCUUCUUUGAAUGCAGGUCUCUGUCAAAAAGAAAGUUAAGUGGUAUCUUGAUAGCGGAUGUUCAAGACACAUGACAGGAGACUCAAAUUGCUUCAUAAAGAUUGUUCAAGUGAAUGGUGGAAAAGUUUCAUUUGGUGGAAACAGCAAAGGAAGCAUUGUGGGUUUUGGAACUGUGAAAAUUGGAAAUCUCACAAUAAGCAAUGUCUCUCUAGUGGAAGGACUCAACUACAAUCUUCUAAGCAUUAGCCAAUUGUGUGAUACUGGUUUCAAGAUCUCCUUUCAAGAAGGCACGUGUUCUGGAAUUAGCAAAGACUCAACUCAGUCUUUCAUGGGUCGAAGACAUGGAAAUAUCUACCUUCUUGAUGUAAAACCAAAUGAAGCACAAUGCUUAAUCUCAAUUCAAGAUGAAGCAGUCUUAUGGCACAGAAAGCUUGGCCAUGUCAAUAUGAAACAAUUAGCCAAAAUCUCAUCAAAGAAGCUUGUUCGAGGUCUACCUAAAUUGCCAUACCAAAAGUCUGAUUCAUGCACUCCAUGCAUUCUGGGAAAGCAGGUAAGAAAUUCAUUUAAGCAAAUAAACCAUGUUUCUACUAAUCAUGUACUACAGUUGCUUCAUAUGGAUCUCUUCGGACCAACCAGAACCCAGAGCAUUGGAGGUAAGAAAUAUUUCCUAGUAAUUGUGGAUGACUACUCCCGUUUUACUUGGGUAUAUUUUCUUUCAAGUAAGUCAGAAACCUUUUCGUAUUUUGAAAAAUUUGCCAAAAAGGUCCAAAAUGAAAAAGGAUGUGCAAUUUCAAGCAUAAGAACAGAUCAUGGAAGUGAAUUUGAAAAUAAAGAUUUUACGAAAUUUUGUGAUAAAUCAGGUUUUAAUCAUAUGUUUUCCUCUCCAUAUACUCCAGAGCAAAACGGAGUUGUGGAAAGAAAGAAUAGAUCUCUUCAAGAAAUGGCUAGAACACUUUUAAUUGAAAGCAAAAUUUCUUCACGAUUUUGGGCUGAAGCUGUUUCAACAGCAUGCUAUAUUAUAAAUAGAGUCUUUUUAAGACCUAUUUUGGAGAAAACCCCCUAUGAAUUGUUCAAAGGUAAAGAGCCUAUUGUUUCAUACUUUCAUGUGUUUGGUUGCAAAUGUUUUAUUUUGAAAAAUGCAAAUGAUAGAGUUGGUAAGUUUGAAGAAAGAUCAGAUGAAGGCAUCUUUCUUGGAUAUUCUACAUCAAGCAAAGCCUACAGAGUCUACAACAAGAAAAGCCAGUUAGUGGAGGAAUCAACGAAUGUUAAAUUCCAAGACUCAAUGCAAGAUGAAUCCAGCCAGACUCAGUAUGAAGAGUCUGAACCGACUCCAGACCUUCCAAUGCUUACAACUCAAGAAGCAUCUCAGUCUCUGGAAGUCCAACAUCAAGAAGCACAUGAAGAUUCAAACAAAGAAAGAGAUCAUCAACUAGGAAGAACAACCAGUAACUGGAAGCAUAAAUCCAGUCAUCCUAAAGAUCUCAUUAUUGGCGAAAUGAAUGAAGGAAUCCGCACCAGAUCAAAAAGGCAUGAAGAAUCUAGUGCUGUGGCUCUCAUUUCUGAAAUCGAACCAAAAAGCAUAGAAGAAGCUUUAUCUGAUGAAAGUUGGAUCGAAGCUAUGCAAGAAGAACUCAGACAAUUCAACAUCAAUAAUGUCUGGGAAUUGACAUCUAAACCAAAAGGUAAAACUGUUAUUGGAACCAAAUGGGUAUUCAGGAACAAGAUGAAUGAAGAAGGAAAAGUCGUACGAAACAAAGCAAGACUCGUGGCCAAAGGAUAUACGCAAGAAGAAGGAAUAGACUAUGAUGAGACUUACGCUCCAGUAGCAAGGUUAGAAGCUAUUCGUCUAUUACUUGCAUUUGCUUGUUAUAAAAAUUUCAGGUUAUUCCAAAUGGACGUCAAAAGUGCAUUCCUAAAUGGAUUCAUCAAUGAGGAAGUCUAUGUGGAACAACCACCUGGGUUCGAAGACCCAGAGAAACUACAUUCAGUCUUUAGACUGAAAAAAGCCUUGUAUGGUUUAAAGCAAGCACCUCGAGCAUGGUACGACAGACUAAGUAAAUUCUUAUUACAGAAUGGUUUUGUCAAAGGUAAAGUAGAUUCUACUUUGUUUAUCAAAAAGGAAAGCAAAAGCUUUUUACUUGUUCAAAUAUAUGUGGACGAUAUUAUUUUUGGAUCAUCUAAUGAGAGUCUAUGCAAGAAAUUUUCUAAGUCUAUGCAGGAUGAGUUUGAAAUGAGUAUGAUGGGAGAAUUAACAUUCUUUCUUGGACUUCAAGUUAAACAAAUGAAGGAAGGAACUUUUAUUCAUCAAGAAAAAUAUGCGAAUGACCUUGUCAAAAGGUUUGGAUUGGAAAAUUGCAAAAAGAUCGACAUACCAAUGUCAUGUUCUCAGAAGAUAGACAAGGAUGAAGAAGGGAAGAAAGUAGAUCAAAAGCUGUACAGGAGCAUGAUCGGCUCACUUCUUUAUCUUACUGCUUCUAGACCUGAUAUUUUGUUGAGUGUUUGCAUUUGUGCUAGGUUUCAAUCAGAUCCCAGAGAAUCCCAUCUCAAUGCGGUAAAACGUGUUAUCAAAUACGUUGCCUCAUCUUCAAGCAUCGGUCUCUGGUAUCCCAAGAAGGGAGACUUUAAUCUUCUAGGAUACUCAGAUGCAGAUCUGGCCGGUUGCAGAGUUGAUAGAAAAAGCACCUCUGGAAUUUGUCAAAUACUUGGAAACAGGACAGUGUCUUGGUUUUCAAGAAAGCAAAGCACUGUAUCUCUCUCAACGACAGAAGCAGAGUAUGUAGCUCUUGGAAGCUGCUGUUCGCAAAUUCUCUGGAUAAAACAACAGCUACAAGACUUUGGGAUUGAAGACUCAUGCACAGAAAUCAGAUGUGACAACACCAGUGCGAUCAAUCUCACCAAAAAUCCAAUCCUUCAUUCAAGAGCAAAGCAUAUUGAGAUUCGACAUCACUUCAUCAGAGAUCAUAUUCAAAAUGGAGAAAUCUCGAUUCAAUUUGUUGAUUCAAAGAGUCAACUAGCGGAUAUAUUCACAAAGCCUUUGGAGAAAAAUCAAUUCAACAUUAUCCGUUCAAGACUCAACAUUUUGAAGCCUGAAGAAGUUAAAGUCUAGAGACUCACCAACUCUAAGACUCUAAUCUUUCAGACUUUAAAUCCUCAGACUCAGACACUCGUGGCUAUAGACUGUAAGUUGUAUUUCAUCUAAGAGGUACGAAUUUUUGUUUAACUCAAAAAGGUACGAUCUUUCAUUCAGUUAUUCUAUAAUCCGCAUGAAAUUUGAAGUCUUAUCUGCUUAAAGGAAUAAUUUUGGCAGUUAUUGAUUUUGAAAAUAAUAAAUCGUUCACUUUCCUUGCACCGUUUGAACUUCCCUUUUCAAAACUGAGUUAUAUAUAUAUAUAUAUAUAUAUAUAUAUAUACAGUUUUUCUUUUCUCAAUCUUCAAAACCCUAAAAGGCACUCUCCUCCCGAUACUGUUCUACCGCUUGUUCGUCUUCGAGAAAGUGGUCAUUUUUCUUGGGAAAGCAAGUGAAGGAAUCUUCCAGCGACAAAGAAAGAUGUCUUCUUCGAGGAAAUCAUCAAGAAUCGCAAGCAGGGGACCACAAAGAAUGGAGAAGGGACCGACUCACUUCGAUCUCACUGAGGAAGAAGACUUAACAAGUCAGCGACAAAGUCCGAUUCGCUCUCAUCCACGUCAUUCAACGCCUCCUGCCCCACAAGGUGCAAGUCAUUCUUUGGAAGAAGAGAUAAUCGAGGAUGCUGACCCAGUAAGAGUCCAAAAGCCCUCCUUUAUGUAUAAACUUUAUCGUGCGUUGAAAAGCACAGGUUCUUCAUUGAAGUUUAUAGAUGACUUCCUUAAGGACAAAAAUUAUGGGAAUGAGUAUCGAUUUCUGAAGAAAAUGGAGGAAUUGGGAAUUGCCCCGAAAGGAACAGCAGAGGAAGCACUUGUGAACAUUCCAAGUGAUCCUCUUAUGCCAGGACAAAAUUUAAUUGAAGGGAACGAUGAUGACAGAAUGUUCCUUGAAUUUCAACCGAAAAUGGGCGUGGCAGCAAAGGUGAAAGGAAAUCAGAUGGAUUUGUUCAAAUCCAAGGAUCAAGAAAAAGUGCAUUCAAGGCUGAUGAAAAGAGGGGUGAUAAACCCUAGAAGUGUCGAUUUUGACUUCCUGGACGCCAUCAACAUAAACUUAAGAGAAAAGUUGAAUUUGUUUCAACUUGAGAAUUUUUGCUCUGACUCAACAGACGGGUAUGCUCAUCUGACCGCUUAUUUCUAUUCAAAUCUUAGCUUUCUGGAUGCGAAUAGAAUAUCAUUUAGUGUACUAGACAAAGUCUACGUGGUAGAUGUGAAUAUGUUGGCAGAUAUAGUUGGAGUUGAACGAGGACGUUAUCUACCAAUCAAAGUCUCACCUGCUCGUAUUACUCUGGAACUUGUCAAAGAUAGGGACGCAGAGAAGAAAAUUACCUAUUCCAGGAUGAAUGCUAUCAACAUUCUGCUACAUAAGGUUGUAAUCAAUUGUCUUAGACCAAAGUCUACGUCAAAGACUACUGUGUCUCAUUCUGAAGCAAAGUUGAUAUAUGCGAUCAACUCAGGACGAAAGUUCUCUCUCCCGCACACUAUUCUCUUCCAUAUGUACAGAGCAAUGUCGAAAGACAAAGGACAAUUGCCUUAUCCUGGUCUGGUGACCAAGAUCUUCAGACACAUGAAUAUUGAACCGCCUCAAACACUUUGUAUUCAACCGUGUGAUAAGAUGGUGAUAGGUUUGAAGAUGUUAUCGAAGAUGCGUCUGAAAGAACUUUCCAAGGCAAUGGAGAAAUUCAGAGUGAAAUCUCAUGUUCAGUCUGCUUCAAAGAGAAAAGGAAAGGAGGCCAUUGGAGCCCCAUCGAAAAAGAAGAAAAGAUCUCUCAUCUUGGAAGAUGAAGAUGAAGAGGCUGAAGAUCCUACUAUUCCUGCUCUGACAAGAACAAGACGUUCUGUGUCUCAGCCUACAGAAUUUCAGAAGAAACAGAGAGAAGAAGAAGAGCAAACCAAAAGCAGAGAAGAAGAAGAGCAGAGAGAGAAGGAGAAAGAAGAUGAAGAAGAGAAAGAAAAGUCUGCUGCUGAAUCUGGAGAGAAGGGAAAUCUAGAGCAUGAUCAUCACUCUUCCCCUUUGGAUGUACUAGAGACAGGGGGAGUUGGCGAGCAUGAAAGGUCAACACCUCAUGCUGCAGAUAGUGAAGGUCCAAGACAUUCUCCAGAAGACCCAGAAGAAUUUCAGGUUUCUCAAUUACCUGAAGAAGGUGAUACAUCAACACCAAAUCUGCAAGACUAUACAGAAGUGCCAUCGUAUACAUUUACUCCAUCUGAAAAAGCUGAUGCAAAUACUCAGACAGACAAUUCUGCAGAUUUUCAUCGUAUCAUGGAUAUUCUUCUGGAAAUGCGUGGUCAAAUAUAUGCUCUGGAAUGUGAAAUUCAAGUCAUGAAGAAUGCUGCACAAGCAUCUUCAGUAAACCUAGAGGACAAGAUGAAAGACCUUGCUCUGCAAAUUCAAGCCAAUGCCAAAGGAGAGGAGGUAGCUCAUCUAAGGGAAGACUUGAAGAGGCUAGAAGGCGUAGUCCAGUCAAUGGGAGAAUUCCAGAUCGUGCGCAUUCCAAGCAGACAUGACUCCUUUCUCACCCUCUUUUUAAAAUGAUGACAAAAAGGGGGAGAACCAAUUUGAACAAACAAACAUUAUUUUAAACUUUGAUUUUUGUGGUUAUGUUUUUGAGUAUGACUUGAGAACUUGAACUUGGGUGUGAGACUGAAUGGCUGUGGAUUUUGAUGCUUGACUGGUUGCAUUUAUAUUAAGUAUUGUUAUAUGGUAUUACUCAUGAAAGACUAACCAAUUUUGCUGUGGAUGCAGAGUCUGGUUGUUUAUUAAUCUUUAUGAGUUAGCCAUAUUGCUUGAGAAAUGUUUUUGCAGGUCAAAGUUGUUCAAAUCUACAAGAAAGUUUUGUCACCAUCAAAAAGGGGGAGAUUGUUGGAGAAAUCUUUCCAGAAGAUUUUGAAGCUGACAAAACAUUUCUAUCAGUCUAGUCUUGAUAUCAUUGGUUUAAAGUCUCAAGACUUUGUAAUCUCAAGACUCAAGACUCAAGACUCAAGAUUAUUCUCGCUGACAGUCUUUCUAAUCCAGUUGCGUAGGAUAUCCGAAGCCGAAGUAUAUGGUUGGGGAUUUGAUCCAAUCCUCUGGAAUAGAUCCCUUGGUUGGAUAAUCAUUUCGGAUUCUUUUGAUUCUUAUCUAAGAUCAAUUGAAGAUCUGAUGGUCGACGAAACAUUCUUGGAAUGUUCUAUUCUUGGAAACCAAAAUCCUGAUUGUAUGGGCGAACAGGAUUGAUGGGCUAUCAUCAGAUUCCUUAAAUAGCUCGGAUGAUCUUCUUAAUUGAUUCCGUCCAACGGAUAGAUUGGAGGAAUUCCUUUGGUAAGUGCCAACGGCUAUGAUGGCAUAAAGGAGUAUAAAAGGAAGACGUUCUAGUUGUUUUAAGUGUGAUCGAUAGAUAAAUUCCAGAGUCUAAAGAACCUUGAUUGUUAGUCGAGACAGUUCGAGCGAAAUUGUAUACACAGAGAGUGGUUGUACUUGGUGAUACCUUGAGCGAGUGUAGUAGAUCAUCUACAUCGAGAAAUCAAGGAAGAUCAACACUGUAACAUCUCUUUGUUCAUAGUGGAAUCCAGCCAAUCGGCUGUCAGUGCAGAAGAGUGGACGUAGGCUUGAAUCAAGCCGAACCACUAUAAACCUCGUGUUUAAUUCUCUCUUUCCUUUACUCAGUCUUACGAUUGAUUUUUAAUCCUUCAUCUGUUUAAGUAUUACGCAAACUGCAAGAAAAUUUUCAUAAAACCUAUUCACCCCCCUCUAGGUACUCGUACUAGCAUCAUCAAAGGGUUGUAAGAGCUCCAGUUGACAGGAAGUUGCGUAAUUGAUUGUCUUCAAUGAUGAACAAUGUAUAGAAUUUUAAGAUCCUUCGGUGCUUGAUAUUUAGGGAUUUCCGUAUCGAUAUGCAAUCAAUCAGGAGUUCCUCUAAGAUUUUAGUUUUACGAGCUUGUCCACUACAUUGCAAAGUUUCGUGCAGUGCUUCACAUUUAAGGAAGCUAAGUGCUUCAACUGACCAACGGAUCGUCAAUUUGGACCAAGCUUUCACAUAAUUACUCCAAGUCAGUCGUUCUAAAUUAACGUGUAGAGAGAAGUCCGCAACAGAAAGAGCUUGCUAAGAUAAGUUCUGCAGCAUAUGAUAUAUACCUUAAUGUUUGGCUCCAACCAUCCCAUUUCUCUAACUUUGCUCCAUCAACAGAUUUUCAGGAAGGAAAUGUGACUUCUUUUGGAAAACACAUUUUGGAAGAGCAUUCAUAUUGUGCCACACGAAAGUCUUCCAUAAGUUCAACCUGCAAGUUUACACUAUCAACUUGAGGAUAUCUUAAGUUGGAAAAUCUCCAAAAGUCCUGGCGGUGUUGUUGCCGAUGGUCAAACUUGAGACACACAGCUUCGACUUUGUCUUUCUCCCGCCAAAAGGAAAACACAUCACUUCCAGUUCAUUUUUUCCAAAGGUCGCGUAAAAUCCUCCCAUAGCAUUACAGGACGUUAAAUAUUAGUGCGGUAGAUGAGUACGGUGCUAAAGAAAAUGUAGUAACAGAAAUAAGUCGCCAAAUGAAUUCUGGCCCCAAGCUUUUUCACGUAAAAUUUUUAGAACCAUCGACAACAGUGCUACAAUGAACAAGAGUGAGCGUAAAGUAAGGAAUCUAUUUUUUGAGAGGACUUAGUGCGAUGUCAUUUUGGCCAAGAUCAACCAUCUCAUAGUCCACGAUGGACUUGUCUUUUUAAUUAAAAAACCGCAUAUGAAUAAAAAAAAUUAUUAAAAAAUUCACGUAAAAUUUUAGGCAGGAGCACUUAAAGUGAUCUUUUUUUCUUCCGAUUUGCAAUUGACGGAUCUAAUAAAAAAAUUUGCCACCAAAGUGAGCAGCUUAUGAGAAUUAUUUCCACUUCUAGUAUCCUUUUUUCUGAGAAGAACUAGUAGGGGCAUGGACAAUCUCGCUCUUUGUCUCUAUGGUGGGACUUCGCUGCCUUUCAUGAUGUCACGAGCAAUAGAAGUAGUUGUGAAUAUAAAAUUUUGUAGCACUGUUGUCAAUGGUUCUUAAAAUUUGCUACAAAAUUUAAGCUAUUAGAUAAAUGUCAAGUUUAAUAUUUGAACAUUCUAACACUUCCUCACAAAAGUAGACUAGACUUUGACCUAUGACUAAGCCUAUAUUGUAAGGGAGACGAAUAAGUUGUCUAGAAAAAAAUUGAAUUUAAGAUUUUCUACUUGGAUAUUAGAUAAAAAUUUUGUAAGAUCAUCGUUAACUAUUAUAAAAGUUUAAACUUUUAAAUGAAAUUGUAGUUUAAUCUUUAUACAUCCCUACAUCAGGCAGUCCAGUUGCCGUGGUGACUGUUAAAUAUUACUGGUGUUGUUGAACUCGAAAAUGGAUCAUAGCAGAAUUUUACGUUGCUCCUCAUCAGCAAAUCUGAUGCUUCUUUGUGAUUCCACAAUCUACUCUGCUUCUUUAUUUCCAUAUCCCCAUUUUGACAGGUGAUUUCUCUUCCUAGGCCUUUUAGCUGAUCAUGCAUCCAUAUCUUGUUAUCCUCAACAAUCAUUAUCAAGGACAUGUUCUCUAGGACUUCCAUAGCUUUUUCUAGAAAAUAUGCAGGCUCGUUCCAACAUGAAUCAUGAUGUCUUUGUCAUAUCGGACGCGAAAAGACAAGUUAUGUUGAUAAAUGUUUUCUUUUUCCCAUCAUCUAAUACCUCAUAACUUGUUUCAACUUCCUGUUAGCUUCGGCAUGAAGAACUCUUUCCAACUUCUUUAAAGUGACAAUUACGCAUCUACAUGGCAAGUUUCUAAAAUUUAAAGAGAUAAGUCGAAAUCCAUAACAUUAAGUUCGUACUUCUAAUUGAUUUAAUCAGCAUUGAGAACACAUUUGUUUUUGGUGGUAAAUAUAAGCCUGCUUCCCCAUCAAACCAAUCACGAUUACACAUGAGUGCAUUCAGUUGAUUCUUUUGAUCCACAAGACACAAAAGGACGGUAACUUUUAUACUAGACAGCCUAUUUUUCAUUGGCUUGAUCCCUUCAUUAACAUUACUUAUUCCUGUCAAUUUCCUUUUGAGGACAUGCAGAAUGAGUUGAUUCUGCAGGUACUCAGUGCCCUUGAGCUCUGAAGUUUCAUGGGCGUUAGAAAGCAACAAUGUUCAAAAUCAUGUGAACGUUGAGUGUACAUGACUUUGGUGAGAGUGGUCUUUCUAACACCAUUCAUUCCAUGAAUUUCGACAAUUUACGUUUCUUAUGAGUGAGUGCCUAUCAUACUCAUGACUAUCUUGAACACCAUUUUCACAUCGAAAGGUCCAUGAAAUAGUUUUGGCAGGUGCAACUAUGACCACCGCAAACUCCACCUUAUGCGCACCCAAUUUUUCUCCCUAUCCAGACAAGCCCUUCAAGUGUAUACUCGUCAAAGAACAUUUGGGUACUCAUAAGUAAGUCCUAUUGCAUAUCAAUGAAAAGAAAACACAUUUAGAUGAAAUGCAAUAUUCAUUCUUAUGGCCUCACAAAAGAUUAAUAAACAAUCUGGUUUGCAUAAAAAAAAAAAAAAAACUUUUACCCCCAAAAAUAUUACGUAUGAUGCCCGAAAUUGAAAAAUAAACCCCUCUAACCUGUUCUAAUGAUUUCUCAAGAAAAAAAGGGCGAACCAUCCAACUGAAACUUCAGAUCGAGUUAAACAGAUUUAACAGUUUCAUCAAUAGGCAACAACUUCCCUCACUGACUCCCUUCCUCUGUUCCUGCUAGGUUUGGUUUGGUUUUGCCUCGGCCCGGGUUGUGGGUGUUUUCUUCUUUCUUUGUUUUCCCUUUGACUCCCUUCCUCUGUUCCUGCUGCGCGGUCAGAGUGUAAGUUGGCGCCGUUCCUUGUUUGUCCAAAGUUAUUAAUAUAUUCUUACCUUUCACCAAAAAAAAAAAAAAAAAAAAAAAAAAAAACAACUUCCCUCACUGACUUCAAUUUUCUGGCUCUCAAUAGAUGAAUACACAGUUUACCAACCCAAGAUUGUGAAAGGAAUUAUAGUCCAAAUUAAAUGUCAUGCUUCAUCGUCCUUCAUUUGGUCUUCAUUUGUAAAGUAGCCACAGCUCCCUGCACCAAAAGAACCCUAUAAGUUUUCUCUUACUUCAAUUCUGCUUAGCAACAUCAGAAAACGGCAAAAAGGCAGUGGUUUGAGAUGUCUCCCUUAGCACUUCUUGUCUGUCUUAAAACCUAAAAGAAUCCUCUACCUCUAGUAUAACAUGAGGUGACUUGAAGGACUUCUAUUACAGAUAAUCACCUAGGCAUAACCAUCCCUAGAAAAUGUUGGAAAUAAUGGAGAGAUUACAAGAGUCCAGUUAUAUGAUUUCUGAUCCCAAGUUGAUGUUUAUCAUAUGUUCUUUGCACGGACAAUAUUGAAAUUUAGCCUUCACUAUCAGAUGAUUUAUGAUACCUUGGAGAAGCUAAACAGUUUUCCUCUCCCGUCACAGAUGGAAGCUUUGCCACACCAUCUUUUGAUGCCGCAACCCAAGUGAAAUUCCUCUUUCUUCAUUUAUAACUUCUCCAUGACAUUUACAAAUCCCACUAAGAAGCACACCUUCUCUUGGAAGAUAAACUGAACAUAAGCAUAUCGAUACAGAGUGUCUUUUUCACAAUUGCAGCAAUGAGUUAAUCGCCAUAAAAUUCCAGGAUGAGAACCAUAGUGCUAUGACCUUCCAACACACAUUCCAUCUAAUUGUUUAUAGUAUAGCAAAGUUAUCUCCAAUCCGAAGUAGAGGGUAUGAACUUCGAAAUAUGUGAACAGCAAAUCAGAGAGGAUCUAUAAUGAAUUGUCCUAAAUCAAAUAAUACCGAUGCAAUCCACUUGCAUACCUCUAGUUGGGAAACAUAAAGGCAAAGAGAAACCAUCCAAAAAGAAUUUAACUGAAAAAGCCAAACCAAACUAAGAAAAGAAAACAUACAUUUGUAAAUAAUGAAGAACCCUCUGGUUGUAUGGAGGUACCAUUAUUUCAAUACCUUCUUCAUAUUUCUAGGCAUCAACUCACAAAAAAUGUAAUUUGAAAGUGGAUGUAAAACUUCACUUUGAAUGUCAUCUUCAUUUUCAUUUGUUCGGUCUUCAUUGGUACAGCUGUCCAAUUAGCCAUAGCUCCCUGCACAAAAAGGUUACCGUAAGUUUUCAAACUUUAAUACCUCUCAGUAGCAUUUGACAUCGGCAAAGAGGCAGUCGUUUGAUAUGUCUUCCUGGGCACUUCUCGUCAAUCUUAAAACCCAAAAGAAUCCUCUGCUAAGAUUAAUGUGAAUGGAAGGGCUUCUAUUACAAAUAAUCACCAAGGCAUAACUAUUUCUAGAAAAUAUAGGCAAUAAUUGAGAUCACACAAGAGUCCAUUUACAAGAUCUCUGACCUCACUGAGACUCAUCAUACGUCCUAAAUGAUUUAUGAUACCUUAAAGAAGUGAGCCAUUAGAUGGUUCUCCUCUCUGGUCACAGGUGGAAGUUUUGUUGUGUGAACUAUUGAUGCCUUUACCCAAGUGAAAUUCGUCUUUUAUGUUAUAAUUUCUCUUUAACAUUUGCAAAUCCCACUCAGAAGCACACCUAUCCUGGAAUAAACUAAAGGUAAGUAUAUCAAUACGGACGGUCUGUCUACUUCACGGUUGUAACAAUGAGUUAAUUACGCUAUAAAGUUCUAGGAUUAGAACCAUAGUGCUAUUGUCACGCCCCGAAUCCCGAGCGCGUGCCCAUCCCUAUCUGAUCGAUAAUAAUUUGCGACUUCUUAGGACGAGUCGCCGACCCUUUCCAUUUUAUUGCACAUGUAGAAGCGAAAAGAAAUCCCUUGACAGUAAUCAUCUCGGGAUAGAAAGGCAGGACAAUAGAUUCACAAACAAACAUGCUUUUAUAUAUACACUGAGUCAUGUACACAGGUCUAUGGCCAAAAGACUACAAAAGACUGGCCUUCCAAAAAGAAGCAGUCCUAACUGACCUACGCUUCCAAUCACCUCCUCUCAGCUCCAGGUCCUCUACUCGACGACCCUGAAAAUGUUGUCCCACAACAGGCUGAGAUAUCAUCUCAGCGAGUCUAAGUUCUAAACCCCAAUUAGUAAGGAGAUACACCCAGAAGUGUCCUAAUCACACAAGCACACAAUCAAGGAGACUUACCUCGUCUCAGAUCCACCAUGCAGGUCAGUAUAAUUCAAAUACUCAAUUAAACAAUUCAAUUCAAAUUCACCAUCAAUCAGUCGAUUCAUUCGACUCCAUGACAUCAAUGUCAACCAUAUAUUAUGUCGAUUCGAACACUGCUUGCCUAAGCUAAAAUAGAUAUACUCAUAUAUCAUUGCUCCCCAAAGCUAAUAUCUAAAAUUUGCUCAUCGAAGCUGCUAGAUCAAAUAGUGCUCACCGAAGCUGCUAAAUAACAAGUGCUCGCCGAAGCUGAUGUCUAAAGUGCUCACCAAAGCUGCUAAAGCAUUAUUGCUUGCCAUUGCUCACUGAAGCUGCUAGAGAUCUAUAAUGACGUUAACGCUCCCCGAAGCUGUUAUAGAUCCAUAUUGCUCACCUAAGCUGAUUUGGUACUCAAAGACCACUUUCACCCGACACCCGGCAUUUUCCAAUUAAAAUACCAAUAUAUCACAAUCAUCACUCAAUUCAACAAUACAUCAUUCAAUUGCAGAAACUAAAAACAUCACUGCAAUCAGCUCGAAAUUCUAUCGAGCGGCUCUCCCGGUAUAAUUUCGGGAAAAAUAAUUAAUAAUUAAAUAUUACCGAAAUUAAUUAAAUAAAUCAAUUUAAAUUCUAACAAUACUAACCUAGGCUAGAAUCAUUAAAUUAAUAACUAAUACGAAUUGGCGAAAUUCCCAAACCCUUUUAGAUAAAUAGUACAAUUUAUUUAGGCCUUAGCUAAACCAUGCUAACCACCUAACAUGCUCAAUUAAAUAAUUACAUUUCUAAUUUAAUCUAACUAACCACCUAAUUCCUAAUAAAAUAAAUUUAAACACCCCUUAAACGUCAUUAGCCUACUAAGCAAAAUUUAGAGUAUAAACUCACCGGUGUAUCGCGAAAACCGGUUCACCGCGACGACGACGCGACGACGGCCAAAAUCUUAAUUUUCGACGGUGUCGGCGAACUUGGACCAGGCCUAGGACCAGCCCAACACAACUCAGCAAGGCUGAGUUUAGGUCUUGGGCUUCUGCAGGCUGCUGGUCGCGGGCUUGGGCCUUCUUCUCGGGCCCAAAAUGGCUGAACUUCAAAUGGGCUAGAACUAACUGAACUUGGGCCUAAGCUUGGGCUUCAAAAAUCUGCUAGAGAUUGGCUGAAAAUCACUGGGCUGAAGAUACUUGCUGGACUUGAAUCGAGUUGGACCAAAGGCUCAAAUUGUGGGCUGCAAUUGGGCUCGUGGGCUGAAGCUUGCAGAUUUGGGCCGCUGAAAAUCGAACUGGCUUGCUGGGCUGAUCCACGAGCGCAGGAAAUGGACGCUGGAGAAGACCACACGGACAGCUUGCUGGCGAAGAGGAAAGAAGCGGAGCAGCAGGCGUCAACGUGGGAGCUACUGUAGGGGUCUUCGAUGCUGGGGGUUUGACCGAGGUUUCGGUGGUUACAAACGGUGAAGGGUUCGGCUUUGAGGGCUGAAGGAUGAACGGCAAGUAGCAGUUGCAGGGGGGAAAGAUCGCUGAAGCAGCUUCGGCCUUCACUUCGGUCGUUGGUGCUGAGUCGCGGACGAAGGAAAAAUGAGAGAUCUUCGAACGUGGCUGCUUCGAGCGGUUGGCAGACGUAGCGAGAGAGAUGGGACCAGCUGGCGUUGCGGAUGAACGGAGAAGCAGCUUCGUCCGAGCUGCGGGAGACGCGCGGCCAAGAGUCAACAAAACAACUUGGCUGAGGAACUUUGACUCAUGGAGAUCAGGUGUUGGACGUGUGGCUCUGCAACAGGGGAAUUGGUGGCUUCAGUGGACGCAUGGGCUUGAGAGAAAUGCAUGGAGAGAGAGAGAGAGAACUCGGUGGAUGGUGAUAUUGAUGAUGAAAGAUGAUGAUGAUGAUGGCAUGGGAUGAAGGAUAUGCGACCAAGAGCAAUUUCGGUGGGGGAUUGCCGUUGCAGAGAGGGAGACCGAAAUGAAGAAGCUCAAAAAUGAAAAUGAAAGUGAAGCGGAAGACCAGGUUGUCGCACAAAGGGAGGAGGAGGAGAGAGAAAACCCAAUUUAAUUAGCCAAGGCCAAAAUAUCUAGCAUCCAUCAUGAUUUUGGUCCAAAAAGUCUUCAUGAUUAUCCCUUUGUCCCCAUGUUUAUUAUUUGCUAUUUGAUCAUCAAAUAAUUCACUUUUGAUAUCCAAAAAUCCAACCUCUUCUCAAGCUCCGAAUUUAAUCAAAUUGAACUAUAAUUCAUCACUCAAUUUCCUAAAUUGAGGUCCAAUUUCGCAGUAGAAAAAUCUCAAAUAAUUUUCUAUAAUUCCCCAAUAUUAUACAGCUCGGCUUGAAAGUCCAAAUUUUAUUUAAUUUGGCCCAUCCGAAUUUCCGCUAAUUUUCCGCGGCAUCCGAUUCGAUUUUCCGUAAAAAUCCCGGAAUCUCUGAAAAAUCUUCGGAGAAUGAGUCGACGUUCCUAAAAUAGCUUGUGACACCUCAGAACUUUCAAUUUCUGAAAUCGGGUUCAAAUUCGCGAUUAUUUUCAAUCCGGCACACUUUAGCGUGACCUAAUCUACCAAGUAACUUUUAGGAAUUUUUUGGUGCAAUUGACCUAUGAUCGAUUUAUCUCGAGUCACAAAGUAAAUCUUCGACACAUUAGCGACUCUCAGUUGUCGUGAAAAUCUCGAUGUUUCAAUUACGGACACCGGGUACCAAAACGACAAAAUCGAUUUAGUGCUGAUCGAUGAGAAUUUUUCAAUUAAGUGAAAUCACCCACAAUUUGAUCACAUAUCUCAAUCGAAUCGACCUAUCUCUGAUUUUUUAUCGCUCUCUGACGGUGCCGUAAUGACCCUUGCAGAUCAACACGGUUGAGCAAUCGAUUCUUGGUUGAAUUCUCAAGUCAAAUUGCAUUUAGAUUCCCUAAUUGCUUCCCCAGAUAGUCUAGUUAUCUCAUAAGUGAUCAGCUCAGAGAAUAGCACUAUCGGUGCGUCGACGAAAGGCCCGAUUUAUUUAGUCGAAAACGAAUUCUGAAAAUUCAGGAUGUCACAACUAUGACCUUCCAACACCCAUUCCAUCUAGUGGUUUACACCAUAACAAAGUAUCUCCAAGGCGUAGCAAGGUUGUCAACUUCAAACUAUGUGAAACAACAAAUUAACAAGGAUCUCUAAUAAUAGUCAAAUAUCAAAUAAAAACGAUGCAAUCAACUAGCAUAGCUCCAGCUGGGAAACAUAAACGCACGGAGAAACCUUCCAAAGAAUAAAUAACUAAAAAAAAGCCAAACCAAAUUGAGAAAGGAAAACAAAAAUGUUGCACAUAAUUAAGAACCCUCUGGUUGUAUGGAGGUAUCAUAAUUUUAAUACCUUCCUCAGAUUUUCAGUUAGAAGAUAAUAAACAAGUGCAUGUAAAACUUCUGUGUUCAUAUCUGUGAAAAAAUUUGAUUGCAAAAAAGAGCAAACAUUGAUUGUCAAAUAAAUGAGUUACCUCAAUUCGUUCAAAGUUUGAACACAAGGGAAACAAUUUAUGGUCGUGGAAUAAGAAGUUUUCAAGUGCAACGUGCACUUGUCCGUUGUCUUCUCCCUCAUAAUAUAUGCUUUGCCUAAACAGGACUGACUUCUCCGAGAAAAGCCUAGAAAUUGCACCACAUUUAAUUUUUUGUAGCGAUAUAUUCUAACCUCUUUCAUUCCAUUCAAGCUGGACAAAUCGGGCAACUUCUAUAAAAAAUCACAGGAAUCAAUCUCCAAGUUUUCCAAAGACUCUGGUAGUUCACCUUGAAUCCCAAUUGGAUUUUUACAACUCUCUACUUGAAGACUCCUCAGUUCGAUGAAAUUGGUUAUAUUAGAGAGUAUCUUCACAUGUCCAAGUCCAAGAAGACACAAAUCUCGUAGGUUCUCCAAACAACCAAGGCCUUGAAUCUCUGUAAUUGCAGCGAAAGAAAUAAAGGAGAGAUGAUAGUUUAUUCAAAUUCGAUAGAUCUAUCAUCGAGAAAAGUGACCUACAUUUUGGCAACCGUAAGGAGGAUAUACUCGAGGGAAGCUUUGGGAGGCGAUGCAGAUUUGUGCAUAGAAGGUGAAGUGACUUGAGAUGAGAAGGGAGGGUAAGGUCUAUCGGUGAGGUGGUCACGUAAGGUGACAGUUUCAGAGACUUUAGAUUGCUUAAGUUCCCAAUCCACCGUGGCAUGGAAACUUCCACAAGCUCGUUAGACAUCCCCUCAUAAUUAAGUGGGCCAAACCACAGAUCCAAUACCUUUAAUUUAGUGAGGUACGAGAGAUCUAGAAACAUGUCCAUGUCCAUGUCCAACCAAGAUAGUUUUAAUUCAAUAAGACUUUUAGGAAGCAUUGGCAGUGCAUUUAUUUCCACACUGACCAAUUUAAAGAUCCUCAGGGAUCGACUCCUACAGAUGCAAUCGCCAAUUUUCACAUGGACUGCACGGUAUAUUGAAUAAAGGCAUUCUAUUUCUUCGAGCUUCUCAAUCGUCCAAAGUACAAUCACAACAUCUCAAUUCACAAGGUGGUGCAUGUGUUAAUAUACACAUCAUGGAUAUUCCAAAGAACUUACAAGAGAAGACAACUCCUAGUAAACAAUGGAAAUGAACAUCCGAAGCCCAAGAUUAAUCCCAGGGAAAAUGAAAAGUGUGGAACAAGAGACAUCAAUUUACAUCACAUGAAGUAAGAACGACAUAAUAAGUGAAUUCAAGCAUCCCGUGGUAUUCUAUUAGCACUGACAGCUUCUACUGAUUCCAGUUCUUCCACGACUUUAGUCCUGGAAGGCCGCUUGUUGUGAGUCAUUUGGAGGCAUUAUAAAGCAAGCUGAGCAAUUUGGAAUGCAGAAUCUAUAUAUGCAAGGUAUAGGGACGGUAUAAAUUUGGUUCCCAUUUCCUGCAGGUGGCAACAUCAUGAGCGACCAGCUUCUUCUAAAAUAACCAGUGUUUCUUUUUCGGUAAUUGGAGCAUCUGCAGAAAAUGGAAAGUUAUGUGGGCAAUACAACUGUAGAUUCCAUGCCAAAGGAUUUAAUUAGCUAAAAGGAAAACACACCUCGUAUUUCAUAGAGGGGAUUAUAGUGAACCUCAUACCAGAAGCUCAACCAAAACUCUGCAUCAAUUGAAAGUAAGGUUAACAAAAGGAAAAACUCAGAAAAUAUGGAGUUUCAAAAGACCAGUUGCACAUUGAACAAAAGCAACAGUAGAUCAAUUGCAAAUGUUUACAUCUAGGUUUAAAAUCAAUCAAAUGUAUAUUAAGCCGUUCCCAAGCAGCUGUUCUAAGAGAGCAAAAGAACAAAUAUUUAAUUUCCCAGAUGAACAACAACAACGCAUUGCAAAGGAGGGUCUAUGCGUAUAUCUAUAAGAGCAACGCUCUUUUUUCCAAGCCAAACGAGAAGUAAAAUAUCAACUUCACAUUCAUCACAUUGCACCGACUGAUCAUUUGACCCAACAAAACAACUAUGAAGAAGAAUAGCAAGCAAUACCGUAGGCAGACGGAACUUAUAAAUCCAAUGGCCCAACAAUAAUCAAGCUAUCAAUAUAAGUAUCAUCAAGAGGUUUUAGCCCUCCUUCAGGUUCUCCAACAUCAACCAAAUAAGCACUGAACAUCAAUGACUCACCGGAACAAAUAACUUCAUCAUUCUUCAAAAUUCUGCAUUCCGACAGCUGCUCGCUGCCGUCGUAGGGCAUUACCUAUCAUAUAUCCGACCAUCAAUCACAGCAUGGACUAAUUUACUCCAAACAAGCUCAAUCACGGAAAAUAUUACAACCAAAAGCACAGAAUAGAACAAUCCGUGAUGAUAGAAAAAAUGAAAUCCUAAGCAGCAUUGAGCUGCUGCCAUUAAGUGCGAUCGAGCAAGCUAAAUUUGGGGGAAAACGGUAAUAAAUCAAUAGCCACUGCAGUUUUGACACAGAUUAGCCAAUCAAACCGAAUCAUGUCCAAUCCCAAUCAAAGGCAACUAAAUUGCUGAACGGGUUGAGCUGGACAUCACUGGCAGAGAUUAGUAGUGAAAGCGAAGGUACCUUGCUGGUGGAGGUGCAGAGUGAGAGGAAGCCGUCGCAAUAGACCUUGUGCAUCAGCUUCUGCUUCAGGUGCUUCUUGAAGGUGACAUUCCAGCACAUGCAGACUCAAGCACAUAACUUAUUUCAUCAAACACCAAAAUUGCACAUGAUCACCGAACACUGGACAGGAAAAAUUUAGAUGGUUCACACUCACACAAAGCAUAAUUCAGCACACUAAUUACAAACACGAUCCAAAAGCAGUUCAGGAUUGAAAAAGAAAACCAAAGCACAACACCAAUCCACUCCUAGAACCUGCAUUGCUGGCUCAAAAUGCAGGCGUUGAGUCCAUCACGGAGCUGAAAGCUCUGACGUAUUCAUCUGUGGGAUUUUGCUGAGUCUGAGUGUUCUGUAUGAGGGCAACAAGGAUGGUGAUGCCAGAUUUCUGUCCCUCAAGAUUCUGUUUGAUGCAAUGUUCAAUUUCCUAAUCUCCAGAAUUAGAGCUUAAGUUGGCAGACUUGAAAUCCAUAUGCUAGGUGCAAUUUCUCCCUCUUUACCCAACCUUGAUUGAGGAUGAGGACCACGAUACCAAUGUGAGCGCAGAAGCUCUCCCUGAUGCUCAUAGAGUUCAACUUGACUAAAAUUUCUGAGAUUCUACACCCAAAGACAGUCAGCCACUGCUUCAGAUUUUCACUUGGUGAUCUGUCCUGUGCAAAUUUGAAUGAUGUUGAGCUGCAUGUGGCUCUGACAUCGGCUCGGGAUAUGGAUCCUAAGUUGCUUUCUCAGCUGAAAGUAGCACAGCGGAUUCGAAAUCUUUUAGUGUUUGUACAUGGGAAGAAUUUGGAAAAUUUUCUCAAAUUGAUGCUUGGCUUGUGCAAAGCUCUUCUUUUAUGAUCACUAGGUUCUACGAAAGGUUCCACGUACAAGGAAGAGCCAACACUACCUGAGGAAAUUUCUUCUGAGGUGGCGAGUAGCAUAUGACAGAUAACUGAAUUUGGUGGCAGUGCCAGUGUUUUCCUGGAAUUGAGUGGGUCUCAUGACAAAAACAAUGCCGAUAUUGCUUUUGAAUGCACAGUUCUAUUACUGAAGGUGGCCCCGAGGGAAGGUGCCCUCUUUUUCUUACCGAUCUUUUGUAAGUGAGUGCAACUCUCAAGUCUCGGCGAGAUGGCCUCCUUCUCUACUGGUACAGAAAAUGCUGCAUUCUCUCAGUUACAACUGUAGGUGAUGUUUGCUGCACAGAAUGAUUUUUGUCAGUGUGCCCAUCAAAGAUUGCUAUGAUUGAAGGCAUCGUUGCUGAGAUAAGAUAUUCUGGUGGUGUUGCUUUAGCCACUGCUGCCACACAGGUAAUCUCGGAAUUGCGGUGGCUCCCUCAUUUAUGACUUCUCCAUAACAUUUGCAAAUCCCACUAAGAAGCACACCUUUCCUGAAAAAUAGACUGAACUUAAGCAUAGCUAUACAGAGUGUCUCUACUUCAAAGUCACAAUAAUGAGUUGGUUAUGCUGUAAAGUCUCAGGAUGAGAACCAUAGUUGUAUGACCUUCUAGCACACAUUCCAUCUAUUUGUUUACAGAAUAGCGAAGUUAUCUCCAAUGCAAAGCGAGGAUAUCAAUUUCGAAAUAUAUGAAGCAGCAAAUCGACAAGGAUCUCUAAUAACUUGGUACAUAUCAAAUAAAAAUGAUGCAAUCAACAUGCAUAUCUCUAGGAGAAAUCAUCCUAAGAAAAUGCAGCUAAAAAAGCCAAAGCAAACAAGGAAGGGAACACAACUACUUGUACAUGAUUAUGAGCCCUUUGGCUGUUCGGAGGUUUUAUAAUUUCGAUGCCUUCAUCAGAUUUUCAGACAUGAACCUGUUAUUAAAAAGUGCAUGUGAAACUUCUCUGUUCAUAUCUGUAAAAGAAUUUGAUUGCCAAAAAAGGAAAACAUCAGUACUUACCUCAAUUCAUCUAAGGUUUGAACACGAGGGAACAAUUUGUGGUCGUGCAUCAAAAAGCUUCCAAGUGCAACGUGCACUUAUUCAUCGUCUUGACCAUUCUCUUUCAUAAAUUUCAAAAAAUCGUCUUGCUUCAUUAAUUCGAAAUUGUUUAGCCAUUGCAGAAAUUCGUCCUCCAUCAUGUUCUGCUAUUCUUGCCCAAACCGGUAAUUUGUCUUCUUCAUCGUCUUCUCCCACAAAUUCGAUUGACUUCUCCGAGCAAAGCCGAGAAAUUUCCUCCACCGCCAAUUUCCCGCAACGUUUUAUGAUAACCUUUUGCUGUCCCUUCAAGCUUGAUAGAUCAGGCAACUUCUGUAAAGAUUCACAGGAUUCAAUCUCCAAGUAGGCCAAAGAUUGGGGUAGUCUGUCUCGAAUCUCAACCAGAUUACCACAGUUUCUUACUUGAAGAAUUCUUAGUUGGUUCAAAUUGCUUAGAUCAGGUAGGAUCUGCAUCUGUUUAAAGCCAUAAAGCUCCAAUCGUUGUGGACUCAUCCAGGCGUUAUGAAGAACCUGAUCGCAAUUGUUUAUUUGAACAAAUGUCUUACCCAUUAAGCAGAACAGAUCGGGCAACUCCUAAAAUGAAGGACAGAAAGAAAUUUCAAAUUCAUCCAAAAACCACGGUGGUUCGCCUUGAAUCUCGACCAGAUUAUCACAUUCCCAUACUCGAAUACGCCUUAGCUUGUUUAACUUGCUUAGAUCAGGUAGCAUCCCCAGCUAUCCGAUGCAUUGAAGGUACAAAUCUCGUAGGUUCUCCAAACAACCAAGGCCUUCAAUCUCCGCAACUGCAGAGUACGAAAUAGAGAGAGAUGAUAGUUUCCUCAAAUUCGUUAGAUCCAUCGAGCAAAGUGAGUGGAAACCAAGGAGAUCUAAGGAGGUUAAACUUGAGGGAAGCAACCACCCGUGGUGGUGGCGUAGGUGGUUGAGCAAGGGAACUUUUCACGAGAGGUCCCGAGUUCGAUCCACGGCGUCGUCGUUGCUUAAGUGCUAGCCAUGCCUUAUCCGGGGCACGUGGGUGGUGGUUUCCCACGUGUCUCCCCAGGGUUUACUCCCCGGCUGCCGGCCGUGCGGUGGAUUCCCUGGGUCACCAAAAAAAAAACUUGAGGGAAGCUUCCGAAGGCGACGCGGAUGAGGAGGGAGGCUUAGGUCUGUCGAUGAGGCUUUCCCCCUAAAAUAGCGCAGUCCCAGAGACUCCAAUUUGCUCAAGUUCCCAAUCCACGGUGGUAUCGGCUCUUCCAUAAGCCCAAGAUAUUUCCCAUCAGAAUCGCGUGGCUGAAAGUCCAGACGCAAUACCUUCAAGUCAGUGAGGUUUGAGAGAUCCGGAAGCGUGUCCACCCAAAAAUCCCCCAGUUUUAAUUGGGUAAGACUUUCUGGAAGCCUUGGUAGGGCGUGCAUUCUUACAUUUUGCAAUGUCAAGAUCCUCAUGGAUUUAUUACCGUAGAUGCAAUUGCCAAUUUCAACGUGGGAAUACGUGCCAGAGUGGCCAGAGAUUUCUAUUUUUUCUAGCUUCUCUAUCGUCCAAAAGGCAUUGGGUAUUCCGCUUAUAUCACUACUCCGCAUCUUAACUGCUUUCAAAUUCUUCAACUUUCCGAUGGAAUCGGGUAGUUCUUUGAUCCUUGUGCCACUCAUGUCCAAGUCAGUCAACGAUUCCAAAUUGCCGAAUGUCUCCGGAAGCAUCUUCAAACUCAAGCAACUUCUUAGAGAUAGGUAUUCAAGGCUUGCAAGAUCUCCACCCAGCUCGUCCGGCAGCCUCUGAAGAUUUCAACAAUCACUUACAUCUAAGAAAACCAAGCAUUUCAACUGACAAAUUGAUCUAUCAAUUUCAAUUAAUGAUUCACGGCCUGAUAGGAUCAAACGCUCUAAAUUUGAAUGACUAGAUAAGUUGGGGGUUCUCUUCAAGUGUUGGCAAUCGGCCAGAUCCAAAACUUUCAAAUUCUUAAUCACCUAUAAAAGAAAAAUCAUGCAAAGUUUACUUUUGAAUCUAAUAAAAUGGAAGAACAAGUGUUGUCUAGCAUAUAACAUACCUUCAUGUGGCUCCACCCCUUCCAAUAAUGUGUAAUUUCGCUUCGAGAUAGAUCAAGAAUAGUCACAUUCUCUAUGGAGAAAUUUGCAAUCUUAAAUGUUGGGUCAAUAUUAUGCCAAAAAAGCCAUCGUAAUUCUGGAAGGAGAUUUGAAUUCUUUUGGAAAACAUUAAUUAGAAGACAAUUUGAUAGCCAUUCGAGCCAAAGAAGCUUCUCUUUUGCACAAUAAUUUUCCCCCGAAUCAUCCACUUCAAGGAACGUUAGAUUUGGCAAGCUCUUAAAGUCCUCACGGGUAAAACAAUGCCAAUGGUCAAACUUGAGACGAAGAGCUUCAACUUCUUCUUUUUCCUGCCCAAAGGAAAAAAUUUAAAACAAAAAAGUUGAAAGGAAACUCAUUUAUUCAGGUUCACUAUUUUAAGGGGUUGAGUUGAGUACUAUCGUUCCUUUAAUUUUAAAAGAGCAAAAAUAUUGAUUGAAUAGGUCCCAAUGGUGUUAGAGUACAUAGAAAGUAACUACCUUUUUAUUUUUUGAAAAGAAAAUAUUCAUAAGUAACUUGACAAUUUAGUGCACGAGGGAUUUUACCUCAUGUCUCCUUAGAAAAUCUGAUACGUCCUCAAGAUUCCACACUCUACAUUGCUUCUUUAUUUUCAUCUUGCUCUCUUGAUGAAUUAUUUCUCUUCCAACAUCUCUGAGUUGAUCAUGCAUCCACACUUUAUUAUAUUCUUCAAUCUUUAUCAAAGACAUGUUUUGCAAAACUUCUAUAGCUUCUUCCGGAAAAAAGUCACUUUUCCAGAAAUAGACAACAAUAUCUUUGUCAUAUCCAAUGAAAAAACAAGUUAUAUCAAGGAAUAUAUGACGUUGUUGAACGUCUAAUGCUUCCAAACUUAUUUUUAGCUGAUUCUGAAUUUCUGCAUGAGGAACACUUUCCAACUUCUUCAAUAUGUCAUCCCACUUGAUCCUUUUAGUGCGAGAUAAAAGUGAACCUAUGACUUCUAGAGCUAGCGGAAGACCUUUAGCAAUGCGUAUUGCCCUAUAGGAUUGGCCAAUAUACUCAUCUAAAGGAGAAUCUCUUCUGAAGGCAUGUUUGCUGAAGAGUUGAAGAGAUUGAUUGUGAUCCAUGCCAUUAACCUCAUAAGUGGAGUCCACUUCGGGAACAACGAGAACAUCUUUGUUCCUUGUAGUAAUUAUGAGUUUACUCCCCUUACCAAACCAAUCACGCUUACCUACAAGCACACGCAUAUGAUCAAUUUUUUCCAUGUCAUCAAGAAGAAGGAGAACUCUUUUAUUAGGAAACCUGUCUUCAAUUGUCUGAAUCCCUUGGUCAAUGUCUUUUAUGUCUGGGCAUUUCUUUUUCAGGAUGUCAGUGAUGAGCUAAUUCUGCAAGGAUGGAAUGCGAUUUCCUUUUGACAUUUCUCGGAUAUUGGAAAGAAAGCAACAAUUUUCAAAAUCAUGUGAAAGUUGAUUGUAGAUGAUUUUGGCAAUAGUCGUCUUUCCAACACCACCCAUCCCAUAAAUCCCUAUAAUACGUGUUUCCCUUGUUUGAGCACCUAUCAUUUCCAUGAUUGCAUCCACAUGGUUGUCAACAUUGACCAAGCAAUCUGAUACCACCAGAUAAGCCUUCUUCAACUCAUUAAAAACCUUUUGGGUUACGAUUUUUGUGAUCUCACCUUCUUCCCUAGUGUUUGUUAGAGGUCAAAUGGCAAUGAGUUAGAAAAUUGUGUUGAACCAAACUAUGUUCUCACAAGAACAAAGUGAAAACUAGAGACCUAUUCGAAAUGCAUUCCAUAAAAAUUUACUCCAUUGUAGAUAAAUUAGCAUUGGUACAUAUAAUUAAUGAAUGACCUAAGCUGGAAAAAAAAUUAUUUGGAAUGAAAAAAAGACAAUAUUGGGAUUGUACCAUUAUUUUGUGUGAUUUCCACAAUAUAAUUUCAAUAGCAUAAAAUUCAAUUUCAACGAGGCCAACACAAAUCUAGAAAAGAAACCAAUUGAACCAUAUUAAAAGUUUUAAUGGUACUAUGCACAUCAAAUGGAAUGAUAGAGGCAGUCACUUGUUAGGCAUGUUGUGUAGAUCCCACCUGUUUAUUGCCCCAGCUGCACUGAGAGCAGCCUUCCACUGAUGCAUAGUCUCUUUGUUGUGUCGCUUCUUCUUUUCAUGUGAAAGAAAGGCCUCUCCAUAACCCCCAGUUUGGUAUCGAACCUCUGAAGGUGCCACAUCAUAAAAAAUUGGCAUAAUCAUUUGUCCCCUAGAUUUUUGGCACUCGACCAUCUCAACUAGCUCAUUGAGACACCAUACGCUAAAGGCAUAACGUUUUGAAAAUAUAGGUAUUGAGAUCUUCGAUUGAUUAAUUGCUCGGAGUAGUUCUGGGCCAAAAUUUUCCCCUUUGCGGAGCUCUUUGUCAUCCUUAUAGACGUGGAUUCUUGCAUCCAUCAUACUAGUGUAAAGGAAGCUAGUAAAACCUGUUCGAGUAUCGCUUCCUCUAAAGCUCAAGAAUACUUCAUAUUCAUAUCUUGAUGAAUUACCCAUUCCCUGGCCUUCUAUUGUCGUGUGAGUAAAAGAAGCACUCCCUACUAUUCCAUCAUUUUCACAGGUACUGUGUUUCUGCACUCCCCUCCAUUGAUUUCACUUGAUCUAAUCUUCAAGAAAUACCAAACAACAUAUCAGCAAAAGUAAUGGCAGCUAGAGAUGGAGAAUGUUUAAAAGCCUGACUCACAAAUAAUGAAAAUUCUGUAGGUCAUUAAACUUAGUACCCAGGAUUAGCUAAAUAUGCAAAGAGUCGUGGGCCAGUGUGCUACAAUUGUUUAAUAAGAAUGAUUCAUUGUAGCAUCACUCCAGUCUGUCAAAGUUGACAAUGCAUGUGAACAUAGGAGUAUUAAAUCUUGAGGAGCAUUUUAACACCUCGAGGAGUUUUAAAUCCAUUGGGAGAACGCUGACAUAGCACAGUGCAAAGUUUUCAUUUAAAAAAAAAAAAAAACGGCUUGCUCUUUUCAAACUUGAGAACAUAAAUUAUUCCCUAGGAGUUCUAAAUCUUAAGGGGAGAAUGUGAACAUGUUCUCAUUUGACAUAACACAAUGCAAGGCAUUCCUUUUAAAAAGAAAAGUUUCACACUUCUCGAAUUUGUACAACAUAAAUUGUUUCUUCUUAAUGUCACUUUUGCAAAUAUGACUACCACUCUCUCUAGAAUGGAUCAAAAAAAUUAACCACAACUAUUCAUGUGGUGGGAUAGUUGUAGUUUGAAAUAUUACACGUUUCCAAAAUUCCUUUUACCAAAAAUGGAGUUUUGUUUCGUUCACGCUAGAUUUAAAGAACCAAUUAUAAACUUAAAGUAUAACUGGUAAGUAAAAAUUAACCAAUAACUUGUGAGUCUGGGCAAUUGUUAGAAAGUCAUCAAAAAAAUAGUUUUUUCAUCCUCAAACCAAAUAGUGGAUUACCAUUUUUUUCUUUUAGAUUUUGCAAAUGGGUUAGUAUUUUCGCUUGUAGAUUAUGAAUGCUCACAUACUUUAUUAUUAAUAGGCUCGAUUGAUGUUCCAACUUACUUACAAACAAAAUAACUACUUUACCCCUCUAGUUCCAAAUACGGUGUUAACAUAGUUUCGAUUUUAUGAGUAGCAAUGUUCAUUUGUACAUACCACGUGAACCAAAUAAUUAAUUUACCAUAUGGAAAAAACUCUUGUAACUUACCAGCAAUCGUCUGCUUUUAUAAGCGGAUAAGUAUGUUUGGUAGUAAACUACAAGUUGCUUACAUGCUUUGUUAGUAGUCUUGGUUAGCGGUGGGAACUUACAAACAAAUAACUAUUUCACUAGUAUAAAUCCUUACUAUAUUAUUAACCUUAUUUAGAAUAAAUUCACUUGUCUCGCAUGUUGAAUAAUAAUCUUUUCAAGUUCGAAUAUUAUUGGCAAAGAAAAAGUUUGAAUAAUUCGAGUUAUUGGAUUGAUUCGAACUUGGAAUCGGGAAAAUUAUACUCAAGAAGCUUGUGUUUAAAGGAAGCGCCAAAAGAGGAGAAACAGAGAGAACGGAAAUUUGUCCAGGAGCACGCCUCAUUUUAGCCAAACUUCCUUCAUUGCCCUCACGUAAACGACGAAAUCACCGGACGUGACACCGAAUAUGCCCGCCGACAGAGCAAGAGCCCGAGGUCGAAUCAGGAAAAUUCGCAAAUCCGUCGUCCUCUCCUUCCCUUCCCCCCCACCCAAAAACAAAAAGCUCGCCGUAGCUUUCGAUCGCGAAUCGCUACGGAGUCCACGAACGCUGCGAAGACCACGAUUCGAGGUUUGAAUUCGAGCAAUGCGGACGAAGACCGCAAUCGAUCUCUCCAUCUCGCCAGGCGAUCGCGCCAUUUUGAUUGCGUGAGAUUGGAAUGAUGUUGUUGCUCCAGCAGAAUGUGGAGUUGAGGGUGAUGGUUGUUCUGGAGUGCUUCAUUGCCGCGGGUGGGGGCGAGAGGUAAUUGCAAUUCGUGUUCAUGUAAUCAAUUACUGCUCCGAUCCUCCCACUUGAUUGGGAUUGGGAGUCUAGUAUCGAGCAUGUCGGUUUUGAGGUUGGACUGUGAGGUUUGUAGUGUGAAUUUGGCGGAUUAGGCACUUCAGGGUUGGGGGGAUCGUCGACCGUGUUGUGGAGCUGAAGUGCCUGAUUUGAUGGGGCAUACUACUGCCGAAUUAUUUGGUUGGAUUAGCUAAGCUCUUGGAUUACUGAGUUUGGAUCAAUACUACAACUGGAAUAUAGUCAGAUUGAUCGAAUUUCCAUAUAUUUGUUCGAUACAAAUAUUUCUUCCCGCUGUUUCUACUUUGGGGGUAAAAUUUGUUGAGUGUCUCACAAUGAUUGACUAUCGGCUAUUCGGCCUUUCUCCAGUUGAGUAAUGGACUGUAGCUUGUAGGUUUCAGCGGACUAGCUUUAUGGGAAAGAGGAGCCUUAUGCUUUUCACUUAUUCGCCUUUCGUUGCAUUUGAACAUAUAGUUCUUUAAGUUCACGAACAAGGAUGGCAGUAUUAUACUGAAAUAUUAUUUUGAGUUGAUGUUUCCUUGAAGUGUUCCUCUUACUUGAUUGUCGAAAUAGCUUUCUAGAGACAUAAGAAACUUGCUCCAUUGCUUGUCAUUAAAUGAGUUUUUGACCACAUUUUCAAUGUGAAAUUUUCUCAACUGGUAAAUGCAGAACUCAGACUGAGGUCCAAGGCUUGUAAAGCUGUUUACAAUCACAUUCUUGCCAUGACAUUGGCGGAGUAUGCAUCUGCUGUAAGUGUUCUUUAUAAGGUUUUUCACAUUUACCUAGAGCUUGUUGUUGUUAUUACUCUUCAGGUUUCACCAUUUUAAUACAAUAACAUUGUAACUAGAUGAGCAGCUUUUUAUUUUGCAGGUUUAAUGUCAGAUUUGACAGAACUUAGUAGUUUGACUUGUCCUAGAUGUGAUGGAAAGACCAAGGUAAUUUAAUAUGGUUUAAUAUGACAUUGUUGCUAAGGUUGCCUGAAGAAUGGAUCCUCAGUACAGUAUUAAAUGGCCAAUCUUCUGAUGAGAUUUUGUGGGCAUAUGCUGCCUCCUCUUUUUAGAUUCUAAACUGGUAAUUAAUUUUUUUUUGACAUGAAAGCAGGGGUUUGAAUUCAUUGAAUUGAUAGUGGGCAUUCAACACUGCUUACGCGCAGAUUAUUUGGUUGCAGUGGCUUACCAAUCUGCAAUGCUUGCGAUGCCUACAUGUUUAAAUUGCAUCUAUUCUAAACGUACAUAUAUGUUACCUGUAGGCAUAAUUGGGGUGGCCAAGGAUCUUAAUGCUGUGAUUAUAGCUUUUAGAGGUGCACAAGAACAUAUGUAUGCAUGUUAACUUUAGCAACUCUUCCCCUUACAUAUGACUUGCAAAGGAUUUGAUGAAAAUUUAAGCUAGGAAGAGCAGCCUCCUGGGAGUGCGUAAACAAGACCCAUGGGUCGGCUGUCCAUAGGAAGGAAAAAAGGGUGAAUCAUUUCCACCAAGAUGCGAAAGUUACCUUCUUGUAAUUUUAGAUUGGUUCAUGAGAAGAUCACAUACUUAACUAAUUUUGUUCUGUGAAAAAUUCUGUCACCUCUCUGUCAUUUGAGCUUUUCAGUUAGUGAUUACUUAUAUUUAUGUCUACAGCAUACAGAAUUGGGUUGAAGAUCUCUACUGGAUAGUGGAAACAGCUUGAUGUACUACCCUGGUAUGCAUGGUGCCCUGGGUAGUUCUAGAGAUGAUAUGCCUCUUGCAAGCUGUGGAUUCUUCUCGUUUGGAUUGAGUUACAGUCUUACUCUAUUGAUUGUUGCUUGGGUUCAUCAUGGAUUUUACUAUACUUCACAAUAUUACAAUUCAACCUGGAAUUUGGAUGCUGUUAUAAGAACCAAGGAUUUAUUAGGGGUGUGCAACGGAAACCGCCCGAAUCGGGAACCGGCUGGACCGGACCGAACCGGUCGGUUUUGGGCGGUUCCCACGGUCGGCGGUCCGGUCCCCGGUUCCUAAUCUUGGAACUGGUGGCCGGUCGGUCCGGUUCCCGGUUUCAAGGUGGGAACCGGACCGAACCGGACCGACCGGACCGAACCAAACUUUUUUAUAUAUAAUUUAUAUACAUAUAAUUAAUAAAACAUAUAAAUAUGAUAACUUAUUGCAACCAAAAUUGCAAUUUGAGGUAGCAACCUCUUAUGUGGCCAAGAGACCAUUAAAAUCCUUUUUAUUAUCUUUUAUUUAUAGAAAAAAUCUCCUUGAUAGUUUCGACGUGGGACUAAGACUUCAAGAGAUCCCAUGAAUCAUACAAGUGAAGUUUGAAUAUUUUGCACGUGGAACACGUGUGAUUAGUUUUGUUGAAUUGCCCGAGAAUCGAAUUGAAUUGAUCAGUCAAAAGCGCGAUCACUCUUUAGUUCUUUAGUGCAAAAAAGUAUAGUUGAUUUUUUUGGACCGGACCGGAACCGAUGGAACCGAUGGUCUGGUCCGGUUCCCGGUCCUAGGACCAAACGGUCCAGUCCACGGUUCGCAAUUUUGGGAACCAGUGCUCCCAGUCCGGUUCCCGGUUCCAAGGUGGAACCGGACGAAACCGGGAACCGAUCACCCCUAGGAUUUAUAAGGUGACAUCAAUGUCAUGGUGACAGAGCAUUCUAUGGGAGGGGCUAUGGCAUCCUUUUGCGGACUUGAUCUUGUGGUAAGAUAGUUAAAAACUGUUAUGGUCUGGACUUGUGAAUUUUAUUGGUUUUUUUUUUUUUUCCUUCUUCUAUCAUAUUCUUCCAAUAUUCAUAUGGUAAUAUGUUAAAGAGUCAACUGGAAUUCUCUGCCAAAUCUGUGCUGAAGAGUCUAGGCUAUUUAUACGGAUCUUGAACUUUCUAAUGCUCUCAUAUUUAUAUUCACAAUUCGUCAUAGACAGCAUCUUGUUUUCUUUCGGUUUUGGUAAGUCAAACCCUAGACAAAACACAAGCCAAAUGGGGUGCAAACAGCCAUUUAUGCUAACCACCAAUUGUUUAAGUAUCUGGCAGUGUGAAUUGAGUCUUACCCAUUAAGCUAUGGAGCUUCAAGUUGGUUGAAUACCUAAUUAUAGUGGAUAAGGUCACUUCAAACUAAUCGUUACAAAGUUUACUUGCUUAUGGAAUUGUUGAUAUGUUUAUGGUCUGGACAUAUAACUUUUUAAAGCACUUGAAGCUCAAGUUUUAUGUCAUGUAAUCUUGAGGUGCUAAUGCAUUUUAAGAUAGAUUAAAUAUCGAUCCUAAAUUUGUGUUUUGUGUACUGUUUCUGUCUAAGUCUCUCUCUAAUCAAAAGAAGCAGCUCCUUUUUAGUAGGACUACAAGGCCAGAUAUGUUGUAGGUUGAAGCCAAUGCUGAGAUGUCUAAAUUAUGCCUUUUCUCUCAGUUUUAUUGGACAGAGUGUUCUAGGGUACUUUUGUAGGCACCUGUUGCACAACUAGUACCAGAAAUGGUGCCCGAUCGAAAUUUAUGUCCCAUUGAUUCUCUUCUCAUUGACAAGUGGUGAUUUUUUAGAGUUAAAUUUUAUCUUGAAGUCUGAUUACACUAAUGUUCUUGUGGCCUAUGAUAGGAUCAUAGGUUGCAUGGACUUUAGACUAUGCCCUUUCUCAAAGUAUUAGUAGCAAGUAUAACAUCUUGUCCUAAAACUUUUAAAUGAUUUAAAAUUUUACUUUUGUUUUCUGGUUUCUUGCCGAAAAUUUUGUCGAGCCAAUUGUGAUGUCAUGCCCAUCUGUUGCAGUCCUUUUUAAGAUUGAGUUUCUCCUUCGCUACUUGUGUCAGUAAGUUUUGUAGUUCAAGGGGCCUUUUCAUCAGGAACCAGGAAUUUUUUGUUUUUGUUAUUAGCAGGAUGUGACUAAUUCCACCAACAUCCAAGUGCUUCUUGUGGAAGCAAUUAAAUGUGCUUCAGUUGUAAGUUUGCGCCCAAUCCCACUAUUCCAUAUCAGUAACACCUUUUUGUGGUGCUGAGGGUGGGUUUGGUUUUGUUGCGUGUGGGGUUUGGUGUUGGGAAACUUAUGGAUGGGAUCUUGACAGAGUUAACGCUAGACCUUCAACCCUUAUGGAGACAAAGGGCUGUUCUAUUGUUCACCUUUGUAUGUGAAAUGCAAUAUAUGUUUAUUGAUGCAUAGUGUUUCCUUCCCGUCUUGAAAUGGCUAUUGAUGUAUUAACAUUCAAUUUAUUUGGGUGUCUAAUUAUUUGUGCUGAAGCUGUCUUUUCCAGACCAGCAUUCACUUGAUUUACUUAUAUAACCGAAACACUUUAUUUCCUGGUUAAUCAUGAAGCACGGAAUAUUCAAGUUUUAACAUUUGGACAACCUUGUAUUGGCAAUGCAGUGUCUGCGUCUUACUACAGUGACCGCGUAUCAAAAACAUUACGUAUUCCUGCUGGACAAGAUGUUUUGUCUCAGUUGCCUCUAUACUAUUUUCGGUUCCCACAGAAGAUGAAAUGUCAAUUCCCUAGAGAGUUAUGGCGUUGAUCUUGACAGAAUAUCAAAUUUAUGGGGAAUUGUCGAUGACUGAAUUUGAGGUUUGCUUCACAUUUCUUUCAUCCUGUCUAACAAGUGAAGUAUCAUAUAUUCCGGCAUCGUAUGUACUCUCUCUUUUUUUAGCAUAUAAAUUAUGGCUAUCUUAUUUGUUUUUCUUGUUAACUAAGGAGGAUGGUUCGUAGGACUCAUUACCUCUUAAAAAUGUUUAACUCUCAUUCCUGCAAAAGCCAUCAUGAGUUUUGCAUAUUGAUUCCAAAGUUUAAGACAUGUAAUAAUGUUUACUACUCUCUCUCUCUCUCUCUCUCUCUCUCUCUCUCUCUCUCUCAAAUUCUGUAUGUCUACUAAUGCAUAUAGUUAUUGGUGACUAACUCAAAGACAGCCACAGAUAAACAUAUUAAUGAAGUUAACGUCCUCCUACAUGAAGCAUUGGGAUCGACCAGUUUCAGAUUCAGACAAAAUAGCAAUUUAUAAGGUAUCUCAAAUAAAUCACUACGCAGUAAAUUGACAAAACAAUGAUCUUGGAAUUUAUAUGAAUUGACUUGACCUCACUAGGCAAGUUAAUUUGCAAUUCAAAGCCACCGAAACAUCUAAACCAAACCAAAACAAAACAAAGAAGAUCUGAACAAAGGUACUUGUAGAACUAUAUCACUAGUCAACAUGCAAAGUGCACAUAAAAGAAGAUUCACAUAAACCUCUUUGUAUUCAUAUGUAUAACAGAAUAUGAAGCACUUCUUAUCAGAAAAAAAGUACUCAACAAGGCAAGCGUCCAAUUUUUCUUUUCUUCCCCAGAAAUUUGCCAAGUUUGAUCAAGCAACUCCAUAAUGUACUGAGCUUCCAAAUGUCCCGUGGUGGAUGCCUGUUCGCUUUAAUUUCUUCCACAUUGAUACAUUAGAAGAAACUACAGGAUACAGUUGCUGGAGAAGAUAAACAAAUUGUGCGGCGAUUCUGGUCAACCAAAUUAUCACAAUGGUGCAAAUGAAAAGCCACUAGUUUCUUCAAGCCACUUAGUCGGCCAAUCUGUCCAGUGGGUUGGGUUCAUUCAGCUCCAAAGUUCUAAGAUUCUCCAGACUUUCAAGGCCUCAAAUCUCUAUAAAUAGUUUCCUUAAGUUUGAUAGGUCUAUUGGUGUAUGCAUUGACCAUAAAUGCCUGAUACACAUGGACGGUAAACUUGAGGGUAACCUUGGGAGGCACCGCAGACAUUCUCGCUAGAGUUCAGGUCUCUUAAGAUGAGAAACCUGUUCUAUAUUUGGUGAUAAAGGUCGUCAUUAUUGAAGAGGACAACUCUAAAGACUCCAAUUUGUGUAACCUCCUGAUCAACCGUGGAUAGAAUCUUUCACAAGCUUUUCAACUGGGUGAAGAGAAUUUCGGCUUUCCCGGGACUAAUCCCUUGAGCUUUUAAAGUUUGGGAGACCAGAAAUGCCAUCAUCAACUCAGUAGGACUGUGCAGACAGGCAAGACUUUCUGGGAGCCUGGUACUUGGUGUAUCUCAGCACAUGUCAAUUUCAAGAUCCUACAAGAUGAAUAUCUCCAGAUAUCAUUGAAAUUUCUAUUAGCAAAUUUUCGCUAAGCUCUGCAUCUUCUCAGCACAUGUCAAUUUCAAGAUCCUACAAGAUGGCAGAGAAGCUCAUGUUCAGUACGUUCAAAAGUUUUAUGUUCCUUACCAAACCAGGCAACUCUUCUAUGUCCAUGUUCGAGAUCCAGCUCAGCAAGUGAUUCCAAAAUCCACAUCGAGUCUAGUAGCAUCUUUAUCGAUUUGCAGUUUCUCAAAGACUGGUGUCCAAAGCUUACAAGGGAUACAGUUGAGUUGGGAAACUCCACGAUCCCCAGCUCCUUUCAGAGCAAGCCUUGAUAGGGAAGUUAGGUGACUGAUUGAAGGUUUCAUAGUGAGUGAGGAACGAUGGCAAGCGCUGAGAAUUUGUAGACUCUUCAAUCCUUGGCAUUCAGGCACAUGCUUUAUUGAUGUCCCAUCAUAUAGUUCUCUCAAUCAUUACAUUUUAUAAGGCUCCUUUGGGAGCUGGCGGAGAGUCUUGCAGAAAUUCCAAUUUAAUAAAACUAAGUGCUGUAUCUUAUUGAUAGACCUAUCAAUCUGGACGAAGAUUUUGCAUUUCUUGGAUCAAUCUUUCUAAAUUCACAUGUACCUGAAAUCUACCAUCUAACAGCACCAUUUUGACAUCGAAAGAUCCACCUGAUCUAACUGAAUUGAAGACAUACAGCAAUCCCUUUUAAGGCAGAAGUUCAUGUCCACUUUCCAUCCCAUCCUGAUGUUUACCCGUUAAAACCGGCAUGCGAAUCGAACAAAGUUAACGUCAAGCAAAGUAGUCAACACAACAUUUCCAAAAUCAUGCACCGCAUACCAAUUGGUCUGAAGUUCACACCAGCAGCUCCUCCAAUACUUUAGAUCGUGUGAGGUCGUGUGAGAUCCUCCGUGAGGUACUCACCGAGAUACCCAAUGGUAAAUUCAUUUGCUACUAAAUAUACGUGAUGGACCUUUUUUAGCUUUCUUCUGCUUGUUUCAUCCUUUUAUUCAAUCAUUUCACCAUUGACGUUGAUCCAUGGUUUAUAGCAGCAUCAUUAUUCGGACUGCCCUCUCCAGUGAUCUUACCGCUCUCAGUAUUCUCUCGAAGAAAUCUUGGAACAGAACAGUAGAAACAACAAUGGUAGCAACUGUCACCACACAGGGCAACCUCAAGUGGUCAAUCGUUUUGCACUAGUACAAGUGGUCAACCUCAGUAGAAACAACAAUCGUCGAGCUGCUAAUGCUCCUCCUCAAAGCCAUUGGACAGGGCCUCGUCGGAUGAUGGCUGCUGCUUGAGGGUUUCGCCAUAGCGUUGCUAAGAACCCAUUUCAACGGAUCGAUCAAUCCAUCGAUUGAGGUCGUCACUACUUGCUCUAGAGAAUCAGAAAGUGCACAUUCUUGACGUUAUCACCAUACCUCGAAAUGUUAAGUUUGAGUUGUUGCUGCUCAGUCCAUCCGUACAUAAAUUAGUCUAUUAUUGUAGUCCCAUUAGCAUGUUAGAAGCCUGAAAGUCUUUCCAAAUGAGGUAUCAAAUGCCCAAGACACUAGUCAAAAGUUCGCUCACGACAUUAUUCAAACUUGGGAACACGGGAAAACCAGUGUGAUUUUGUUGUCAUCGGGUUACCACGCUUGGAAGUGGGUUGUGAAUUUUAAAGUGAAUGAGCAUUGUAUGAGCUUGAUAAAAUAAUGACCGGUGAAUUUGACAAAGGUCAAAUGAGUGAUUGAUUUAUCUAUACUACCGAUAAAAUUAGAAGAUUUGAGGGAUAAGUAUAUUAAGAGUGUAAUAACUUUUGUAUGACGCUUACUUGAGUGCUAUAAUUUUUUUUUCACUCAUUUAAAUGGCACAAGUUUAAGCAUCUUGCACUUGGAUGGCUGUUUGAAUUCUUGCCCAAGGAUUUCAUAUUACCAGAAAAUCAAUGUUCUUAACAGAAAAACGAAAGAACAAAAGGGAAAAACAAAAAAAAGGAAGCAUCUCUGCCUAUAAAAUGCAUAAUCAAAAGAUAUCCUUCCAAUGCAGGUAAAUGAAAAUUAAAACCUAUCACUCUGAAGAACAACAAUUAACUCCUUCAAGAAUAAGCUGAACUAGCAUCAUCCUCAUUAUUUUCCACUCGUACACCAAAAUAAUCAACUAAGUGAUAACAAAAACUCAAGUACCAGCUGUUCUGGUCUUUACCAAAAAAAAAAAAAAACUCAAGUACCAGAUAAUAGAAAGUAGGUAGUGCAGCACAAUAACACAACAUUACGUAGACUUAAAAGGUUAAAUGAUUACCCAAUCGAAGCUAAACAGAAAUUAAACCAAAAAAGAAAAAAAAUGUGCACGAGAAACAGUUCUGAGAAAUAUGCACAGGAAUGCUGAAAUCUUUAGCAACCUCCUCCUGAAAAAAUACAGCGGUUUUGUUGUCACUUGGUUUGAUUCCUGUUGGAAAAAUCCUCGAAACUAUCAACAGAGAAGACUAUCCCCAGAGAUGGCCAAAAGCUAGUUUGCUAGACAUGGCGAUACUGUUUCGAUAGGAUAUUGCAGCGUAAUUUGACUGUGACAAAGUCAACGAUUCCUGGUACACACUGUCCAUUCGUUUCCAAUGUACAGCCAAACAGCAGUGUGGUUUUGUGUUUUUCAGCAUCUAAUGCACAAUAUGAUAUACGGUUCAUCAGCGAUUUCGUGGAUGAUUCCGACAAUUUAUUUUCAAUAAUCUAACCACAACAAUUGAGAGUCCACUGGGCAAGAAUGGACACAAAACAUCAGAUUCCUAUGUAAUUAAUCUGUCAAAAUUAGGACAGGCACAUGCCCACAUUGUCAGGCAUCUCAGAGAUAAAGAUGGCCACUAUUAAUGAUUGUUCGAUAUGUGUUAGCACUAGGUCCAAGCUCAUCAUAGACUGCAAUUUAGUAAAAAAGAAAUGGCUCCUCAUAUCUAAGCACGAAAAUAGGUCCUUUAUGUGCUGCAAGAGUCUCAAAAUUUUCCCUGUCAAGGACUUGCAGACAUUUGAGACCAUUAGUCUAUAGGAAUUCCAAGUUCAGAAUAAAAUACCAAUACACUGCUAUUCAUUUGAUGUCUCAAAACAAAAAAUAAAGCGCCAAUAUUGUGGUCAUAUUUCAAGUUUAGCUCAACUUUUAGUUGCAUUUGAACAAGUAUAUUUGUUUUGAGUCCUUUAAAAUCUAACUCCAUGACUUUGUCAUUAUGAUUUGAUCAUGUGAUUCAAGGUCCUCUUGUUUUCAACUUUGUCUUCUGAUGAGUGUAAAACCACAAGGCGAUAGCAACAAGGGGAGUGAUGUAGGAACAACGAUCAUCCCCCAACGCACACAUGACAAAUCCUAUAAAUUCCAUCCAGUAGCUCCAACCCUUGAGUCUGUUCUCUGUUCGACAAUUUUUGGUGUUGAGAACGGAACUACAUCACUGUAAUUUUACGUAACUAAGGUAUAAAAGCUGCUUAAGAUUAGUUAUGGGAUUCUCGCAAUGCUGCUUCUUCGAUUCAGUUGCUCUUUGCUACUUCUCCAGUUGCUAAAUGAGCCACAACUUCCUGCAAAGAAAAAUAUUUCCAUUAACUUGUUAAGAAUUAACCAUCUCAAUCAGAAAACCAGCUCAAAAAGUCCGUCUGAGAUGUUUGUACCUCUUGGUCUUCACGUCGAUGUUUAAUGCGCAGUAAAUGUAUCAAAAUCAAUGGAAAAGAAUGGGUUGUGUAGAUUAGCGUGAAUAUAAUCCGCGUCAAGACAUAUGUCUGCGAACCUGUACGCGUGAUCUUAUGAUCCCGAAUACAUGUAUCUAUUAUUCGAACUCAGCAGUUAAAUUCUCAGAAGAUUCAUUCAAGUACCUCAUCAGGAGCAGAGUCAUUUUCCUUCUUCCUCAAUUCCUCUUCCUUUUCCAGUCCAGUUGGAUUCUUCUCUUCCACCACCACUUUAUCAUACUCGCCCUCCUUCACCUGUUCAUGCCUAGGCAAGUUGUACUCGGAGGAGAGGCCCUCAGACACGAUCCCUUCCGGCACUUCCUCGUCUCUUCUGGGAGAGAAGUAACGAUCCGGCAAGUCAUGGGAUGUGAACCUCCCUGGUUCUGCCUCAUCCUCUUCUACUAGCGGUUCUGUCUCCGGCUCUUGCUCCUGCUCAAUCUCCUUUUCUUCCUCUACACGCUUCUCUUCCUCUCUGUCUUCAUCCUCGGCCUUUGUUUCUUCUUCUUCUUUGUUCUCUUCUUCUUGUUCAGGCUCGGGAUGUUCAGUUAUGUCCUUAACAUCAGCCGCAGUUCCUGUACCCUGGCUCACCGCAUUAUUGAUUUCUUGUUGCACGAGUAAUGCCGCGCCAUUCCCAAUUGCUUCCAUCUGAGGAAACGUUCUGUUCCACUUGUUUGUUCUUCUCGGGAUUGGUGCUCGAAACUCCUGCUUUCAGUAAUGGUGUUUCCGGUGGCAACAGCAUGCUUCGACUCCGCGCAACGCAUUUUCGUAAAAGGAAACGUCAAUGGAAAGGAAUUAGAUUGGGGUAUUGAUUCUCUCUCCCUUUGUGCAUCAGAUUGAAAUGACUUUUCGGCUUUCGUUUUCCUUGGCUGUUGCAGUUUUGAUUUGCUGAAGCGGGUUGUAUCCGUGGUUGACAAAAGGAAGGAGUUUUUUCUGUUGUGGAUUGAGGGUGGAGAGGAGACAGUUGCAGCUUAAGUUAAAAAGGGGAGUUUCUCCCUCCAAUCUAGAAAACGACAAUUCGUUUCUUAUUAUCGGUGGGGUUUUCCUUUCAUUUUUCCAACCCAACCUUAGUUCAAUGAAAAAACAUACUUUAGAAUUAACACAAUUCAAUAUUGAAAAGACCGAAUUAGUCCUACUCAAAAACUUAUUUAAGUCUCUCGCUCCAUGUUUGAGCAAUUUAAUUUUCAAUUGAUUUUGAGUACUUUUGAUGGUAAGACUUUAGGACUUGUGGAUGGACUUUUUUAAGAGAAAAUGACAAUUCUUUUAUACAAAGGAACACAAGGUUAAUCGGCAUAGAAAUGCUAAAAGUGAGGUAUGUUUUUGAUGUUUUAUAAUGUCAAUCGACCACAUAAACCAAAAUUCAGAUGGUCGUGAAAUAUGAGAUUGUUUGCACUUAAUCUAAUCGAAAAUUGAGCUUACCUAAUUUUUCAAAUUCACAAAUAAAUCCUUUCAUGAACCAUUAAAUCAAAAUUGAUCAAGAGUAAGUAUGUCAAAAAGUGAGAUAUCGCAAAAAGAUGAAUUAUAAUCAUGUUAGCAAACAAAUAAUCAAAGUAUUACCAAAUAAUCCCACAAAUGCUUUACUUCCCGAAUGGAAUUUAAAUUUCUCUCAACUUGCCAUAAUUUUUUUUUCUUAGGCUAAAUAAUAAGCAUCUCCGAACAUAUAUCCUCCCAUAUAAUAUAUAAUUACCCUAUCUUUCUUCCAUUUCGAGAGUGUCGUUUGCAAAAGUUUUUAUGAUUGUUCCGCACCGUAAGUGGCCAUGGACGCCGCCACAGGGGAACAUUACCGUAUUCCCUUCUUCCUCCUCGUCGGAGCCGUGCACGCCGCCGCCGCCGCCGCGAGAGCUCGCAGGCUCCGCCGCAUUCUCAAGCCUCCGAUUCAUGUCGGCUCGGCUGGAUUCGUCCCUCCGAAUGACCACCGAGUCGCGGAAUGCGCUCGGAUUCGUGCGCAAGCAUGUCGAGAUCGCAGCUCCCCCUCCUCUGCUGCUCAGUCCCUCGGUUUUCGCAGGUAGCGUGCUUGUCGUCGUCCGUUAGGCUUUUCUUUUUUCGCUGCUGAGGAAUCUCGACGUGGAUUGUAGAUGCCAGACUGAUGGGUUCUUGGUCAGUAGGGGGCCUUCUUUAGGUUGAGUUUGAUGUCUAGAUAUGGGGCGGCGGGUGGAGAAUUUGAUGAUUGAUGAGGAAGUCUGAAUAACUUAUUCGAGGGAUGUGUACCUGGUGGUGCAGUCGAGUUGAAGCGGAGGGAUGAUUAUGCUGUCGGGAUCGUGCUUGUUGAUUGAGACGCCGUAAUUUUCAUCGUGUUUGCUUCGUAUAUUUGAUAUUGGAGACAUGAUUCUGUAAUAGAAUGAAUCGCGUCGAAUUGUUUCUUCUAGUCUAGCGCUUCAUGUUCUUCAAUGUCGGUUCUGGGUUGAAUUAGUUUGUUGAUACAAAACGGAGCUGCGUUUCUCUUGGCAGUAUAAGGUUUUGAUGCGACCGUCGUUGGAACUCACAGGGCCAGUUCGUGGCAACAGAUUGCCUGCUUCCCCUUGUUCGAUAAUUUCUAGUUUACCGUAUUCUUCUGAAGCAAGUGCUGAAAUGGAGGAACCCACAGGAUUUUUUGCCUUUUUCCAUAUAAUGUGUGUCUUGACACAUUGUGGAGUUCUUUUUCCGAUAUUUGGUUCUUGUAAUAUCAUGCAGAGACCGUGAAGGAGAUGUAUGAUAAAAUUCUUGAGUCCGCUAAUAUGAAAAGAACAAUGGCUCCAAACGCAUGGACGUGGUCGAUGAUUGAAAAUUGCAAGAACAGAGAGGAUAUCAGAGCUUCUCUUUGAUGUCUUGCAGAACCUACGCAGAUUUGUCAGUUGACUUCUUGCUCCAUUUGAGAAAUAAAGUUUUGAUUUGUGACUAGUUGAUAAAUCAAUUUGUUUUUUUCUUUCAUCGCAGAGAUUGUCAAAUCUUCGUAUUCAUGACUGCAACCUUUGUCAGGAAGUCACAAAAGCAUCUGUGCGUGCAAGGGCUCUUCAUUUUGGUGAGCUCUAUCUACACAAGUUGUGUGCCAAGUUCAAAAAUUUUGUAUCUUGCUAAUAUAUUUACCUGAUACUUCUUCUGCAUUCGAUUGUUGCUACUUACCCUAUCAUUAGCACAAUCAUUUUGUCGUAUGUUGUUGGUUCUCAAAUGAUCUUUUUACCUCAAGCCUUUCAUGCUUGGAGAACAUACUCAGCUGCUUAUGAAAUUUUUUUACCACCCCGCUGGUACUGUUAGCUAGUUAUGCUUUCGUGUUUUUUUCUUUUUUCCCUUGAUCCGUCAAUUAUGUAAACCAGAAUUUUUUCCUACACGGAUGCUACAUGUGUAUCAAGCAUGGGUAUGGAAAUGACACAACACAUAUAACAUAUUCAAGAAAUAGUUUUUCAUGUUUGAAUGUGUAAAGGCACAUUCAAUUUAAAGUACUUAGGACAUUGUUAAAUGUGUAUUAACUUGUCUUUUGUGAGUAACAUGUUAACCUGCUUGACACGCUGCAAUGUGUUUAAGUAGUUAGAAGGGUCAAUUUAUUUUACAUGUACAGACUUGUUAACUCGUUGAUGACUUGGACAAUAUUAAGCUCAGUCCAACUUAAUAUGUGUCAAGCACUUAUUCUUUAAAUAGGUCUUUUUGCACAUUGCUGGCUCUGUAAGACUGAUUUCUUGAAUGACACCUCCACUUCAAGUUAUUGAAUUCAUUAUUGAAGCUUAGCAAAGAGCAUUCACUUUUUUUUUUUUGGUCGAAAAGAGCAUUCACUUUUUGCAGACAUGUUUUUAUGAACAUUAAGCUUCAGUAGUUAUCAGUUCGAGCUGUUUCUAGUAAUUAAGCUCUUGAUAAUUUUCAAGAAAAAUAAAUCAAAUCAAACUGCAGUUCCAUGGUGUAACUCAUUUUAGGAGAUUGCAGCAGUUAAUUGUCACUAGGAGUACAUGAUUUAAUCAGAACUGACAUCUGUAAAUCCUUAUUUAGGCUAAGAAAUUAAAUUGCAUGGUGCACUUAAUCCAUGAUGAUAGAAACUAAGGGUUGACAAAAUUGUAGGUAAGAAGGCCUUGUGGGAGCAUAAUGUCUAUGGAUUCACCCCUACAAUUGGCUCUGCAAACCAUCUUUUGGUAAUGAUGAAGUGUAUCUUUAUCAAGCAAUUCUCUUUCCAUUCGUUUUAUUUACACAAUUCUUCUGCUAACUUGGGGUAUUGCAAUGCAGAAAUAUGCUAAAGAGUGCUAAAGAGCACAAAGAUGCUACCCUCAUGCAGGAAGUUAUGAAGCUUUUGAAGAGGAAUAACUUGCCAUUGCAACCCACCGUGGCCGAUAUUGUUUUCAGGUUCACUUCUGUGCUGUUUCUCCUGAGAAGGAUGUUAUUAGCAUGUAGUAAGCCAUUAUUGCACUUAAUUGUGUGUUAUGUACUACAUAGUUAUCAAGCAAUUUGUCCAAUUUAUAAGUGUCAUUUAUAUACGAUUUAAUCAACUUGUUUUUAUUUGAAUCAUUUUGUCUACACUGCUACUCUCGAUCUAAUAGUUUGCUCAUGUUAUUUGACAUCCUUUCUUUCCAUGGAAAAAUUUUGCAGCAUUUGUGACGAUACAGACAAUUGAGGGUUCCUCACAAAGUAUUCAAAGAGAUUUGUCAAAAAUGGAGUGAAUUUGCAUAAAGCUGCAUUCGACAUCUGGAUGGAGUUUGCUGCAAAAGUAGGUGAGAAACACUAGCUCUGUCUCCCUUCGCUGCUCUCAAGCCCUUGUCCCUCAACAAUCUUAUUUUCCAUUUCUUCCCACAAAUAGUUCUCUCAUCCAGGGCCCGCCACUUACUGCAAAAGAUGGGAUGUGCUCUUCUGUACAAUGAUUUAUUUCUCUCCUUAAACAAAAGGGUAGAACUUAGAAAUAAAAAGAAUUCUCGCUGCGCUGUGUCCUUCAAUGUCUUUGUUUCUUUAAUUGUUCUGAGAUUAUGCUUCUUUAUCCUAUUUAGUGGUUUGACGAAAAUUACCCUUUUCAGGAGACAUUGAAUCUCUAUGGGAAACUGAGAAGUUAAGAUGUGAGUCCAUGAAGCAGCACACCGUGGGCAGUGGGUUCUCAUGUGCGAAGGUAGUUUACAAUCGCAGACUGUUGAAAUCACAAAUAUCAGACCCUGAAAGCAAUAGGUCUUCUUGCAUUAGAAAAUCUGAUAAUGGGAAAAUAUUAAUAUUGCAAUACAGAUCAGUACAAAGUUCUUGGUAAACCAGGUGAGAGGUCUAUGGCCGAAAAAAGCGAGAGUUAAUGAUUGAAUAAACCAAAAUUUGGCUCACAUCCUAGGACAUGAAGCACCUAUGGGCAUGAGAAUGCUCAUUGUGAUCACACAAAGGAGAUAUAACUACAUUUUCGGUAUUUGGAAGCAUUUAUUGUGGCUUUUAGCACUCUGGUUUAAGAUUAAAUUUUUAUCGUCAUUUACUUGUUUUGUGGCAAACUAAAUGGUUUUAUAACCAAUUUUUUGUGCAGGGAUAUUUACUUGAAGGCGAACCUGAGGAGGCUGCUACAGUCAUUCACGUCUUCAAUCAGGUGCUCCUCACUUCUCAGAGCAUCUAUAGCUAUUAUUAAUAUGCUCAUCAUCACCAUCUGGCAUGAUUGCAAUCCUAAAUUACCUCAGCCUCUGAACUAGUCCUUCAAUUUUCCAUAUACUGUCAAGGAAUAAAGCAAUUAGUGGAAGAUAUACAGAAUUGUCCCCCAAAAUGUGCUCAGAUAAAAUUACCAUGACAUAUCCUCUCUCAAGGGGGACUGGAUGAUUUGGGUUUCGUAUUUGGUGCAUGCUAUACUAUUAAAAUAACUUGAGUUAGUUCCAUGGAUCCUAAUAGAGUUCGAAAGAUCAUCUCAGACUCCUCCUGAAUUGAAUAAAGUUGGAAAUACACGUAUGUAGGCUCUGUUUGUUCAGAUGUCGCUUCUUAGGUCUCAUAAUGUGAAUGCCUUGGAUUGAUGCCAGAGUUUUCCUGAUGCUAAGAGGUCCAGCAUCAUGGUUGAACUUCAAAAGCUUGUCAGUGAGUGGCUUUUCGAGGUUAUCAAACGGAAGAAAGAAUAUGACCACAAGGUACUUCCUUUGACUAAAUAUCCAUCACUUUGGGUAGAAGUAGAAAUAUUGCUUGUUUGCAGUUAUAUAUUGCUCUGGUAGAGAUAGAAAUAUGGCUUGUUUAAAACCUCUCAUUCUUUUCGCUCAUGUAGGCAUUGGCUGCUUCUCUCAAAUCCGAUAUCCUGGCCUUGGUGGUGAAAGUGAAUACGGAACAACUAACCACCGAAGGCACCCUUUGUUAAAGUAUGACAGAAUUGAGAUUGAAUGCACUAGCUGCAGAUCUGUCUCCUAUGUGGACUGCUAAGGUUGCCAUGUUAAUUUCAACCGAUUCCGCUGAGAAGCAAGACAAGCGCGGUACUCACGUCUCGAGCAACAGGCAUCUGAAGUUCUCUUGUGAAGGUCCCUGAACCAUGAAAAGAUCUGCUCCUUCUUGAUUUGAAUGUUGUCACUUCUGUACUUUCAGAUAAUGAUUCUUUUCUUUUCUUUCCCCUAAAAAUCUGAGUGUAUUUGAGACGAUCGGUGCAUCAUCAGCAAUUGAAUUCUGAGAACAACCUCGGAUGACUAGUUUUUGCAAAAAGGAUUCUUUUGGCUCACGCAUUUUAGAUGGGACCAAAUGGACAGUUAAGAGAGACAAUUGAUAAGGUGGUCCUUUCAAUUUCCAUCUGAUUUAGCAGGCUAUUUUGUCAUAUUUCUGACAGAAUUUCGCUGUCCAAAAUUAAGAGAGUGAAUUUAAUGCCGACUCAUUUGAUGUUGGCAUACAGCGACCGCCAUUGCUUCCUGAUUUAAUCGGAUUGAACUGUCCAAUCGUGCUGCAAGAGUGCAUAACAUAAAUUACAUCCCUUUUUACAUCAUGAAAGAUAACGAAAAACCUGAAUUAUCGGAAAUGGCUUUGGUACCCACAUGCGUAGGUUUGUGCAUAUAAGGCGUAAAAGAGGUGACAAACGCAAUCCUCUAGAAUUAAAACAUGUGCAUUAAUCAUGUGCAAAUUUUAGUAAUGAAUUGACAUAAUUGUAAUAGGUGUGAGAUUUUUUUGGUAAUUUUUUUGUAUUUUCGCUAUUAAUACCUAAAUUUUUGCAUAAAAAAUGAGUUAAUUUUUUACCCCAAAAAAAUAAAAAUCACAUGGCGUAUAGUUUAGGUACAUUUAUUUUUAAUUUGCAUUUUUUGCAUUUAUUUAUUGAACUGACGAUGAGCGCAAGAUAUUUCACAUAUUCAAAUAAUAUACACUAAGGGAUGUAUAUUGGGCAAAAAUAAAAUUUUCGGAUGAAAUAUUUGAAAAAUAUCGCGUCGGGUGCAUAUAUUUCGAAUGAUAUAUUCAGGAAAUUAUGCAUAACCAAAAUUGGAAACAAAAUAUGCCAUGGGAUCUAAAUUUUUCCUCUAUAAAAGGCGUUGUGCGCGUACGGACGAAGGGGGGCAACAGUGUCGUCUUCUUCGUGGACCCCCUGUCCACGUCGGCCCCACGUUCACCUCGCCGGCACCGCCUUGGCCAGGCACCGCCUUCGCCACUACGAUUCUGCCACCGCCGCUUCGCCGUACUCCCCGCGAAGCUAGCCGCGACGACCCCACGCCGGCAGAUCUGAGCUGAGCUCGCCUCUGCUCGCGAUUAGCCCCUGACGUCCCCUGAUCCAGCCGCGACCGACGCCAGCCGAGCCCCACUCGCCGUCUCUGAGUCGCUCCCCUUCUGCGACGCCAGCCCCCGCUGCGCUCCGCCUCGCCUCCAGCCCGUGCCGGCCCUCGACGCCGCUGCUGCUUCCCGACGCCAUCAGAUCCAGCGGCCAACACAGCCCCGUCACCCGCAUCAGUCCGUGCACCGCACCUCACGCCCGAGCGAUCCCCCCGACGCCGGCAGAUCCCAAGCCGGUCGCUGCUCGUCUGCUUCGCCGUCGUCGCCACCACAGCAAGUCGCUGCCCACCGACCGACGUCUCUGAUCAGCGCCCGACGUCCGCUCCACCUCUGCUCCGACGCCGCUGCUGCCCCUGCAACGCCCCCUCGUCGGUGCCCUGCUCCGCCGGAGUCCCUCGCCGGCGUCUGCCCUCACUGCCCGCGCCGGACGAGCUGCUCGCUGUUGAUCCCUUCGCUGGAGUUCCGAACGGCGGCCAAAAUUUUUUAAAAAUAAAAAAUAAAAAAAUCAAAUUAGGUAUGUUUGCUUCAUUUUAUUAGGCAAGUUUGUUUUUAUUUUAUUUCUUGUUUACUUAUUUGCAAUAUUUUCCUAUGCAUAAUUAGAAUACCACAUAUCAUCUUAUUCGCAACCACACCUGGAUUUUUUAUUUUAUCUAUAAGGUUUUAAAGCCUUAUAAUUAAUCAAGCGGAAAUAAAAAGGCUUAAGAUCAAUUUAUCGAUUUUAUUAAUAAAAUAUUAUCCACGAUGUUUGAUAUUUUUGAUUUUGAAUGGCUUGUCUUGAUUACUUUAUUUUUAUUUAUCUUGAAAUAUGUUUGAGUUAGAAUAUUGCAUGCUUUAGGGUUAUUUUGCAUGUUUAGGGUAGGAACUUUAUUAUUUCGAAUUUUUAAAAAUAGAAAAUACCAAAAACAUAAAUUUAGGAUAUUAGAUUUUCGUUUCACUGAAUUAAGUUGUAUGUUUAAUUAUUUGCUAAUUUUGAUUAAAAAAAAGGAGCAAAAAAAAAACAAAAAAGAAGAAAAAAUUAGAAUGAGGCAUCCUUUGCACGUCAUUACAUAUUAGGAUAGUUUAAUUCUAGAAAAUAUUUUAUAAGUUUAGAUGAAUUACAUCUUAGGUUAGAGAUUGCUAAGUUAAGAUAAUAUCUUAGUUUAAAUUAGGGUUUAGCCUGACCUAAUCCUUAAUAUAAGUUAGAAUCUUAAUUUAGUUAGAUAAUUUUCACAUUUUUCUAAUUUCGAAUUUCAUGAAAAAUACAAAAAGUGUCUUAGGAUAAAUUAGUUUCAAUCUUUAGGAUAGGUUGAAUGCUUUUUAAGAAAAUAGAAAAUGUCAUGUGCAUGCCAUAUAAAAUUGGGUUCAUGAAAUGCAUGUUACUUAGUUAUUGUGGUUAGAUCCAUUUAGCUAUAAAUUACAUGUGAUUAGGUUAAAUUGCAUUGCAUUGCAUGACUCUGAAAACGAAAAAAAAAAUUGCAUGUUAAUUUUUUAUUUUUAUUUUUCGGCGUGUUAAUUAGAAAUCAUAUUUAGGGUUGAUGUGAAUUCUUAUCUAACAACCCAGAUGCUUUCGUUACUAAAAGAUAGUUCCGUAAUUUAUUCAUUAUUUUCUUAGAUGUUAAAUUGGUGAAUUGCGCACCCGCAUGAUCACCUCACAUGUUAGGAAAAUCGAUUUAAAAUUAAUCCAAAGCUGCCCGCAAAAACAUUUUUGAAUAUUAAAAAGAAAUUGUACCGAAAGGACAUUAGAAAAAUCUAGUGUAAUCAAGUUUCCAUACCAUUAGCCUCUAGUUCGUAGGACAAUUAUUUUACCUAGGUAUCUAAUCGACUUAUCGAAAUCUGAUUAGUGGCGACUUCUAGAUAAUAAUUAUUUGCAUGUUAAGAGGUUUGAACUUAAGUCACGAAUUGAUAUGGGCUUGAGAGAACCCAAGUUAAAUCUAGACUUAACAAUCCAUUAGUCAAACUCUAGAUGGUUCAGCCUCUAAAUUUUGGUCACAACAUUCACUCAAAAAUUUAGGAUUACAAUCAGAAUGUAUAGGACUGAAUUUGAAUUUAUACAAUAAGCUUACAACUGAAUUGCAAUUCUCCCAACUCAACACCUACACUUAUAAUAAGUUUUUUUCCUUUUAAUAAGAGGCUUCGGAUAUAAGAACUUAACAGGGUACGUCAUGAGAGAAGGAUGUGAUGAAAUGUACCAUCGUGCAUUUCUUUGAAGAUAUAAUGUAGUAAUGCAAUCUCGAUGGAUAUUCCUAAGAACUCACGAGAAGACAACUCCCAGUAACAACGAGGUACAAUGGAAAUGAACAUUCAAAGCCCAAGAUUAAUCCGGGGAAAAAUGGAAAAGUUUGGAACAACAAACUUUGAUUUACAUAACAUGAAGUAAGAACGACGUGAUAAGUGAAUUCAAGCAUCCCGUGGAAUUCUAUUAGCACUGGCAGCCUCUACUGAUUCCUGUUCUACCACAACUUUAGUCCUCGAAGGCCGCUCGUUGGGAGUCAUUUGGAGGCAUUGUAAAGCAAGCUGUGCUAUUUGGAAUGCAUAAUCUAUAUAUGUAAGGUAUAGGGAUGGUAUAAAUUUGGUUCUCAUUUCCUGCAGGCCGCCAACAUCGUGAGCCACUAGCUUCUUCCAAAAUAUCUAGUGUUUCUUUUUCGGUAAUUGGAGCAUCUGCAGAAAUGAAAAGUUAUGUAGGCAAUACAAUCGUAGAUUCCAUGCCAAAGGAUUUAAGUAGCUAAAAGGAAAACACACCUCGUAUUUCAUAGAGGGAUUAUAGUGAACCUCACACCAGAAACUCAACCAAAACUCUGCAUCAAUUGAAAGUAAGGUUAAUAAAAGGAAAAACUCAAAAAAUAUGGAGUUUCAAAAGACCAGUUGCACAUUGAACAAAAGCAACAGUAGAUCAAUUGCAAAUGUUUACACCUAGGUUUAAAAUCAAUCAAAUAUAUAUUAAGCCGUACCCAAGCAGCUGUUCUAAGCAAGCAAAAGAACAAAUAUUUAAUUUCCUAAAUGAACAACAAGCAAAGCAUUGCGAAGGAGGGUCUAUGCGUAUAUGUAUGCAAGCAACACAAGCAACACUCUUUUUUCCAAGACAAAUGAGAAGUAAAAUAUCAACUUCACAUUGAACAUUGCACCAACUGAUCAUUUGACCCGACAAAACAACUAUGAAGAAGAAUAGCAAGCAAUACCCUAGGCAGAGGGAACUCAUAAAUCCAAUGGCCCAACAAUAAUCAAGUUAUCAAUAUAAGUAUCAUCAAGAGGUUUUAAACCUCCUUCAGGCUCUCGAACAUCAACCAAAAAAGCAUUGAACAUCAAUGGUACCAGAACGAUUGACUUCAUCAUUCUUCGAAAUUCUGCAUUCUGACAGUCGCUCACUGCCAUCAUAGGGUAUUACCUAUCAUAUAUCCGACCAUCAAUCACAGCAUGGACUAAUCUAUUCCAAACAAGCUCAAUCACAGAGAGUAUCACAACCAAAAGCACAUAACAGAACAAUCUGUGAUGAUAGAAAAAAUGAUACCCUAGGCAACAUCAAGCCGCUGCCAUUAAGUUCAAUCAAGCAAGCCAAAUAUGGGGUAAAACAGUAAUAAAUCGAUAGGCACUGCAAUUUUGACACAAAUUAGCCAAUCAAACCGAAUCAUGUCCAAGCCCAAUCAAAGGCAACUAAAUUGCCAACCGGAUUGAGCUGGACAUCACUGGCAGAGAUUAGUAGUGAAAGCGAAGGUGCCCUGCUGGUGGAGGUCUAGAGUGAGAGGAAGUCGUCGCAAUAGACCUUGCGCUUCAGCUUCUACUUCGGGUGCUUCGUGAAGGUGACAUUUCAGCACACACAGACUCAAGCACAUAACUCAUUUCAUCAAACACCGAAAUUGCACAUGAUCACCGAACAUUGGACAGGCAAAACUUAGUUGGUUCACACGUACACAAAGCAUAAUUCAGCACACUAAUUACAAACAUGAUCCAAAAGCAGUUCAGGAUUGAAAAAGAAAACAAGAGCACAACACCGAUCCGCUCCUAGAACCUGCAUUGUUGGCUCAAAAUGCGGGCGUUGAGUCCAUCACAGAGCUGAAAGCUCUGAUGUAUUCAUCCGUGGGAUUCUGUUUACAGCAUAGCAAAUUUAUCUCCCAUGCGAAGUGAGGUUAUCAAUUUCAAAAUAUGUGUGAAGCAGCAAAUCAACAACGAUCUCUAAUAAUUUGUUACAUAUCAAAUAAAAAUGAUGCAAUCGACAUACAUACCUCUAGGAGAAACCAUCCUAAGAAAAUGUAGCUAAAAAAGCCAAACCAAACUAGGAAAAGAACACAAAUACUUGUACAUAAUUAAGAGCCCUCUGGCUGCUCGGAGGCAUCAUAAUUUAAAUACCUUCAUCAGAUUUUCAGACAAGAAUCCGCUAAAAGGUCAUUAAAAAGUGCAUGCGAAACUUCUCUGUUCAUAUCUGUGAAAGAAUUUGAUUGCCAAAAAAGGAAAACAUUGGUACUUACCUGGAUUCGUUUAAGGUUUUAACACAAGGGAACAAUUCGUGGUCGUCCUUCAAAAAGCUUCCAAGCGGUAAUUUGUCUUCUUCAUCGUUUUCUCCCACAAAUUUGAUUGACUUCUCCGAGCAAAGCCGAGAAAUUUCCUCCACUGCUAAUUUCCCACAACAUCUUAUUGUAACCUCUCGCAGUCCCUUCAAGCUUGAUAGAUCAUGCAACUUCUCUAAAGAUUCACAGGAUACAAUCUCCAGGUAUUUGAAAGAUUGGGGUAGUUCACAUUGAAUCUCAACCAGAUUACCACAAUCGAUUAUGUAAAUACUCCUUAGCUUGUUUAACUUGCUUAGAUCAGGUAGCAUUGCCAGCUGUCCGAGGUAAUUAAACUCCAAAUCUCGUAGGUUCUCCAAACAACCAAGGCCUUCAAUCUCUGCAACUGGACAGUCCCCAAUCACGAGAGACGAUAGUUUCCUCAAAUUCGAUAGAUCCAUCGAGCAAAGUGAGUGGCAACACCAAAUGUCAAGAGACGAAAGUUUCCUCAAAUUCGAUAGAUCCAUCGAGCAAAGUGAGUGGCAGUGCGAAAUAUGGACAAUCGAUAGUCUCCUCAAAUUUGAUACAUCCAUCGAGCAAAGUGAGUCGCAGAGCAAAAUAUCGAGAGACGAUAGUUUCCUCAAAUUCGAUAGAUCCAUCGAGCCAAGUGAGUCGCAACCAGAGAGAUGUAAGGAGGAUAAAUUUGAGGGAAGCCUCGGGAGGUGACGUGGAUGAAGAGGGAGGCUGAGGUCUAUCGAUGAGGCGGUCUCCUUUAAAAAGCGCAGGUGCAAAGAUUCCAAUUGGCUUAAGUUCCCAAUCCACCGCGGUAUCGGUUCUUCUAGAAGCCCAUAAGAUUCAUAACCAUAGGUGUGAUCGCCAAUUCUUGCUUUGAAAUCCUUGACAUGAUUCUCAUCGUAGCUGAUUUCCUCUGGGUCGCCCUUCUUCGACUUCACACAGGCAUUGCGUAUUCUCUCUGAUAUCGUUCUGCAUCUUCAUUACUUUCAAUUUCUUCAACAUUCCAAUGGAAUUGGGUACUUCUUCAAUGGUCGUGUGACUUAUGUCCAACUUGGUUAGCGAAUCCAAAUUUCCAACUGUCUCCGGAAGCCUCUGGAGAUUCCAACAAUAGCUUACAUCUAAGAAAACCAAGCUUUUCAUUUGACAAAUUGAUCUAUCAAUUUCGAUUAAUGAUUCACAGCCUGAUAGAAUCAAAUGUUUUAAAUUUGAAUGAGCUGAGAAGUUGGGGGUUCUCUUCAAGUGUUGGCAAUAGGCCAGAUUUAGAAUUUUCAAAUUUUUUAUCACUUGUGAAAGAAAAAUCAUGCAAAGUUUAGUUUUGAAUCUAAUAAGACGGAAGAAUAAGUGUUGUCUAGCAUAUAACAUACCAAACCCAAGAACUUCACAUUCAUCACAUUGCACCUACAAAACAAUACCCUCAGCAGAGGGAACUUAUAUAUCCAAUUGCCAAACAAUAAUUAGGCUGCGAAUAUAAGUGUCAUCUAGAGGCUUUUGCCCUCCUUCAGGCUCUCCAGCAUUGACCAAAUAAGCAUUGAACAUCAGUGACUCACCAGAAUAGGUAACUUCAUCAUUCUUCAAAAUCCUGCAUUCCAACAGCUGCUUGCCGCCAUCAUACGGCAUUGCCUAUCAUAUAUCUGACCAUCAAUCACAGCAUGGACUAAUCUACUCAAAACACGCUCAAUCACAGAGAGUAUUACAAUCAGAAGCACAUAACAGAAAAUCCAUGAUGAUAGAAAAAAUGAAAUCCCAAGCAGCAUUGAGCUGCUGCCGUUCAGUUCGAUUGAGCAAGCUAAAUUUGGGAAAAAAAGGGUAAUAAAUCGAUAGCCACUGCAGUUUUGACAUAGAUUAGCCAAUCAAACAGAAUCAUGUCCUAGCCCAAUCAAAGGCAACUAAAUUGCCGAUCGGGUUGAGCUGGACAUCAAUGGUAGAGAUUAGUGGUGAAAGCAAAGGUACCUUGCUGGUGGUGGCGUGGAGAGAGAGGAAGCCGCCACAAUAGACCUUGUGCUUCAGCUUCUGCUGCAGGUGCUUCUUGAAGGUGACAUUACAGCACAUGCGGUCUCAAGCACAUAGCUAAUUUCAUCAAACACCAAAAUUGCACAUGAUCACCAAACACUAGACAGGCAAAACUUAAAUGGUUCACACUCACACGAAGCAUAAUUCAGCACACUAAUUACAAACACAAUCCAAAAGCAGUUCGGGAUUGAAAAAGAAAACCAGAGCACAACAUCAAUCCGUUCCUAGAACUUGCAUUGCCAGCUCAAAAGGCAAGCGUUGAGUCCAUCACAGAGAAGUCAUACUGGAUUCCUGAAAGCUCUGACGUAUUCAUCUGCGGGAUUCUGCUGAGUCUGGAUGUUCUGUGUCAGGGCAAUAAGGAUGGCAAUGCCAGAUUUCUGUCCCUCAAGAUUCUGUUUGAUGCGAUGUUCGUUUUCCUAAUCAAAACUCCAGAGUUAGAGCAUAAGCUGGCAGACUUGAAAUCCAUAUCCUAGGUGCAAUUUCGCCCUCUUUGGCCAACCUUGAAUGAGGAUGAGGACCCCGAUACCAAUGUGUGUGCAGAAGCUCCUCCUGAUGCUCAUAGAGUUCAACUUGACUAAAAUUUCUGAGACUCUACAACCAAAGACAGUCAGCCACUGCUUCAGAUUUUCACUUGGAGAUCUGUCCUGUGCAAAUGUGAAUGAUGUUGAGCUGUGCAUGGCUCUGGCAUCGGCUCCAGAAAUGGAUCCCAAGUUGCUUUCUCAACUGAAAGUAGUAUGGUGGAUUGGAAUCCUUUUGGAGUUUGUACAUGCGAAGAAUAUGGAAGAAUUUCUCAAAUUGACGCUUGGCUUGUGUAAAGCUCUUCUUUUACGAUCACUAGGUUCUAUGAAAGGUUCUGCGUACAUGGAAGAGCCACCACUACUUGAUGAAAGUUCUUCUGAGGUAGCGAGUAGCAUAUGAUGCAUAACUGACUUUGGUGGCAGUGCCAGUGUUUUCCUGGAAUUGAGUGGAUCUCAUCACAGAAACAAUGCCGAUAUUGCUUCAGAAUGCACAGUUCUAUUACUGAAAGCAGCCCCAAGGGAAGGUGCUCUCUUUUUCUUACCAAUCUUUUGUAAGUGAGUGCAAUUCUCAAGUCUCAGCAAAAGGGCGCUCCUUAUCUACUGGUACAGCGAAUGCUGCAUUCUCUUAGUUACUCCUGUAGGCGGUGUUUGCUGCACAGAAUGAUUUUUGUCAGUGUGCCUGUCAAAGAUUGCUAUGAUUGAAGGCAUCAUUGCUGAGAUAAAAUAUUCUGGUGCUGCUGCUUUAGCCAGUGCUGCCACACUGGUAAUCUCAGAAUUGCGGUGGCUCCCUCAUUUAUGACUUCUCUCCAUAACAUUUGCAAAUCCCACUAAGAAGCACACCUUUCCUGAAAAAUAAACUGAACUUAAGCAUGGCAAUACAGAGUGUCUGUCUACUUCAAAGUCGCAACAAUGAGUUGAUUGUACUGUAAAGUCCCAGGAUGAGAAUUUGUAUGACCUUCCAACACACAUUCCAUCUAUUUGUUUACAGCAUAGCGAAUUUAUCUCCCAUGCAAAGCGAGGAUAUCAAUUUCAAAAUAUGUGUGAAGCAGCAAAUCAACAAUGAUCUCUAAUAAUUUGUUACAUAUCAAAUAAAAAUGAUGCAAUCGACAUACAUACCUCUAGGAGAAACCAUCCUAAGAAAAUGUAGCUAAAAAAGCCAAACCAAACUAGGAAAAGAACACAAAUACUUGUACAUAAUUAAGAGCCCUCUGGCUGUUCGGAGGCAUCAUAAUUUAAAUACCUUCAUCAGAUUUUCAGACAAGAAUCCGCUAAAAGGUCAUUAAAAAGUGCAUGCGAAACUUCUCUGUUCAUAUCUGUGAAAGAAUUUGAUUGCCAGAAAAGGAAAACAUUGGUACUUACCUGGAUUCGUUUAAGGUUUGAACACAAGGGAACAAUUUGUGGUCGCGCUUCAAAAAGCUUCCAAGCGGUGAUUUGUCUUCUUCAUCAUUUUCUCCCACAAAUUUGAUUGACUUCUCCGAGCAAAGCCGAGAAAUUUCCUCCACCGCUAAUUUCCCACAACUUCUUAUUUUAACCUCUCGCAGUCCCUUCAAGCUUGAUAGAUCAGGCAACUUCUGUAAAGAUUCACAGCGAAUCGACAAUGUUUCCAAAGAGUGGGGUAGUUCGCCUUGAAUCUCAACUAGAUUACUGCACUGCCAUACUAGAAUACGCCUUAGCUUGUUUAACUUGCUUAGAUCAGGUAGCAUCGCCAGCUGCUCGAGCUUAUAAAGUUUCAAAACUCGUAGGUUCUCCAAACAACCAAGGCCUUCAAUCUCUGCAACUGCAGUGUCACAAAUCGAGAGAGACGAUAUUUUCCUCAAAUUCGAUAGAUCCAUCGAGCAAAGUGAGCGGCAGCGCGAAAUACGGAGAGACGAUAGUUUCCUUAAAUUCGAUAGAUCCAUCGAGCCAAGUGAGUGGCAGUUCCAAAUAUGGAGAGACGAUAGUUCCCUCGAAUUCGAUAGAUCCAUCGAGCAAAGUGAGUCGCAGAGCAAAAUAUCGAGAGACGAUAGUUUCCUCAAAUUCGAUAGAUCCAUCGAGCCAAGUGAGUCGCAACCAGAGAGAUGUAAGGAGGAUAAAUUUGAGGGAAGCCUCGGGAGGUGACGCGGAUGAAGAGGGAGGCUGAGGUCUGUCGAUGAGGCGGUCUCCUUUAAAAAGCGCAGGUGCAGAGAUUCCAAUUGGCUUAAGUUCCCAAUCCACCGCGGUAUCGGUUCUUCUAGAAGCCCAUAAGAUUUCCCAUCACAAUUAGGUGGGCCAAGGCCCAGAUGCAACACCUUUAAGUUAGCGAGAUUUGAGAGAUCCGGAACCGCGUCCACCCUCAACUUCUUCAGUUCUAAUUCGAUGAGACUUUCAGGAAGCCUUGGUAGGGCGUGUACUCCCGGCCAUCCCAUUCCCCACUUCCUUAGGGAUUCAUAACCAUAGAUGCGAUCGCCAAUUCUUGCGUAGGUAUGCUUGAUAUAAUCUUGAUGGUAGGAGAUUUCCAUUGGGGAUAUCUUCCCCAACUUCAAACAGGCAUUGCGUAUUCUUCUUCCGAUAUCAUUCUGCAUCUUCAUUACUUCCAAAUUCUUCAAGAUUCCAAUGGAAUUGGGUACUUCUUUGAUGGUCGUGUGACUUAUGUCCAACUUAGUUAGCGAAUCCAAAUUUCCAAUUGUCUCCGGAAGCCUAUGAAGAUUCCAACAAUAGCUUACAUCUAAGAAAAUCAAGCUUUUCAACUGACAAAUUGAUCUAUCAAUUUCGAUUAAUGAUUCACAGCCUGAUAGAAUCAAAUGUUUUAAAUUUGAAUGAGUUGAGAAGUUGGGGGUUCUCUUCAAGUGUUGGCAAUAGGCCAGAUUCAGAAUUUUCAAAUUCUUUAUCACCUGUGAAAGAAAAAUCAUGCAAAGUUUAGUUUUGAAUCUAAUAAGACGGAAGAAUAAGUGUUGUCUAGCAUAUAACAUACCUUCACGUGGCUCCACCCCUUCCAAUCAUGAGUAAUUUCACUCCAAGAUAGAUCAAGGAUAAUCAAAUUCUCUACAGAGAAAUUUGCAAUAUUAAAUGUUGGGCGAAUAUUAUGCCAAGAAAGCCAUCGUAAUCGUGGAAGGAGAUCUGAAUUCCUUCGGAAAAUAUUAGUUGGAAGAGCAUAUAACGGCCAUUUGAGCCAAAGAAGCAACUUUUCUCCACGAAAAUUUUCCUUCAAGUCAUUUACUUCAAGGAACGUUAGAUAUUGCAGGCUCUUAAAGUCAUCAUAGGUAAAACGGUGCUGAUCAUCAAACUUGAGACAAAGAGCUUCAACUUCUUUCUUUUCCUGCCCAAAGGAAAAAUUUUAAAACAAAAAAGUUAAAAAGAAACACGUUUCUUCAAGUUCACUAUUUUAAGGGGUUGAGUUGACUACGGUCAUUCCUUUAAAAUCUUAAAAGACCAAAAAUAUCGGUUGAGUAGGUCGUGAUGGUGCUAGAGAACACAAAAAGUAACUGCCUUUUUUUAAAAUAGAAAAUUUUCAUAAGUAACUUGGAGAUUUGUUGCGCUAAGGCAUUUUACCUCAUGUCUCUUCAGCAAUUCCAAUCCGUCCUUGGGAUUCCACACAUGACGUCGCUUCUCAAUUUUCAUCUUACUUUCUUGACGAACUAUUUCUCUUCCCAUGUCUCUAAGUUGAUCAUGCAUCCACAAUUUAUUAUCUAUUCCAAUUUUUAUUAAAGACAUGUUCUGCAAAACUUCCAAGGCUACUUCCGAAAAAAGUUCAGAUGCAUCCCAGAAAUAGACCACAAUGUCUUUGUGAUAUCCAAUGAAUUGGCAAGCUAUAUAAAGGAAUAUAUGCUGCUGCUGAUCAUUUAAGGCAUCAUAACUUAUUUUCAGCUUACUCUGAACUUCAUCAGGAGGAAUACUUUCUAGCUUCUUCAAUGUGGCAUCCCACAUUUCCUUAUUUUUGUUGGAUAAAAGUGAACCUAUGACCUCGAGGGCCAAUGAAAGACCUCCAGCAAUGUGUACCAUCCUCUUGGAUCGGUCGAUAUACUCGUCUUUUGGAGAAUCUCUUCUGAAGGCAUGUUUGCUAAAAAGUUGAAGAGAUAGAUUCGGAUUCAAGCCUGUAAGCUCAUACCUCCAGUCCACUUUCGAGGCAUGGAUAACAUCUUUCCUUCUUGAAGUAAUAAUAAGUUUGCUCCCUUUACCAAACCAAUCACGCUCACCUACAAGUGCAUUUAUAUGAUCCUUUUCUUCCACAUCAUCGAGAAGAAGCAGGACUUUUUUAUUAGACAACCUUUUUCCAAUGAUCUCAAUCCCUUCAUCGAUGUUUCUUAUAUCUGUCCUUGUUAUCUUAAGGAUAUCAGAGAUGAGCUGUUGCUGCAAGUAACAAAUGCCCUUGAGAUUUGACGUUUCACGGAUGUUGGAAAGGAAGCAACAAUUGUUGUACUUGUCGGAAAGCUUAUUAUAGAUUAAUUUUGCAAUCGUUGUCUUUCCAACGCCACCCAUCCCAUGAAUUACCACAAUCCGCAUUUCACUUGUGUGAGCACCUAUCUUUUCCAUGAUUUUAUGCACAUGGUGGUCCACACCAACCAAGUUGUUCGAUACCGCCAAAUAAGCCUUCUUCAACUCAUUGAAAACCUUAUGGGUAACCAUCUUUGUGAUCUCACCUUCUUCCCUAGUGUUUGUCGGAGGUCAAAUGGCAAUGAGUUAGAAAAUUGUAUUAAACCAAACUAUGUUCUCACAAGACCAAAGUGAAAACUAAAGACCUAUUCGAAAUGCUUUCUACAAGGAUUUACUCCAUUGUAAAUGAAUUAGCGUUCGCACAUAUGGUUAAUGAAUGACAUUAACUAGAAAAAAAAAAAGUUAUUUGGAAUGAAAAAGGACAAAAUUGGGAUUGUACCACUAUUUUGUGUGAUUUUCGCAAUAUAAUUUCAAUAGCAUAAUAUUCAAUUUCAACAAGGCUAACACAAAUCUAGAAAAGAAACCAAUUGAACCACAUUAAAGGUUUUAAUGGUACAAUGCACAUCAAAUGGAAUGAUAGAGGUAGUCACCUGUUGGUCUUGUUGUGCAGAUCCCACCCUUUUAUUGCCGCAACUGCACUCAGAGCAGUCUUCCAUUGACGCAUAGUCUCUUCGUCAUAUUGAUUCUUCUUUUCAUGUGAAAGAAAGGCCUCUCUAUAACCCCCAGUUUGGUGGCGAACCUCUGAAGGUGCCACAUCAUAAAAAAUGGGCAUGAUCUUUUGUCCCCUAGUGUUUUGGCACUCAACCAUUUGGACUAGCUCCUUAAGACACCAUACGCUAGAGGCAUAACCUUUUGAAAAUAUAGGUAUUGAGAUCUCUGAUUGAUUUAUUGCUUGGAGAAGUUCCGGGCCAAAUUCUUCCCCCUCGCAGAGCUCUUUGUCAUCCUUAUAAACGCGGAUUCCCGCAUCUAUCAUACUAGUGUAAAGGAAGCUGGUAAAACCCGUUCGAGUAUCCUCUCCUCUGAAGCUCAAGAAUACUUCAUAUGCAUAUCUUGAUGAAUUAACCAUUCCUUGACCUUCUGUCACAGUGUGAGUAAAGGAAGCGCUCCCUGCUAUUCCAUCAUUUUUAUAGAUAUGUUGUGUUUCUACGCUCCCCUCCAUUGAUUUACUCAAUCUGAUCUUUAAGAAAUACCGAACAGCAUAUUAGCAAAAGUAGUGGCAGCCAAAGAUGGAAAAUGUUUAGAAGCCUGACUGACAAAUAAUGGAGAUCUCUGUAGGUCAUUAAACGUAGUAUUCAAGAUUAGCUAAAUAUGCAGAGAGUCAUGGGCCAGUGUGCAACAAUUGUUCAAUAAGAAUGAUUCAUUGCAGCACCGCUCCAGCCUAUCAAAGUUGACAACGCAUGUGAAUAUAUGAGUAUUAAAUCUCAAGGGGCAUUUUAACACCUUAAGGAGAUUAAAUCUCCUGAGAACGUUGACAUAGCACAGUGCAAAGUUCUCAUUUAAAAAAAAAAAAAAAUAGCUCACUCUUCUCAAAUCUUGAGAAUAUAAAUUAUUUCCUAGGAGUUUUAAAUCUCAAAGGGAAAGCAUGAACAUGUUCUCAUUUGACAUAACACGAUGCAGAGCAUCUUUUUUAAAAAAGGAAAGUUCCACACUUCUCAAAUUUCUACAAUAUAAAUUGUUUUUCUUUAAUGUCAUUUCUGCAAAAAUGACCUUCACUCUCUCUAGAAUGGAUCAAAAAAUUAAUUAGAGCUAUUCAUGUGAUGGGAAGUUGUAGUUUGUAAUCUUACACGUUUCUAAAAUUCCGUAAACCAAAAAUGGAGUUUUGUUUCAUGCGUGCUAGAUUUAAAGAACCAAUUAUAAACUUGAAGUAUCACUGGUAAGUAAAAACUAAUCGAUAACUUGUGAAUCUGGGCAAUUGUUAGAAAGCUAUCAAAAAAAUAGUUUUUUCAUCCUCAAACCAAAUAGUGGAUUACCAUUUUUUCUUUUAGAUUUUACAAAUGGGUUUGUAUUUUUGCUUAUAGGAUAUGAAUGCUUACAUACUUUAUUAAUAGUCUCGAUUGAUGUUCCAACUUACAAACAAAAUACCUAUUUCAGCCCCUCUAAAUUCAAAUAUGGUGUUAACACCGUUUCGAAUUUAUGAGUAGCAAUGUUCAUUUGUAAAUACUACGUGAACAAAAUAAUCCAUUUACCAUAUGGAAAAUACUCUUGUAACUUACGAGCAAUUGUUUGCUUUUAUAAGUGGGCAAGUAUUUUUGGUAGUAAAACUAUGAGUUGUUUGCAAGCUUUGUUAGUAGUCUUGGUUAAGGGUGGUAACUUACAAACAAAUAACUAUUUUACAAGUAUAAAUCUUUACUAUAUUAUUAACCUUGUUUUGAUAUCAUGAGUUGCAAUUUUAUUGUUAGUAACAUGCUAACGAAACAACUAAUUUACCUACUUCAAAUAUUCUUGCAGAUCACGAAUAGUCAUCUACUUUUUUACAAGUUGGUGUGUUUUUCCUCUAGUAGAUUACGAUUUCCCUACAUAUUUUUUACUAGCUAGUCCUAAAAAAAAUAACCAUUUGAUUACCCUAAAUUUUUAGUAGAUUAUUAACAUUUUUUGACGUCUAUUUGUCAGUAACAUUACCAACAUUUUUUAUGCAACUGUACGUAUGCCAGACAAUUGUGUGUACUUCUUUACUAUUGAUAUUGAUGAGUAUUUGUAUUUAUGAAGCAUUCUACUUGUUUAUAUAGUAAAUUGUAAGACACCAAUUGAAAGCUCUGCGAUGACUAAAUAUGCCACAACGAGAUGACAGGUGGUAUUUUUUCAAAAUGAUGUUGCAACAUGAUUAGGCAUUGACAAAGUUAACGAUAUAUAAGGUUUGGAACUUAUAUAAUUUACAACCAAAUAAUAGUGUGGUUCUGUGUUAUUCAACAUCUAAUGCAUAAUACAAGAUUCAAUAGCAAUUUCAUGUAUGCUUCCAAUGUAAUUUGUUCGUUUGAUAAUCUAAUCGCGGUGGUUGAGAGUUUGCUAUAUCUAGGGAAGAAUGUACAUAGAGUAUUAGCUUCCUCUAUAAUUACUCUAUAGAAUUAGGAGAUGCGCAUGCCAUCAUUGUCAGGCAUCUCAAAAUUAAAGAUGUCCACACUGAAUGAUUAUUGUAUUAGCGUUGGGCUCCAACUUCAUAGACUACUAUUAUGAAAGAAAGAAGAAGAUUCCUCUCAUAUCUAAGCUCGAAAAUUGGUUCUGUUUUAUAUUGGUCCUAUAGACGUGCCCCUCCACUUUCCAAUAUACUAAUAGUGUCGAAAUUUUUUCUGCCAAGGACUUGUAGACAUGGUGAGACUGUUAGUCGAUAGGAAUUCCGAGUUGAAGAUAAAAUACCAAUACACGGCUAUUCAUUUGAUGUGUUAAAAUAAAAAUUAAGUGCCAAUAUUGUAGCUAUUACUUCAAGUAUAGCUCGACGUUCGAAUUGGAUUUGAACAAGAAUAUGAGUUUAAGUAGCUUAAAUCUAGCCUCCAUGACUCUGCCUUUAUGAUUUGAUCACCUUAUGUGAUUCAAGGAUCUUGUUGCUUUCAACUUCAUCUUAAGAUAACGUGUAAAACCAAUUAUUGAUAAGAGUCAGCAAUCUACUGACCACAUGGAUAAAAUUUCAUAGGAGUUGGUUAACUCCUUCAUUAAUAUAUUGGCAUUUUUUUUAUAGUGUUGGUAAGUAAAUUUCAGAGGAGUUGGUAAUAUAUUAAUUCAUUAAUAUGUUGUUAAAUUCUUGUAUGUGCCAAUAAUUGAUUUAUGAUUCCAGUAAUAAGAGUUGGUAAUUAACCACUUGACUCGUAUGUCAGUGAAUUCUUGAUAUUGCUGGUAAUUUAUUUAACACUGGUAAAAUUUGAGAGUGGGUACUUUAAUACUUCCAUGUAAUGUUUGUAAAUUCUUAGAUUGUGUCAGUAAUAUACUUACCACGCUCAUAAAAUUUUGUAGGAGUCGGUAAUUUACUAUUUUAUUGGCAUGUUUGUAAAUUUCUAAAGAUGUCAGUACUUUACUUACAGCAAUGAUGAAAAUUUUCAAGUGAGUUAAUUUACUACUUCAUUGGAAUGUCGGUAAAAUUUAGAUAAUCUUGGUAAUUUACUAAUCACACUGAUAAAAUAUCAUAAGAAAUAAUAAUUUACGAAUAUAUUGUCAGUCAACAACCAGAAGGUUUCAAGCUUGAAAUGCACUGGUGAAUGGAAGAAUAGCAGAGAUGAGAGCUAGAGAGCUCAAGAUCAGGAUGCAAGAAGCCAAGUCUCCAAUCAAACGAUUACUACAGUACUGUGGAAUAUUUGGAAGUCAAGAAACCAGGCCUAUCUUCCAUAAUAGAAAACCAGAACCAAGCAACCUUGUAGAGUUUGCUUUAGCUGGGUUGAAGAGUUUCAACAGAUGGACCCCAAAAUCGAGCGAAUCUAGUAAGACCAGGGACGGAUCGUCACGAUUUUGGAACCCACCGCAGGCUGGAACACUAAAGAUAAACAUAGACGGUGUGUACGAACCUGGAGCUACUGGAGGCUCGAUCGCUUGCGUCUGUCGUGAUUUCGCGGGGAGGUUGGUGGACGGAGUGGUGCGAGCAGUAGCGGCGCCUUCUGCGUUCGAAGUUGAGGCUCUUGCCCUCUUUUAGAAGCCCUAACUCUGUCUGUAUCCUCAAAGAAAAGAAGCCCUUGUACGUGAGUCUCACAGCUUAUUAUAGUCUUUUUCAAAUAUUCAGGUCAGCCAUGGCGUUAGAGAGGCCAAGUCGCGGACUGGGUAAAGCCCAUGAGAGAAAAGCCCAUUUAUCAGACCUUUCGAUAUUUUCUGCUUAGUGAAGUAUUUCACUUUAUGACAAAAAAUAGAAGAAGGUAGUCUCCAAUCUCAAGGAGCGAACGUGCGAGAGUUUGGGGUUGACACUUCAUAAUGCACGAUGCACACUUUGUUUUUUCCCCCAUAAUGCCUUUAUUUGAUAGUGAUAACAUUCAGUUGCAACCUUAUAAAAGCGUCUGAAAGGAUACUUUCCAAGAUUUCACUUUUAUUUGUUUUUUCUUUGAAGAGUGGUAGCUAAUUCAACUUUUAGUCUAAUGAUUGUAUUUCGAUGCAACCAAAAACCACAUGUAUACGGCACUUUCGUACUUUCCAUUUAGUUCAAUCGGACGGCAUCAACUUUUCUAUUGAUUGAUGACACGAUUAGCUAAACUAUUUAAAGAUCAAAAUAUUUUUGAAUAGAUGGUGUUUGUUUGCAAGUAUUUUUUUUUUAUUUUCAAAAUCAAUUUUGUGGUAAUUAAACAUUCCAUGUUUCACAAUAGAAAACAGAAUCUUGCUAGAUCUAGAGGUGCGAAAAUGUUCCAUUCCGAAAUUCGUAAGUUUAUAAGUCUUUUUAGGCAUAAAUCCAAGUGUGACCAAAAAAUAAAUUGAAGAUUGAAGUUAUAACUCAUGUUGACUCGAUGAGUAAAAAAAAAACUCUUGCAAAGUACGAAUGGAAGAUCAAAUUUGUUCUCUAGUGGCUUUAGCUUUGAUUAUACUCCACUAAACUUUUGUUUUAGUAAUCAAAAGUCCAAAAGUCGCAUCACAAUUUUUCAAAUCACACUCCUUCCAUUUGAACCGAAAUUGAGCUUCCUCUAUUAGCUUAAAAGCUUGAGGAAGAAGAGAAUACAGGUAGGAUCCCACUGCCUGACUGCUGCUCUUUUGAAUGGAAAAAAAAAGACCUUUUAUAUAGAUUUAGGCCUUAACUAUAUGGAGCUUUGCUCCUUCCUGCAGAAAAAUUAAGGAACUAAAAAGGAAGGUCAUUGAACUUAGAAGCCAAGGGGGAUUGGAUGAAUAUGCAGAGAGAGUUGUGGGCCAAUGUCCACCAAAAUUUGGUCAAUAAGGAUGGUUCCUCAUCAUCACUCCGGCCUAUCAAAGUUCACAAAUUAUUGCGUUUCUUAUGCAGAAAAUCAAUGGGAUAUAUGCUGUAAAAAUUUUGGGAUUAGAAUCAACUUUCGCCCCCAAAUCAAUGGGCGGAUUCAUUCAAAGUCAAAUUAACAAAAGCACACAUCAAAAUUCCAAAAAAAGUUUGUUUCCCUCCAUCCUAAUUAAGGUGAACUCCGAACAAUCCAGUUUAAUGGGCUGAUCGGGCCUAGGCCCGAAUUAACUCCGAAGCAUAAAGCCUAGUGGAAUUAUCGGGCUUGAUCUUCAUCAAAGCACUCCCCUAGUGAUCAAUCAAAUUUAGAAAAGAAUGCACUUUAUUUCGAGGGUGAACCAUCAUUCGCAUUUAACUUGUUGCUAGUGUCAAUAAAUUUCUCGUCACAAAGCAUUGUAGUUGGACAUCAAAUCCAUGCAUUGUGCUGAUUAUUAUACAAAACACUACUAAAAUAGAGUACAUGAAACCAAUGUGUAAGAAGAGUCUUGUGUUGUAUUAAAACUUUGAGCCACUAACAAGUGCAAUAGAUAAGCUCAUGAACAUGAUGUGACCUAUUAGAUCCCAUUUGGAAUUUAACUCUAUUAGCAUUUUCAAAUUCCCAAUUGAACUUGGAAGCCUCUCCAAGACUAGCAAAAGUUCAAUGAAGCCUCUCCAAUGACUAUAAUGAUUAGAAAAAUAUACAUUGACUCCCCCCUAUCUUAAGUAUGAAAGUUCUCUAUUUUAGAUAAUGUCUUUUGGAGGUGUGGCUCUUCAUUCUCUUGGUUAAUGCUUGUGGAUUAUCUAUUACAAAAGAAAAGAAAGAGGCGAAAAUAUAAGAACUUGUGGACGACAUGAGAUUCUUCCAUGUUAAAUUUUGAGAAUUGGGAAAAAAGAGAAUUGCCACACCUCUAUUCAUUUGAAAUUAAACAGUUUGGGUCAUUAUUUUAGAUUUACCUUGACAUUGGAUAAUGUCAAACCAAGUCCAUUUGCAAUUGGAAUCAUUUUUAAAUAUAAUUAAGAAUUGUUACACCUCCUCUUCAACUUUUGUGAAUCCAACUUAAGAGCCAUGCUUUACCCGGAAAACAAAUUAGACAUGCGUUUACUGAUGUGGAGUAUACAUCUUCUUCAUGUCACAAUUUUGCAUUGGUUACUGUCAUAGAGGUGAUGCCAUAAGUGCUAAGAUACUUUCAUGCACAUUGUAACAGCUACUUCGUCUGAUAUAAUGAAGUUAGCGUUCUCCUGCGUGAAGAGUGGGCAUCAACCAAUUUCAAACACAGUAAGACAAAAACAGCAAUUUAUAAGGUAUCUCAUAUAGUUCACCACAUAAUAUUGACAAAAUAAUGCACUUGGAAUUUAUAUAAUUUGACUUGACCUCACUAGGUAAGUUAAUUAGCAAUUCAAAGCCACUGAAACGUCUAAACCAAACCAAACCAAAACAAAGAAGAUCUGAACAAGGGUACUCGCAGAACUAUAUCACUAGUCAACAUGCAAAGUGCACAUGAGAAGAAGAUUUGCAUAAACCUCCUUAUAAUUGAUAUGUAUAACAGAAUAGGAAGCACUUCUUAUCAGAAAAAAUGUACUCGAGAGAGUAGGUGUCCAUUCUUUUUUCUCGUGCAGAAAUUUGCCAAGUUUGAUCAAACAACUCCAUGACGUGCUGAGUUCCCAAAUCUCCCGUGGUGAAUGCCUACCCGAUCAGACUGAAUUGAGGUCAUACAGCAAUCCCUUUUUAAGGCAGGAAGUUCAUGUCUGACUUUCCCUUCCAUCUUGGUAGUUUGUAGAUGUAUUAUCUCCGUAAGAUGGAGAUUCUUGGUGUUUGUCCGUUAAGACUAGCAUGCGAAUCGAACAAAGUCAACCCCAAAAUCAUGCACGCUUACCAAUUAGUCGGGGGUUCACACCAAUAGCUCUCACAAUACUUUCUCUUCAUGUGAAGUCCUCUAACCGAGAUACACUCCUUUCAUCACUUAAUUCGAAUCAUUUCACUGUUCCCGCCGCUCCAUGGCUUAUCGCAGCAUCAUUAUUUGGACUGCCCUUUCCAGUGAUCUAUCUUGUGCUUAUUAGACUCCUCUGGAAGAAAUCUUUGAACGGAACAGCAAAAACAACGAUGGUAGCAACUGUCACCACACACAGGGCAACCUCAAGUGCGUCAAUUGUUUUGCGCUUAGCAGAAGUGGUCCACCUCGGCUAAACAACAAUCAUUGAGCUGCCGAAUCAGAAUCCGAAGUGACGAUCUGAAAUAAAAAUGGAAGGAGAGAGUCGGAGGGUGAUGGUGGGAUAUUCGGAGUAGUAUCAGAGUCGGUGUUGGAAACUGGUGGAAGCAGAGGAGGGUUCUUUGCGUCUUUCCGUAUUUUUGUUUUAAUUAGUUUCUCGAUUUUCCUUUUUAUCUUUUGGGGUUUGGGUUUUUCCUUUCGGUUGUUCUUUUCAUUUUUCGCAACACGCGAGUGGCGCGAAGAUUUCCCGCCAGCAAGAGAGGGGGCCAAAAUUGUAUUUUCGUUUCCCCUACCGCAGAAUUGAAGGCAGCAGCGUCGGCUUCCGCGCGAGAUGAGGCUCGCGCCUCUAGGAUCGGAGGUGGUCUGACCUGCCCUUGCUGCCUGACGCAACCGAGUCUCGAAUCGAUGGUCUGCGACUUUUUCCUCCGUAUAUUAAGAGAGUAGAGAGGGAAAAUCAAACGUAAUUUCCCUCCCUGACGUUUUCGCUGUGGAAGAUUAAGUUUGAACCAAAACUACUCAAUUUACACGUACGUAUACAGGCCGGUCAUUGCUGUCUUACCGCGUGCUAGAAGCCACGAAAUAUCUCCGUAUGAGGUAGCAAUAUAUGCAAGAUACAAGCUCGCCAAGGAUUCACUCACAAUGUGGUUCGAAUUUGUCAACUCUGGAAAAAUAGUAUGACCAGCCUAUCGUUAAGUCAUCGCGUUCGAGGAGGGGCUACAAUUUUUUCACGUUCAUUCUUCUUUCUUUUUCAACUCGUUUCAAGUGAAUGAGUCGUGUAUGAAUUUGAUAAAAGCAUGAGAGGUGUAUAAAUCUGUUUCGUGCUUAUUAGCACCUAAGUUUGAUGAGUGAUUGAUUUAUCAACGCUAGCUAUAAAUGAAGGGAUUUUGGGAUUGUUCUCUACAAAAAGUUAUUGUUACACCCUUCACGCUCUUGAAUCACUCCUUGUUCUUCACUUCCACUUGUUGUUUAGUGUACUAAUUUCUUUGUACUUUUUGAAUAACGCAAAUUUUUACAUUAAACUUGAAUCUGAAAAUAUUUGACUCAAGAAGCUUGCCAUCGUAAUGGAGUACUCAAUUGCAAUUUCAUAUGCCUCCACCAAUAUAAAUAAACAAAUGAAUUAUAUCAAUUUUAAUUUUUGUGCAUAGUAACUAAGUAAUUGAACCGUAGAACACCCAUUUGUCCAAAAGAACAUCUCAUUCUCUUGCGCUAAAAUACAAUAGCAGGCAUCCCUAUGCAGUCUUUUUCAAUGUUUCGAUUUUAGCAAAACUUACUUCAGUGCCCUCACGCACACGACGUAAAUCACCGAAUGUGACAUUAAAAAUGCCCACCAACAAAAUAAGAUCCCAGGGGCAAAUCAAGAAAGAUCGUGAAGAAUAUGGAGUGGAGCAAAUCGCAUUUGAGGGUGAUGGUUGUUCUGACAUGCUUGAUUGCCACAAAGUGAGGCAAUACUCAAUUAUGAGUUAUGAUAGUUUCAAGUUUGAUAGGUCAAUAAAUGUAUGUGUUGAUUGGCAAUGUCUGAUUCAUAAGGGCAAUGAACUUGAGGGAAGCGUCUGCAAACAUUCAUUAGAGAGUUUAAGUCUUUUGAGAUGAGAAAGCUGUACAAUAAAUGGUGAUGUGGUGUUGGUCCAGCCUAAGGACCUUAAAGAAAGGCCUCGGUUAUCAGAGCUCCCGUUCCGGGUCACAAAAACAGCAGGGUAAACCGCCGGGGGUUUUCCAAGGUGUUUAACCACACCACCCUCGGGCCUGAUAGGGCUCCACUUCCCCACCAUUGGGUGGGAGCGCAUCCCUGGAUGAAGGGACCGUUGUCGAAGAGGACAACUAUAAAGACACCGGUUGUUUAACCUAUUGAUCCACCGGGCAAUAGCAUCUUCCACAAGCUUAGACAGGUCUGAGGAGACUUUUGGCAUCCCAAAGACAAAUCUCUUAGGCUUUUCAAGUUCGAAAGAUUGGAAAUGGCAUCAUCAGCUCGGUAUGAAUAUAUAGACGGAGAAAAAUUUCUAGGAGUCUUGGUACUUGGGGUAUUUCAGCACAUGUUAGUUUUUAAAAUCUUCCAAGAUGAAUAUCUCCAGAUAUCAUCGGAAUUUUUUAUUAGCAAAUUUUCACUAAGCUCUGCAUCUAUUUUUCUAGCUUUUCCUGCUUCCAUUUUGCACUAGUUAUCAUGCUUAUGACAAAGAACCUCAUCUUCAAUACUUUCAAAUACUUCUUUUUAGCCUGCUCAUAUAUCGAGUUGGUCAUUCACAAGUUUAAAACCUAUGUAUGGGCUUCGCUCUAAGUAGCUACAAAAUUGGCAAGACCAAUUCAAGCAUUCCCCCAUGAAAAAAACAAUGAUAGGCUUGAAUCUGGUAUAAGCAAACUACUGCCCAUCCCCUUUCCCCAGAAGCAGCCUGUUUCGAGUGACACAAUUAUAAUCACACAGCAAGAUCGUUCGACCCAUGACAAACAUAAUGACCCAGACUUCAGAUAUAUGUAAGUUACUUGCAGUCACUUUGCAAUGCUUGCUGUUAUAGUUGACAUGACAUGGUGGACUACUUACCGCACAUGAAACCUGGAAACGGUGUGCUUUGAGAGAUGGGAAACUUCUGCCGCCGACAGGGAGGGAGACGGACCUGACAUUCGAUAUAUUGCAGACAGGUACCGGUUAAAAAUUGUCAAGAACUAGUUUUCAGAGAUGCGGUCUCAUUCAAAGUGCAGAACCUCAACCGGGUCAGCCAAGCUCUCUGCCUAAAUUGCACAGAAUAUUUGGUAAAUUUACAUUUUGCACCCAAGUUUUCCGGAUAGUGGCAAAUUAUCCCCGUCGUUUCGAUAUUUGCAACUUGUUA